AAAAAACUUUAUGAACAAUUCUCAAAUUGUCUUCAUUCAUUUUCUCUUUCCCUAGGAAAAUUUAAAAAAGAAAAAAAAAAGACUGUGCAAUACUUUUCUACAUAGAAACCCUCUUGAGCCAGUCUGUUAUAAGCAUAUAUUAUAUAAUAUUGACAAUAGCAGACAGACCAAAAAACAAAAAAAAAAAAAAGUAAGAAAACUGGGAUAAGAAAAAUAUAUAAUUCUUCCCAGAGAACCAUUUCAGCUUCUGUUCUUGCAUUUUUCAACUGCCCUUGGAGCUGCACCAGAAAGGAAGGGGAAAAAAUUGAGAUAACCAUUUGUAACAGAAAUUAUUACCGGAAAAAAAAGGACAAGAAAAAGUUGGAUGACCUAAUUAAAGAAUAUAAUGUAUCUAAGUUCUUUCAAAUAACAUUUUUCGUAUAUGAUAAAUAUCUAAACCUGCUCGUGUAAAAUCAAAUUGCGGAAAAAUUUUAGCAUACCUAGCCCGACGGCCUCCGACCCUUUCAUUAUCCUCAAACGUUUGCAUGAGUCAACAAACAUUCUGAAAAAUGUAAAAUAUAUAAUUGUCAGUUUUUUUGCAAUUCUUAGUAGUGAAUUUGGUUAAGUAAUUUCCUAAUAAAAUGGAUUGCAGGAAAUUGUCUUAUGGAAAAAAUUGAAGAAGUUAUGAACGUACUCCCAUGGAACAUCACCCACGAGCAUCCAGUCUCCAUCUCUGUCCUCAUACGUAGGGACGUAUUCUGAACCAUUUAGAAGAUCUAUCAAUUUCCUCUCGUUCAUGAAGUCCUUGAAUUCUUGAGAUCCAUAGCUUCCUAUAAAUAUCAAAAAGUGACACUGCAUAAUUAUCGAUGAAUAAAUUUUUACUGUUAUAUAUCACAAAAAUAUUAAGUCUAUAUUCAGUAAGUAGGUUCAACUAAAACUUAAAUCACGUACACAAAUAAGUUUAGAUUUUUACCAUUGUCAUUUUUAAGUAAGUACAAUCUAGGCUAUCGCGAUUCAACUUUUUAUUAGGGGUACUCCACUUACCUCACUCUUUUUUUGUUCUUCUUUAAAACUUAGAUAGGAGUUACUGAUGAUAAUUAGAGUGCUAAUUUUGUCAUUUACGUUAUUUCUUACUCGCAAGGUCUCCAUUUUGGUUGAAUUAAUUACUACAACAUGUAGUGCAAAUCAAAUUUUCAAACUUAAUCUAGCCCAAUAGAAUUAUUUUGCACAAAGCAACAAAUAAAUAAAUAAAUAUGACAUGAUAAAAAGCAAUAUUUACCUAUUGUAGAAGAACUGAACAUUUUGCUCAGGGCUUGAGAAAGCUCUUGGUAGCUCUUGAAAUUCUUUAAAUCCACCUUACGCAGGUAAGGGCACCAUCUACACUGACUUUAACAAAUGCUGCUGCUGCAGAACCAGUCCCAGAUUUCUCAGCUUCUGUGUUGCUAUUUUUCUGUACAGAUAGGAUAUUCUUUCUGAAUGAUCUAACUGGUGGCCAACCAACUACUUGAGUCCUGAGAUUUGGGAAAAAAAAAUUUCAUGAAUUCUGUUCUUCUUAUUAUUGCUAGAAAAAAUAUAUGCAUAUGUUCUAAUUUUUUUUUUAAUCUUAAUUCCAUAUACAAAGUUUUGGCUUGGACAUCUCAUAUGAUUAAAGUAAAAAAAUUUUUCUUUGCUUGACCUCAUGCCAUUAGCAAAAUUACAUUAAAGUGCUCCUUUUUUUUUUUUUUUUGCAUUCAGUAUUCCACUUUGAUACACAAAAAAUCAAUACAAUCCCAUAGAGAAAUUACUUUGUUCAUGGACUCAUGAAACACUUUUGAAUGAUAAACAAAAUUGAUAAUAAUUACAUAAACCUUUUUAAAAGAAGCCAAAUUUUAGAAAAAUCAAACAAAAAUAUGCCCACACACAAAAAUGAAAAUCAAAGAAAAAGAAAAAGAUAGAAGAACAUACUUGGCAGGUGGUUUUGAAGGAUUGCUAGAACUUGAGGCAGCAACGCUUUUCUCUUCUUCAUCAGCCUGAGAAUUCUUUGAUGCUAAGUUGAGCUUCAAAUCAACAGUUUCUGAGAACCCUCUUUUGUUACCAUUGUUUAUAGUACCAUUCUUCAUGGACUCACCAUUUUCAACAUUUCCAUUUCCUCCUCCUGGCAGUCCAAGUCUUAACUCAGUUUCUUCAUAAUUCAACCUAUACUCAUUGCAUUCUCCACCCAUUGUUCUAGACAGGGACGGAGCCAGAAAUUUAUUUUUGAGGGGGCUGAAGUGUAUUAAAAAUUUUUUUUGUGACGAAAUAAAUAUAUUUAAUAAGUAAAAUUUGGAAUCAAUAAUUAUAAAAAUAAUAAAAACAUAUAAUUAUACAUACCCAAAAAUUUGUUAUUGAUUAACACUUGAAAUCAUUUUGAAAAAUAGUUCAGGGGUGCAAAGUACAAUUAAAAUCUCGUCGCGAGACAAUCCAUGCAGUCACCUGCUUAUGUGACUAACUACCUUAAUUCACAAACCAAUCCAGAAAAAUAUAAAGGACCAAAUAAAGGAAAUCAUUUUAGCCAACAAGAAUACUAAAUGCACGUUUUUAUCCGAUUGUCUCGCGAGGAAAGUGCGCUAAAAGUACAAAUAUUACGUGUGGGGAAGAUACUCUAACUCCAGACAAAUUCCCUUUCCUUCUUGACUUCGGAUUCUGUAACGUCGGUUAAAUCCUCACUAUAUAAACAAACAUAAGCAAUAUUUGCAGUAAAACCUGUUUCUUGAAUUUAAUCGUUCCAUCCUCUCUGCAGAUUCCGUUAAUUUGCCCUUUGUUUCUUCCUCAAUUCUUCAGAUAUCAAAACUGCUGCAAUACUCCCCAGGGUUGUACAACUAGCCACGUUCAAGAACCACCGAUUACUGAUCUGACUGAGGAAUCAGCAAUGGAUUUCGACCAUAAUGAGAGACCUAAUUCCACGCUCUACCAGCAAUUAAUGGCUCUGCAACCUCUCUAUCCUACCGCUAGUUUAAGGGAACUGAUUUCUUUUGCAGAUGAUCUCUUUCCUUAUGCUUCGGAGGAUGACUUGAUCAGCUUGGAGGAGGAAGGACUAAUGGGGCAAGACGAUGGUUAUAGUACUGGUAAUCUUAUGAUAAGUAGUGGGUUGCGAGAAGAUAUCAUAAUCCAGCAACUAAAGAUCAGAAGAAGAAGUCGUCGUCAAGAAGAAGUUGCAGAUGAUGAUGAAGGCUUUGAAGAAAUCUGUGUGGUUUGCCAGGGUGAAUACGAAGAUGAGGAGAUGCUGGGAGCACUGGGAUAUUGGACACGAGUUUUCCGGCGGCUUGGGGGGGCUUAAGCCCCCACCAGCCCCCCCUUAAAUCCGUGGCUGGUUCUAGACAUUUUUCCAGAAUUAAUUCCACCUCCAAAACUGCAAUAAAAAAAACCCACAAGAAAUUCUUGAUUUUUUUUAAUUCUUUUUUUUUUUGAUAGAGUUGUCUCUCUACUCUUGAUACUUGUGAGGGGGUACUAUUUUGACUAGUUGAUAAUGCUAUGUUUUCUACUACAAGGGAGAGAAAAUAUUUUGUGAAUGAGAAGAAAGCAACUUAUGCCUGGCAGUUUAUGGUCAUGAAUAUAUUAAAAAAUGAGAAUGAUGAGUGGACGGUGGAGAUCUUACCACGUCGUCGGGGAAAACAUUCGCUGGAUUGAACCCGGCUUGUCGGAAAGUGAUGUAAGGAGUGACGUAAUAAGGGAGGCAUGAUUGAUUUUUAGGCAAUUGGACAGAGCAUUAGGCUUUGUUUGCCUUUAUUUGGUUUGUUAGGCUCCACUGCACUAUUGAACAAUAGUGCAAAGAUAUGACUAAUGAGAAUAAUUUUUGGUUUUUUAUUAAAUUCAUUCUAAAAAAAUGAGGGAAAGAUUUAUAUACUUAUUUUGUUUGGCCCAAAAUUGAAUUGUAAUUUAUGUAAAGAAAAUUAAAUUCGUAUAACUUAGAAUAUUUACAAUGUUUUUUUAUUACAAACAUCGCCAAAUGGCAAAGAUUGAACAUUACUAGGAGAUUAAUCGAAAAACGAACAAACAACCAUUUUAAAAUUGUCUAAUUAAAUCAUGUUUGGAAAAAGCAUAUCAGCAAAGUUAAUUAUAAAACACAAACAAUUGUAUUUUACACAAAUAUCGAAUACAAGGUUAACAUUUUUGCUUUUAAUGAUGCUAUUGGUUCUAUUUUCGUUUAGAAUAUAGAUCCAAUUGUGGUUUAUAAAAUCACAAUCAUAGAUCGCGGAUUCAUACCCACGCAUGACAAAGUAACUAUCUAAAUUAGCGUCAGAGCAAGAAAUUAGUCUAUUUAGGUGCCGAAGUUGUUUACUUUUUACUCUUUUUGUGUCGAAUUAAAUCUUUAUUUGGCAGUUUUUGGUCAAGCCCAUAAUUUUAGGUAUAUGCUUUCAAGAAUUUGUGGUUUCAAUUAAAUGAAAAAAAAACGUUGGAACAAAGACUAUCAUAUGUCAAAAACGAUAGAAUGUCAAAGUUGUUAAAAAAUUACAUCAAAUGUCAAUUGGUAAACUUUUGAUAUGACUGCGAAAGAAGUUAACAAAGGUAUGUAAUAUGACUAUUUCUGCUGCUCAUAAAAUGCUUUGGUAAUGUCAACAAAUAAGCUAAAGUAGUUACUGAUUACGCUUUGCUUUGGAUAACGAUAUAUAUUAUGCAACUAAAGUACGGAAGAACCAUAAAAACUUUUAAGCAAAUUUUAAGUGCAAUAAGAUUAUUUUAAUAUUAAUUUUCUAGCCAAUUAGUCAAAAAGAAAAAUAUAGAACAACUAAAUUAUAUUAAAUUAGCCUAUUAGAAAAACUUUUAAUACAACAAAUGAUUAUUGAGUAACAUAUGAAAUAAUCAAAUAAAUGUGGUCCUAUCAGGUAAAAAGUUCCCAUGUUUUGGUUUUUACCUCUUAUUUUUAGAAGCCUUAUUUCAUCAUAAAGAUCUCACCAUCCUCACUGAAGUUUCUUGUCUACCAUGUUAAUCAGGUGAAGUGACUGUCUAUAUUUAUCAAAUUACUCCCUAUGAGAACUAAUUCUUCUUUAAUACAUCUUGAAUAUAAUGGAAUGCACUUUAAGAUUAUGUAUUAUUAAAAAAAACAAGGAAAAUGUAUCAACAUCUUCAAACAAACCCCAGAAUUUUCUAAAGAAUGGACAAUGUAGUUUGUCUCAGUUAAUUAUACUACAUUUGGGUUAAGACAUGCCAAUGUCCUAUUUCUAAAUAAUUUUUUUUUUAAAAAAAGAACAAUGGGUUUAAUUUUCAUCUUUAAUGCUUUUAUUUGUCUCUAAAGUUAGUUUCACGCCAUAUUUCAAUCAUAUUUCAUAAUUCUAUUCGGAAUGUUAUCAUCAUUUUUCCCUUUAAAGGUAUAGAGCUCCUGAUGAUCUUAUAUUAUCUACAAUCAUCUAAACAUAAAGUUUAGUACUAUAGCUCAAAUUAUCAGGAUUUUUUCAAAAUGAAAAUGCAAAUUAUCUUAUUUGUUUGAAGACAUUAUUUGUCCGCUGUUUGAAUUAAACUGAUGGGACAUGACUGAAUUAUUACUCUUCUUUUUUCCUUAACGUGCAUGUGGUUCUUCUCAUUUGUUUCCCCCUUUUUAUGUUUCGUUUUCUUGUGUUCAUUUUAUUACUAAAAAGGGAACUUGUGAGGAUCAAAUUUUUGCUUCAAUGAGGUGAAUGCAUUUUUUGCCAACUUUUUGCUAAGAAACAUAAUAGAACAUCGCAAUGAAUUAUUACAGUUUAGUCCUUGGAAGUUUUGACACUUUCUCUUAUUUUUUUGGCUCCCACAUAUUUUCUUCUUUUAUUAGUUGUCAUUUGUUGGCCAAUUUGAUAAUUGAUGGACCAGAAAUGUCGUGUGUAUAUCCAAACUGACAGGCUUAUUUUGGCAUUUUAUCUUGUAGAAGAGACUAAGGUCCAAAUUUUAUUUCGAUUAAAAUAAAGCAAAAAAAAAAGUCUAGAGUGGCCUCUAGGCUUCUAAACAUAUUUAAAGAAAGAAAUUUCCGUGCUAUUCAAAAUUAUAAAAUUGGCCAAAGCGAGGGUUCUUCAAAAUUGAAAGGUACGACGACUAAAAUGUAAUUUCCUUUUAUCAUCUUCCUUUGUUAAAGAGAAAAAAAAUUCGUCUGAUUCUUAAAACCUCAACUUUUUGUUACAUUUUCUCCUACUUUGUUAGAUUUUUUUUUUUUCAGUAAUAGCUCUUUUAAUAUGUGGGUAAAAUGAGCUCCAAACUUUCUCCACAAAUUAGAAUCUAUUUUACUUUAGUGCUUCAACUUCAAAUUAAUGAGCAUAAAAUACAAGUCCUUUCAAUUUUUCCGUAAUUCAACUAACUAACAUUAGCAGAGAAUGCAAAUGUUUUCCGGCAAAGAAUUUCAUGUGAUUUCGAAUAAAAUCAAGAAUACAAUAGUUUGAUUUCAAUAUAUAUUUCUUUUGUCAUCCUUUUUUUUUUUGGGAUACACGACUCAUAUACUCAGUCAGAAAAUUACUUCUUGAUGUCUUAUUGUAAUUUGGCUGAAAAUUAUCUCCACUAAAAUAGGGUUCAAACUUCAAUCCAGUUAUUUCUUAACGGAAGAUCAAAUUCGAAUGCAACCUGAAAUCCAUUAUGCCGAGUCUGCCGACCUAACACAUGAAAACACAGAAAGCAAAAGAAUGAAAAGGACCAUACGAGGCUGUACUGUCAAUAUCCCAAACAAGAGGGGUCCUUUCAAACCACCAAGUUCAAACCAACCAAGUCAAAAUCCCCUCGUGUGUAAGGGGCCAGUACAGCUCACACGUUAAGGCCCUUUUUUUUUGUUACUCACUGAUUUUAGCACUAGAUUCGGAGUAUCUACAAUUAUCAGUCACGAAUUUUAGAGUAAAUUAUUAGCAAUAUAGUACAUCAACAACAAAUGUAUACUUAAACAAGAAAUAUAAAGCAAUAACAUAAUUUCAGAGUCAUUGUCCAGAUACACAUGCCAUCGUGUGCAUUAAUUCUUUGAUGUAUAAAUCUAUGCUGUUGGAUUGGGACCUUAUCCACAUAUAGAUAAUAACAGGCAUAAAUGAUUUACCCCAGACAAUCCUAGUUUUUUUUUAUAAUUUUUUUCCCAUUAACUCUUUGAUGUGUAAAUAGAUGCUGUUGGAUAGGACCUUAUCCACGUAUGGAUAACACAUAAAUGAUUUACCAAAAUAAUCCUAGUACUUUUCUUUGAAAUAAAAAUUUUUCUGGUAGAAAGGGGUGGGAUUUAAAAAGUGGAGAAAGGGAAGGGGAUUUAAACUUAGAAAUUCUAAUUCAUAAAAUGUUGACCUUAACUACUGAAUCAGGAUCUCUUCUACAUUGUUUGGGAGGCAAAAGUUAUUUCAAUGAUAUUGGCACAUAAGACAAUUUAGGAAAAAAAUACAAUUUAGCUAUUAUAGCAACUGAGCUAGAAAAUCAUAAUUAAACACAACUAAAGCUAGUUUAUGUAUUAUUAAAGCUUUUUAGCACAGUUUUUGUUGCUUCUUAGUUUAACUUUUAUCAAUAAUUUAGGUUUUUGCUUUUUGUAGUGAAUGGUCAAGAUUGGAUUUUGGAUAGAUUUGGUUCAAAUGGCAUUUUGGCCAUUGUAAUAGUGAUUUAUUUAUUUAUUAAAUGGCUUCUCUUACUCCUCUCCAUUAUUUUUCUAUUUUCUUUGCUUUCCUUCACCAAUGGCAAUUACACAAUGGGAUGUAAUAUCCAUGUUAUAUACUCUAAUAUGUUGACACUAUCCUCAUUAACCUUUGACAAUUAUACCCCCAAUUAAGUUCAAUUCUUGGAAAGGACACAUGUCAAUGCAUCAAAGUGCGUAACAUAAGUGUACAUAUUAGUGUGUAAUAGAAGGCCCAUAACCCUCACUAGAAGGUCCACCUAUCAUCAAUUAGAGCUCAAGGAAGUAUGAUGAUUGGUAGCAUCUAGCAAAUGGUGAAACAAAAAUAAGUGAAAAAGUGCCAACAUCUUAAGAAAAUCUAGACAAAAAAUAUUGAAAAUUUAUGAAGAAUUGAUAAGAAAUUUUUGGAAAAAAUGGAAAGAAAGCACAUCUGCAAACAAUGAAAAUGAUAAGGGAAAAAGGGUGGAGGUUAGUCAAAGUUAUUAUGAGUUAAUACUUACUUUUGGUAAUCUUCAAAUUUAUUAUAAGUAAUAUUGAAUAAGGGCAAUAUGGAAACUUGGAAAAAAAUUAGAAAUUACAAUUGGUUAAUGUCAGCUGGUUUUCCACUAUUUGCACGUUGAAAUGGAUUUUCAAGUAUUGUUGAACAUGGUGAUUGCAACGGAAGAGUGCCUUGGAAGCUAUGGAAGACUAUCUCGCGCAUCAAAACUUUAGCGUUGGGUCGCCAGGUUACCUUUACGCACACCUAUAGAGAAGCAAACGCAGUUGCAGAUGCCUUUGCAAAUCUAGCAAGCUUGACUUAGGUUAAAGUUUUUCUAGCAAAUCCAUGCAUGUUUGUCAAAGUUUUUCUACUUCUCAAUUGCCAAAGCAUAUAAAGGGGUUAGCCCGCCUAGAUAGGAUACAGAUGCCUUAUGUACGCUUGACUUAGGUUUGCGUCGAGGUUAUUAUGUUACUGGCGGAAUGUCAGCAUCAUCCGACGUACGCUGAUGGAAUUUUGAAUAAAAUUUGGAGUGGCGCCCAUCCCAGUAUACAGGGUUAGCCAAAAAAAAAAAAUAGAAAUUAACUCUUGACCCUUCUGCUUAUGCUUCAACUAUGAUAACUGUAGAUGUUGCAAGUGCUCACUUUGGUAAUAGAUUUUAAAUGUUAACUACUUAGGCAAAAAAGGCAAUUCAAAUAUACAUACAUACAUAAUGUAUUUAUGUAUGUAUGUAUGUGAGGCGGUAUAUACUGCAUGCAUACCACGUGGCCACUAAAACUAUAUAAAUUGUACUGAUCUCGAACCCAAACUGUGGGGGUUUGGGUUGUGGGGGGGUAGGAAAAGGUUUUAACUUCCUAAAAAUAAGGGUGAUAUUAGUUGGUUAUUGAUAAUAACUAUAUUUAUCUUAAAAAGAUGGGAAAUCAUCAUCUGAACCAAUGUCUAUCCAACCAAAUUAGAUAGAGGUAAUUUUUAUCGCUUUAUCACAUUAUCUCUUAAUCUCUUUAUCACUCUCUCGCAUGAAAACCUAUAUGUAAAGAUACAUAACACAUAGAGAAGGGAUUCUUUUUCCUUAAGUAAAAACUCACUUGAGUGUUGCAGUGACCUUGGGACUUGACUCUGAGGCUUCUCACAAAUUGGUCUCUUUUUUGUAGGUUUCUUAGAGAGUUCUACCUUCAUGUGACUGAACUCCCUUCUUACUAUCUAGUUCAACUUGAUGGAAGGAAAUACUACUUAGACAAUCAGCACUGUCUAUGGGAAACUCGAUGAAAUAAUUUCCUUAUAACAAAGGCACACUCUAAGAAAACUGCUAGUAAUAUCAAUCAAAGUGACUCGAAGAACCUCAUAAUGACUCUGGACAAACUCUAGGUGACAAUGAUGGUUAGAUUCUAGAAGAAAGAAAGAGCAAAUUCUGAAAUGUGUAUCAGACAAUCUUCCUUUAUUUGAGGAUAUUGUUUGCCAGAUAAAAGAAAAAGGCAAGAUGGAAGAGUGUAAAAUUCAAAAGUUGUGAUAAAGAGGAGAGAAGGGCAAGCUUUGUCCUCUGUUAAUAGCUCAACGAUAAUCAUCCCCCAAAAGUAAACAAGCCCAUUCUCCUUUUAGGGAUCACAUUUCUAUCUCAGAUGCUGAUCAGCACUGUUCUCAUCUCUCUCAUGGCUGAUCAAUAAAAAAUGCCAUAAGCCUAGGGAUCUAGUUCGAGACGAACUUGAUCUGAUCCUAUGACUAACAUAUGAAGAUCUUUACACAGUUUUCUUCUUUGUUAAGGAAAUUGAAAAUAUCCUCUACCAAAAAGAUUGAAAUUUUCAACUUAAGAUAUGUAUAAUGCAUCCAAAGAUCCGAGGAUCAUCAUUCUUGUUUCUUACCCAUAUGCGACAAUAAACUAUUGCAAAUGAGAUUCGUUGCAAAACCUUUCCUAUGUUUUUGAAGGGAAAAACUAGGGUUUGAUUCCAAGGACUCCAAGACUAGUCAGGCCUUUUCCUGAACUAGCUAAUUCAACAAUUCUCUUUUCAAAGUCUACUCAAGAAUGCAACACAUUUAAUGGCAACAAAGUAUAUGAUGAGUCCCUAAGGAAUUAUAUGACUCGUUUUAAUAACAAGAGUCUCCAAGUUGAGAUAAAGAAAGAAGGUGGUGAUGGCAGCAUUUAUAAAUGGCUUAAGAAUUAGUGAGUUAUAUUAUAAACUUGCUAAGAAACACUUAGGACAUUGGAAGAACUACUGAAGAGUUUACGCUACUGCUAAUGCAGAAAAGGCUUCUCAUUUUAAAACGAGAAUCAAAAGUGGCCAUGAGGAUAAGCAAAGAAAGAAUGGAAAUGUUGAUCCUUGAUGAGCAGACUAGGAGGAACGUUUUUGACGGCUUUUCAAGAGGAAGAGUUUCCAAGAAAAGGAUAACACCAAGAUCUUAAACCUUGGUAGUGAUGGAGGCAGAAGGUGUUAGAAGAAGGCCUCCUAAGAUGUCUGAUUUUAGAAAUAAGAGGAUAAAAACCUCUGUUGUGCUUUCCAUAGAGAUAUUGACCAUGAUACUGAGAAGUGCAAGGAUAUAAAAAAGGAAAUAGAGGAGUUGAUUAAGCAAAGAUACUUGGAAUAGUUCAUUCAAAAAACCAAGCCUUCCAAAGAGAAAGAAUGGAUUAUCUUCCGAAAAUUGAGAUAACAGAAGGAAACAAUGAUGAGAUCAACAAAUACACAUGAUAUCGUUCACCAGAUCAUGACUCACAAAACCUGGCUAGAUUCAUCAAUAUAAUACCUACAGGAUCACUAGUGGGGACAAUCAUUCAGCCUGGUAAACAACCGAACUCCACUAGAAGAGGAUAAUUCUACAAACGAUUGAAAGCAAAUCAUAUAAGGUCCUGAGGAUUCUGUUCCAUUGACAUCGAACAAUCAUGAGACAUAUCAUAAUAUAAUCACUAAUAAUUUUAAGGUAAAGAAUGUAUUCAUAAAUCUGGAAGCACAGUGGAUAUGUUAUAUUAUAAAACCUUCAAGGACCUUAAACUUUAAUCCAGUUAGGACACCAUUGGUGGGAUUUGCUAGUCUUUCUAUAAAAUUUGUAGGGAUGAUUACUCUAAUGGUGACUGUGGAAAAGUGCCUAAAUGCUGAACUGCCCUAAUUAAUUUUGUGGUGUUGAAGAACCUUUGUCAUACACAAUUUGCCCGGCCCACUUGUUUUAAUGCUUUAAAACCCUCACCUCAGCUUUGUAUUAGAGCAUGAAAUUUCUCACCCCUAGCGGAUAGCAAAAGCUCAUAGAGAUUUGAGGUGGUUAGCGCAUGUUAUGUAGCCACCCUCAAAGGGAAGGAAAAAUUGGUUGAUCGGAUGACCAGUUUGAAUCCCUUUGUACUCGAGAAAAAGGGAAAAUAGCUCGAAACUGAGGACACCAUAGAAGAAUUCCCAUUAAAAUAGGAAAAGUUGGAUCAGGUGAUUAGAUUAGGUCUUUUCUAUCCCAACACGACAAGAAACAGUUGAAGAAACUGCUGAAGGAAUAUGCUAAAAUAUUCACUUGGACAGUUGAUCACAUGCCAGGAAUACCAAUAAAGCUAGAUGUCCAUAAGCUGAAUAUGGACCUAAGUGCUAAACCAGUAAAGCAGAAGAAGCAAAAUUUUGCCCAAAAGAAAUGAAAUUAUUAAUCAGGAGAUGGAAAAAUUUUUAGAAUCUCAGAUCAUAACUUAGGUAUACUAUUCGAGAUGGUUGCUAAUCUAGUAUUGGUGAAGAAAAAUGAUAAAUCUUGGAGGUUGUAUAUAAACUUCACUGACCUGAAUAAGGCAUCUCCAAAGGAUUGCUACCAUUUCCUCGACUGGACCGGUUAGUAGACUUUACUAUUAGAUAUGAUAUUUUUUAUUUUCUAGAUUCUUUUAAAGGAUAUCACCAGAUGGAGAUGGAGGAAAGCGAUAAAGAGAAGACAUUUUUUAUUAUCGAAUGUAGUAAAUGCUAUUAUAGAACUAUGUUAUUUGGAUUGAAAAUGCUGAAGCUACUAUCAAAAGCUAGUGAACAAAAUUGUGUCACAAGCUAAUCAGUAAGAACAUAAAAGUGUAUGUAGACAACAUAUUGGCAAAGUCAGACUACUUAAUAACUUAUUUCUGACCUAAUGGAGGUUUUUUAGAUUUUACAUAAUAGCAAGAUGCGUCCAAAUCCUAAAAAGUGUACAUUUGGGUGAUGUCUAAAAAUUCCUAGGACAUAUAAUAUCCAAAAUAGAAUACGAGAUAAUGCAGAUAAGUUCAAUAUUAUCAUAAAAAUGGCCUUCCAAAAAAUGUCAAAGAAGUACAAAGGCUCACGGAAAGGAUGACAGUAUUGAAUAAAUCUUUAUCCAGGUCGAUAGCACGAGGACAUCCUUUCUUCAAAUGCUCAAAGGUGGCAUCAACUUUGAAUGGAUGAAGGAGAGCCAGAGGGCCUUUGAAGAGCUAAAAGGUCUCUAGUAGAGCUGCCUACUCUUACCUCACUUGAAUAGGGAGAAACUCUGGCUAUCUACUUGUUUGUGUGCGAAGAAACUAUCAGCGCUAUCUUAAUGCGAGAAAGCCAGUGUAUUCAAAAACCAAUAUACUAUGUCAACAGAGCACUUCAUAGGGUUGAGAUGUUGUAUACACCUACAGAGAAACUUGUCUUAGCUCUUGUUCACGUAAUUAGAAAACUUAGACCUUAUUUUCAAUUCACAGUAUAGUUGUUAGGACAAAUCAACCGCUUAAACACAUACAAACAAGAUUGGAGACGUUGGAAAGGAUGACGAAAUGGGCUGUUGAGCUAGUUGAAUAUGACAUCUCUUACAAGUUAAGAACAGCAAUAAAAGCACCAGCUUUAGCUGAUUUUAUAGCUAAAGAGUAGCCAUGUAUCAAAUAGAAGCAAAUGUAGCCAGAAUAAAACUAGAUCGGCAUGGACUUUAUUUGUGGAUAGGAAUUUCAAUAAGGAAGGAUGUGGAGCAGGAUUAUUGCUGAUGAGCCCAACAAGAGAAAAGCUAACAUAUACUUUAAGGUUUGAUUUUAAAGCAUCCAAUAAUGAAGUGGAGUAUGAGGUGCUAAUAACCGUAAUGAAGUUAGGUUGACAGGUAGGAACGACUUUCUUAAAAUUCAUAAUGAUUCCAAAAUUAGAGUUAAUCAAGUGAAAGGAAACUAUGAGACUAAGGAAGAUUCAAUGAAGUACUUAACGAGAGUUCAAAAAAUGAUGGCAAUAUUUGAGAAGUAAAGGUGAAACAGAUUUCAUGUUUCCAAAAUAAAAGAGCAGAUGCUUUGUCUAAGUUAGUUUCUUCUUCCUCUACACAUCUCAACAAGAAAGUUUUAAUAGAAGUGGUAAAACAGUGUAGUUAUGAGCAGCAAGAAAUUUAAGCAAUCUCUAACUCAAAUUCAUGGUUGUAACUCGUAGUUAAAUAUUUUAGCUCGAGAAUGCUGUAAAAAAAUAAACAGGUAGAAUAAAACUGAAAGCAACCAAGUAUGUCUACACUCAAGAAACUUUUUAUAGGGGUCUUAUUUAUCUCCAUGGUUGAGGUGCAUCACCCCGAAAGAAAAAGACUAUAUGCUCUGGGAGAAUCAUGAAGAGAUAUGUGGAAGUCACAUUAGAUCAAGGAUGUUAGUAAAAAAGUGUAUCUAAUGGGCUAUUACUAGCUCACCAUCUUUAAGGAUGCUUUCGAUCUGGUGCUGAAAUGCGAAGCAUGUCAAGUACAUACACUAAUUCAUCAUUAUCUUACUCAGAAAAUAUUCUCCAUCCAAAGCCCUUGGCCUUUUACUCAAUAGGGGAUAGAUCUACUGGGACCUUUCUCCAAACUCCUAGAGGUUAUAAGUAUUUGGUGAUGGCCAUAGACUAUUUUACUAAGUGGAUAGAGGCCGAAUUCUUGAGUUUAUACUGAGGAGAGCAGUUCAAAAACUUUUCUAGAAGAAUAUUGUGUGUCGGUUUGGAUAUCACACAUGCUAAUCUCAGAUAAUAACAAUAGUUCAUAGAAAACCCUUUAAGGAGUGGUAUGAAGAGCUAAAAUAAAAUACCAUUUCACUUCGAUAGGACAUCAACAAGCUAAUGGAUAGGUGAAAAAUAUAAACAAAAUAAUUUUGUUCGGGUUGAAAACUAGGAUAGGGCAAACAAGGUUGGAUAAUUAGAUAAAUUGCCUAACAUAUUGCAGCCUUACAAAAAACUCCAAGGAUAGCAACCUGUGAAACCUCGUUUGCAUUGAGUUACAAGGCAAAAGCAGUUAUACCAACAGAGAUGGGCCUUCCCUCUCCUAGAGCUCAGAAUUUCAUUUUGAAAGUCAAUAAUGAAGAAAUGAGAUAUAACUUGGAUAUGCUCGACCAAAAUAGAGAUGAAACUAUAAUAAGGAUGGCUAAAUAUAAGAACUAGUAGGUCAGUACUAUAACACUAAAGUUCAAUAAAAGAGCUUCAAAGUAGGAGAUCUUGUUCUAAGGAAGAAUUCAGUUAGCCGUGUAUUUGUAACUAAUAAAUUAGAUCCUAAUUGAGAAGGUCGUACAUGAUUAUAGAGAUAGACAAGCUGAAUAUUAUAAACUAGCUUGGCUCAAUGGGAAAGAAAACCCAUGCACCUGGAUCAAGAUUUUGACUUUCCAUUUGUUUGAAAUAAAGAUAUCUUUUUUAGUCCAAAUUCUUAUUAUAUAUGACCACUUGUAAUUUAAAUUGGAUAAAUUCUUAAUUAUUCAGUAAAGCAAGUGACUCUAUGCUUUUAACUUAGUAUAUUUUGAAAUAUUUUCUACGUAUACUAGGAGGUAAGACAUGUUACAGAGGAAAUAUAAAAUAGGAAGGAGUUCAGUGAAAGAAGUCAAUAAAGAAGAAAUGUACAACAAAAUUUUCAUUGCAGGGUAAAAUAUUUUGUACAACAAAAUAUUAACUAUAAGGGAAGGAAUCCUAGACUAUGAAUUGUUUAUCGUUAGCCUUGCUAGUGACCUUUUCCUCACAGAUAGCGUUGCCCUGUUCAGUCUUCUUCUUCGAGUCCUACUCGAUUUGCUCAACUAACUCAAGCUCAGGGUUGGUUAGAACUUUCUCCAGCUUGUAGCCUAUAGUGUAACCAUCAACCAACCUGUCAAGCUUUUCGUUCGCUUGAAGAUCAUAGUUCAAAUACUUUGACAGGUUGAAACUUGGGAGGUGUAUUGCCUCAACUUCAGCUAGCACCUUGGAGUAGCCAUAUUGAAAGGUUGGUUUGCUGAGAGGGGAGUGAAUAAAUUCUCUGAUGGCCUUCCUCUCUUCCUUUUGGAAGGACUUAACUAACUCGACAUUGUAUUUUCCUUCCAAUUCAGCAUAACUCUUUUGAACUUCUUGUAAGUUGGCUUGAAAUAAAGCAACUAGGGUAUAAGAGAUCGUCAGCUCGUCCUGUGCCUUCUAGAAGAAAGUCGAGCUCCUUCUAUGCAAUGUUGAGCUAUUUCUUGAGGGUCUGAUUCUUCUUGGUCACCUUCUCCAGAUCAGGCAUUUGCUUUUCAAAGCAGCGAGCCACCUCCAUACCUAAUGUAUUUUCCUUAGAGAAACAUGGUAAUCAAAUUAGUAAAGAAAAGUGAAAAACUCUUUCUUAAAGGGAAACUUUCUUAAGAAAAAAAAAAAAAAGAGGACCAAAGGCUGUGGCUUCUUACUUGAGCUCAAGCAGAAUAAAAAAGUUCAACAACUCAGAGUUAGAAGCCAACUCCAUGAAUCUCUUGUCUUUAGACAACACUAAACUAUGAGUGAACUCACAAGUACCAUACGGAUAUUUGGUCUAGCUGUUGAUAAAAAAACCCCCAUUGAGACAAAAGUGGUGGGAAUCAUGGACAGUGGGAUGUUGGCUAGACUUCAAUGGUGCCGCAUACCUAAAGUGCCAUGUUGAUUGGGCAGCAUAUGGUUUGCCUGUUGCUCAGCCAAGCUAAGCCCAUAAUGGACUGUCACCCCUACAUCAGAACUUUUCUGGCAACCUACUGAGUUGCAAUUUAGGUAACUUCUUAGGGGGAGGAAGUGGUUGGUUAUCCUCUAGGCGACCCCUCUUGAGAGCAAUAUUUCACCCUUAUUUUGCCCCUUACCCUAAUCAGCAUCUAUAAGGGGCUGAUAGGAGGAAAGCUGACCUACUGGGUAGGAGAGCCAUCUUGCUACUGGUUGGCAGAGGGUUGGGUAGGAGUUCUAAAGGACAGGAGUUGAGAGAAUCAUUUCACUGUAAAAAGAAAAAAAUAGGGGGUCAAAACUCUAAAAAAGAGAGAGAAGAAAAAAGAAAGGAAGAGAAAGAAAAAUUUACAAUUCUAGUAUUUCUUUUGGGGUAAAUCCCUAUCCUGGUCAUUGGACAGAGGACUGACUAAUCCAGCCAUUGCAAUUUGUUUAGUAUAGAACUCCUUAACAUACAAUUUGACUUUGGAAUUUAGGAGCAAAUCAAAGGCAUCCAUGUCUAGGUCAGCAAGAUAGGGAUAGGUUUUGAGUUCUACUACCUUCAAAAAAUUAGGAGGAAAGAAGUCGAUUUUUACAAAGAAGAAUUCAUUCUUUCACCUUUUAAUGGAUGAAAGAACUCCAUAGAAAAUAUCUCGAGUGCAUUUGUUAUCUUUGCUAUAGAAAUGCCUAGCAAAGUAGAACCACCCAGAUGGAGAUGUUUUGAGCAUAUAGUAUACUCAAAAUAGGGAAAGGGAAUAAGAAAUUAUACAAAGGUAACAGUAAAUGGGGAAGUUUAUAAUGGUUCUAAUGGAGUUGAGGUGAAACUAGGUGAUUCAAAUCUCUUAGUAAGCUAGGGUGUCAAAAAAAGUAAGAGGAAUGGAAGCCUAAGCCUUGAGACAAGUUGCUCCCUAUAAAUGGCGACAUAGCUGGGAAGAGGUAGGUUGAAUCUUUAAUCAAGGCUAGCUACCUGAACUCUAAAGGAUUCUAUGAUGGAGUAGGUGGCAACUUGUUUGUCCAUGUCCCCUUGAAAAAGAGUAGAGGAUAAAUUGGAAGCAUGACAAAAUCAGUGGAGUCGGGGUCAGGUUGGUCUGCUUCGAUCUCUAGGUGGUAACUUUGGUUACUAACACUUGAAAUGCAUAAUAGGCAUGGGCAUAUAUAUAUAGGCAUGGGUAUUAUACAUAAUAUGCACGAGUAUUUCAAAAUGGCUCCGUUUUCAAAAUUGCUAACACUUGAAGUGCAUAAUAGACAUGAGCAUAUAUAUAUAGGCACGGGUAUUAUACAUAAUAUGCAUGAGUAUUAUGUGUGUAUAUGUGUGUGUAUAUAUAUAUAUAAACACACACAUACUAAUAAUUAUUACCAUUUCUUGUAUUUAUAUACUUUAUCUAUAAUCUUAUAUUUCAAAAAAUCUAACACUUGAAAUGCAUAAUAGGCACAGGCAAAGAUACUAAUAGAGCAAUAAUUAGUUGCCUGAGCAAUUUUCUGAUUGAAGGAUAGUUUUGCCCAUUGUUAAAGUUUUAACUCAAUUGCAAGCUUUUGGGACAUAUUCGGCUAACCCUCAAAAUCUCUCCGUCCGAUUAUCUGCCAAGAUUUGAAGCUCCAAAACCAGCCAUGGUGCUUUGUUAGAUCAAUGAUCCUUCAUUAUCUUUGUUAAAUGUAAAUAUAGUUACUGACUAAUUCAUAUUUCUAGAGUUUUCUAUCUUGUAUCUAGUGUGUUCUACCAUCCACUAACCACAUGUAUUUACAACAUCUACUAGAUAUGACAACCACUUCAUUAUCAUAUCUUACCAUACCUAUAUUAGGCACCUCAUGUACUUGUAAACACACAAUUUUAUCUAAUACAACAUUCUCUUCAUUUUCUCUUCUCUCUAUUCUAUCACUCUCUACUCUCCACUUUGUUAUGGUAUUAGAGCUCCAACUUGGAGCCUGAUCUAUAACUUUUCUUUGGUUUUCUUUUCAUUAUAAAUUUUGAUCUAAUACAACAAUCAUCUUGAAACCUCUUACACCCAGUUAGCGUCAAGACAUUAUUCAAUUAGGCGGUACAUCAUUACUGAGUCAGCACUUAUCCGAAUGGCAUCUAAUCCCGAUUUCGACAUCUCUCAUCCUACCACCAUUGUUUUCAAUAGUGCUAAUUAUGGAUUAUGGAUGUCCACAAUGAGCAGCUUUCUUAAAGGUUACAAACGGUGGCGAGUCAUCACAGGAGAGUGCGUCAAACCCACCUGAGAAAAGGAAGAAUCUUCUGAUAAAUAUGCUGAUAGAUUGGAAGAAUAGGAUAGUAUCAAUUACAAAAUCAUCUCUUAGCUAAUCAAUACUUCAACUCCCUCCAUUGGUGCCCAUUCACAUAGUUUUGAUAUUGCAAAAGAAGCUUGGAAUUUUUUGGUAAAAAGGUAUACCACAGCUGAUUUGGCUUAUCAAUAUCAACUUGCCACUAAAAUACAACAGUUUCGUCAAGAGCCAAGUCAGUCCAUUGAUUCUUUUCGCUCUCAAAUGAAUAAUCUUUGGGAUCAGUUGGCUAUCUCUGAACCUGAAUGGCGAUGUCUUGAAGAUGCUGAACUUUUUAUCAAAUAUAAAGACAACAUGAGAUUAGUUCAAUUUUUAAUGGCUUUACGUGAUGACUAUGAGCCUAUGCGGGCAAAUCUUUUACACUGUCAUCCUUUGCCUACAUUUCGAUCAACUUUAGCUAAAUUGAUCUCAGAAGAAACUCAUCUUCAUAGCAUGAAUUCUAAAAUUACUAAAAUUUUUAUGGCAUCCGCUUCAAAAUCACACGCCUAACAAUUUUAAGGGGAAAAAUCUUACAAAUCUAAGAAACAAUGUAACUACUGCAAAUAAUGGGGACCACAAAAAAUGAGUGUUGUAAAUGCUAAGCAAUUUUACGUCAAGAUGGGUAGAAACUUAUGGCAGCUGUCCAAUCAAGUGGAACUUCUAAUCGAAGUACCAUCACACCCUAUGCACCAUUGACUGCUGUAGAUUUAGAGGCUGUAGACACCAAAUUUUUAAAUAAUUUGUAUGUUGCAUCUAAUUCAUGAUUUUGUUUUAGAUUGUCUGCAUUUUAGUUGUUACCUUUUUAUUUGUCUUUUAUUUGCUAAUUAUUUGUCAUAUUAAUUUUGUUCACGUUUUAGUUUUAGUUUUAGUUUUAAGUUUUAACGUAAAAUUUGUGAAAAAAGAAAAGAAAAGAAAAGAGGAAAUUGAUGAAAAAUGGAAAAUUGUGCUUUGUGGAUUCUAGUUUAUUUAGAUUUAGUUUCUAUUCAAUAAAUCAAAAAAAAAUCAAAAAAAAAAAAAUCAAAAAAUCACAAUUCUAUUUCUGCCGGUUCCAUUUUCCACUUCUCAACCUAGCACCUUCCAUUGUUAUUGCCGACUCCACUCCACUCCACUCCACUCCCAAUACCUCAAUAUAUACAUCCCACUACGCUAUAUCAUUGCCAGUUCACUACAAUCAUUAUCACUCACCAUAACAUUUUAUUUUCAAUUGUUCCUAUGCCGGGAGCUGUGAAGUGAUCAGCUUCUUUGGAAAUAACGACGAGAGAGAGAGAGGUGAGGACUUAGCUUAUCUUCCAGCCUCACUUCAAGACCAACCGAGAGAGGGAGAGAGAGAACCGAGAGUCAAACUUCCUCCAAUCCAGCCGCAAGUUUGAGCCAGGGAGAGGGAGAGUUGCGGACUGCAAUUCUGGACAGCCGAGAGUGGAGGAUUUGCAGCUGCUAGUCGUGUGUUUUAGGCUUCAAGCUAAGGUAAUUUCUGAACUUAGAUGAGUUGUUUAUGGGUUGAUGAAGCUGACUAUAAGCAUGCAUGUGGGAUUGUGUGGUUAGAUGAUAGGUUAAAUCAUAGAAAAAUCUGUUUGAGAAGGAAGUGAAGCUGCCGAGAGCUUGAGCUGGAAGUUUCGGUUUUUAAUUUGCUAGCUGUGAUGAUCUGAGCUUAAUUUUGGACUCAACCUGAUAGAUAGUUUCUUAUUUGAUGUUGCAUGUGAACUACGUGGCCUGAAUUUCGGUUGCAUGGCUGGAAAUUUUAAUGGAAGUUGAUGGAUUGCUGAAACAAUUUUUCCAGUUUAGCCGUUGAAGUUGUUUUGGAAAUUGCAUGGGUAUUUUAGCAUGAAAUUUGCUGGAAAGUGGUUGAUUUUCACUUGGUUAGGUGUUUGACUAAUUAAAAUUAGAUGAUUAAGCUUUGCAGGAAGUUUAUUGGUCCGGCUAAGCAAAAAAAAAAAAAAAAUGAAAUAGUGAACGGCUACAUGCAAGUUCAUCCAAGGAUGGCGAACAGAAUUUCUGGAUUUGUGGAUGUUUAUAGUUGCUGUCCGAACUUGAUCUGAACUAGAAAUGAUAGUAAUUUCAUUAAGUAGCCUUGCAUGUUAGUUUUGGGUACUUAACACAAUGAUUUAACCGAGGUAAAUUCGGAUUCAUGCCCAAGUACUUGCUGGAAAAUGCAUUUCAACUUGCCAAAUCAGUUUUAUAUGUUCCAGAUUUUUCAACUUGCUGAACGUAUUUUAUUUGUAUUUGCACUGGAUUUUGCUCAGUUUUUUUUUUCUAUUUGUUUGGAUGAUGGUUUGCUGCCUAGUUUAAAGCCUUGUGUUUGGAUUUGAUUGUGUUUGAAAGCUGGAUUUUGUAAAGUGCCGAAUUGCAGAAAGCUUGCUGCGUUUUUUUUCUGUUUCAUUCUUGUGCUGUUUAGUUUUCUUUCUACCUUUGAUGAUUAGCUCCAUUUUCUUGUUUCAAUGCUACAAUGAAGUUACAAGUUUAGUUGGUGAUUGGUAGUUAAAACUCUGAUAUAUGGUGAACACAUUUGUAUGUUGAAAUGCAAGAAAAGCUGCGGCUGAAGGUGCACAAAGCCAGAUUUGCUUCUUUUAUUAUUGAUGGAUAAUGAAUUUCCUUCCUUUGUUGAUGAUCAAAACCAGAUUUGCCAUCUUAAUCUUGCACCCAAAAUUUCAUGUUUUAAAUUGGGUCAAUAAUUUCUGGGUUGAUGAAUUUGUUUGCAUGAUAAAAAUGCGAAAGAUUGCGGCUGGAAAUUGCUGCUGCACUUUUUGUUUUUUUUAGCAGUCACCGAACUAUAUUUUGCUUGUUUGAGCAUGUUAAAUGGUUUAUGUCUUGGGGUAUACUAGUGGGUAACAUGCGAUAUUUGCCUCAUUAUGUUUUGAUUUGAGCUCAUGGAUGGUCUGUACAAAGAGUAAGCCACAAAUUUGCAGCAGAUUAUAAGAAAGUUUUUUUUUUUCAUUUUUCUUCGCAUGAGAGGCUGCCAGAAUUUGUAUUUGGAGUUGUUGGCCUGUUGAGUUACGCUUGUCUUUGAUUUAAUGUUGAAGCUUGGAUCGAUUGGCUGAAUUUUUAAUUGUGCUAGGAGUGCAUUUGAGCAACUCGGUAAUGCAGCAAUUCACCAAAACUGGUUUAGUUGUCUACCUUGCUAGUUUUCAGUUUUUGCCGCAUGAAAUAGGAAGAACAAGUCAAAGUUGCUGGAUUUUGUUUUAGCAUUUGAAUAUUCUUGUUUUCUGGAUUUUUGCGUUCCGAAGAGGGGGAAGAAUGUUUGAUCUCCUUACAAGUUUUUUUGUUUGUUGGAUUGUGUUUGCAUGGUAGAAUGGAAAGAAGCCACGGCUGGAAAUGAAAUUUGUUGCAGAGAAAGUUUCUUCUACGUGAUUGCAUGGCUUUUGCAUGAAAAUGACUUUCAAAAAUCGCACUCCAACCCCUUGGCUUCCAUCUAAUGCUUCCAUGGCCCAAUUAAUUGGAGCAAGGAAGAAAGAAAAACUCUUCAAAGUUUGGCAUCCAUCUAGUGCAAAUCAUCCAAAGCAAUCACUUAGACUUGUUUCUACUCCAUAAAAUCUCUUCUUUAGGUGUUAGUAAGUGGUUUGGUGAAGUGUUUUCGGAAGCUAAGGUGAAAAACAACUCUUCCUCUCUUGUUUACUAGGUGAGUGGUGAUUGAACUUUCUCCUUCACUUAAUGAAGCUUAAUUAGUGCCUAGUGGUAGUUAAAGUGAUGAAUUUUGUGGUUUAGUUCUUGGUUUUGGAUGAAUUGAUGAAGUUUUCAAUUUAUUGAUGAAUUUUCUGGUUUAAUAUGAAUGUGAUGUUGUGGCUAUCCUUGAUGAUGGGAACUGAUGUUUAAUGACUCUAGGAGGUGGAAAAAGUGGAAGAUUGCAAUUAAUUUCUAUUUUGGAAGAAAUCUGGAAAAUUAGGGUUCUUGGUUCUUCAUUCUGUCCGAAAUUUUUGGUCCUAGAUAGAGGCCGAAUUGGCCUUACCUCAAAACAUGAAAGUUGUAGGGAAUGACAUUUUAGAGGUUCCUACAAAAUUUCAGGUCAAUCGGAGUAGUGUAGUGUGGGAAAAGUCGAAAUUACUAUUGCUGUUCUGGUUUACCCGAAAUUGGGAUUUGCGACUGUAAUUGGUUGUUUUGGCUGGAAUUGCUUCCGAAUUGGUUGUUGAGGCCUUCUGAUGAAAUUUGGCCCUGUUUCUUAGAUUUCAACUGGUUUUGGAAUUUCUGGAUUUGGACUUGUAGAGCCUGAAUUAUGCUGUUUCCGCUAGAAUGCAUUUUGGUGAAUCUGUUUUACGUUGUUGAUGAAGUAUCUUGCAUUUUUGACCUGUUUGCACUCAAAACAAGGUUGAGUGACCUUCUGUGAUGUUGUAGCCCUGUCUUUUAGCUUCGAAAUGGUGGGUCUUUCACCCUCAUCCGAUAAUCGUGGUGCAUUUGGUGCUAUUACCGCAAAGUAAAGUCAAAACCUAUUUUUUUCAGGGCCAAAGUUAAUUGCAUGUCCGAAAUUUCUGGUUUUCUUUAAUGUUUGUAUAUGUUUAUGGAACCCUAUUGGGGUCAUACUUGGCAUUGGUUUAUGACUCGUUAUCGAGUCUCCUUGUACUUGUUUGCAUGUUUUAGGGCUUGCUUUCAUUCCGGUCAUUUCCUAGCUAACUUUUGUACUUGUACUACUUUGAGCCUCGUGAACGGCUUUUGGGAAAUGAGAUGACUUUUGUGUGAGAUGUUGGGACUGAUUUGAGGAAAUAAUGAAGCCUUAAUGGCUGGAAAAGUAAGAAAUUUAGGGGAAGUGCUGCCCGAUUUUCUAGGCCGUUUGGUUCUUUUAAGUUGGAUUUGCCUUUUGGUAGAAAUGAAAGGGCUUUUGGGUUGUUGAACCUAGGUCUUCAUGUUAUCUUUUUAUUCCCAAAAAUCAUGUUUUGUACCCUUGCAUUUGUAAUUAUUUGGCGAGGCAUACGACUAGUAGUCGAGCCUCAUGUGCAUUUUGUUUACUCGAUUAUGGAUGUGAAACCUUCAGUUGGUUUAUUUUGAUUAUUUUAGGGUUUCUUGGCGAUUAAGGCCAAUCUGAAGUAAAAACUUUUGAAGUUGAAUCGGUGAGUGUAUCACUCCCCUCCAUUGCUGUUUAACUUGAUUUCUGCUCUGCAAUCUGUUAUUUGUUCGAGACGAGGGUGUACUUUAUCACACUCGUUCUCUUGUCUGUUCAUAUGCCAAUUUACUAUGCAAAAUUUGAAUCUGUUAUCUGUGUCUGCAUCUGUUCGGAUUUCUAUGACCUAUGAGCUCAAUCCUGUGACUAAGUUAUUCGAGUCGGGCCGGCAAGGGUCUGGACGAUUAGAUAACGAACCACGGUAGUCUGUUCGGGGAUUUUGGGUAUUGAGACCCUUGAUUCCGGGUAUACUCGAGUAUUACCAUUUAUGUUCGAAUACGGUGAGCGGGCCCGGUAAAGGGGUGUUUGGUGGACGGAAUUCGGUGCGAAUUGAGGUCUACGGACGCGUUGGUUCUAUAUACGUUGACGGUGAGUCAACCGGUUUGGAUCAAGUAUUGCGCUGGAAAUUUGGCUCCUGAGAGCCACCUGUAUCCUUCUGAUUUGAAUCAUUAGUUACUUUACUUUACAUCUGGCAUGUGUAUCUUAUUUGUUAAAUGUGAAAUGCCAUGAUUUUCUGCUAUAUGUUUGGUACCUCAUUGAGCGCAAGCUCACCCCUUUCUGUUCCUUUUUGUUUUCCUUACAGGAAAAUAAAUACUUUUGGACUGGAUUUGACAAAUGGUUGCCGAAUUGAGCUAGUUAGACAUAUCUUUUGUAUAGCUCAUUGAUUUAAACCCUAAAAAUACUUUUGGGUCCGUUUCUCUUUUGGAUUUGGCAAACCGUACAUGUAUCCACUUUUGAAUCACUUUGGUAUGCCCUUUGGGUUGUAUAUGCUAACUUUUGAGAUGUAAAUAUUUGCUUGACGUUUGGUUGGGUUUUGCCAUGUCGGUUCUUAUUCAUGGCCGACUCCGAUUUCGUUUUGUUUUAUUCUGGGAUUUUGACUUGUCUAUGCGCGUUGUACGGUCCGGAACGUUUUCGAUCGCUCUAAUCUGAACCGUUAGUCCUGGCGAGAGCUGGGCAGGCGGUCCACCGAACCCUUUGGUUCGCCUUAGGGUGAGGUGGGGCUGUCGCAUCUCGCUUCACAUAAGUUGAACAUUCCGAAAUUUUUAUAUGUGAAAGAUUUGAUUUUCUACCUUUCCACAUCUCAAAUGGCACAGAAGAAAUAGUUUUGUUGCAACUUAGUUUAAAGUGUAAGAGGCAGUUUGUAGGGUAUAUCCCCAAAACGUUUUUGGUAAACCUGCAUGAUUUAUCAUGGAUCAUACCAUAUCUAAUAAGAUGCAAUUUCUCCUCUCAGACACUCCAUUCAUGUGUGUUUUAAAUGAGAAUUUUAUGUUCUUUUAGAUAAUGCUCAAAACUUUGGUCUAAGUAUUCUCCACCUUUAUUGGACCUAAAGGUUUUGAUACUUUUACCAAAUUCUUUUUCUAUGUCAUUCUUAAACUCCUUAAACUUCUCAAAUGAUUUGAAUUUGUGCUUCAUUAAGAAUACAAAUCCAAACUUUGAGUAGUCAUCAGUAAAAGUAAUAGAGUAUGAAAAACCUCCUCUGGCAUGAUCCAUCAUAGGACCACAUACAUCAAUAUGUAUUAGUCUUAACAAUUCAUUGCCCUUUCAUCCUUACCCAUGAAGAAAAGAUUUGAUCAUUUUUUCUUGUAAACAAAAUCCACAAGUUUCAAAUGAUUCAUAAUCAAAUGUGUCCAAAUAGCCACCUUGGUGUUAUUUGAAUAUGUGUUUCUCAUUUACAUGACCUAAUUUAUAAUACCAAAGGAAUGAUUGCUUGGCAUCAUCUAAUUUUGCCUUUUAGAGUUAACAUUGAGGAUUGGACUUGUCAUGUUUAGAACAUAUCAGCCGUUUUUCAUAGGAGCAAUCCCAUAGAAAAUUUCAUUACAUGAAAAAGAACAAUAUUUAUUCUUAAUACUAACAGAAAAAUCUUCCAUGUCCAAACAUGAACUUGAAAUAAUGCUUGCAGCCAAAACUGGAGCAUGAUAACAAUUAUUUAAUUUUAGAACAAAUCCACUAGGUAAAGACAAAUGAUAUGUUCCUACAGUUAAGACCACAAAUCUUGCUCCAUUGCCAACACGUAUGAUCACUUCAUUCUUCCUUGGCAUCCUACGUCCCUUUAGUUCCUACAUAUUUAAACAAAUAUGAGAAUCAUUUUCGAUAUCUAAUACUCAGGAAGUAAUAGAAAGAGAUAAAUUAAUCUCAAUCACAUACACAUUUUGAGUAGAAGAUUAACCAAGCUGCUUCUCCUUAAUGCUAUUGAAGAAGUCGUCGCAGUUACGCUUCCAAUGUCCCUAUUUGUUACAAUGGAGGUAUUUGGCCUUUGCCUUGUCCUUUUUCUUGCCCACACCCCCAAAAGGUUUGGUUACUUGUUUGUUUUUUUUGGAUUUAGACUUGGACCUUCUAGUCUUAACCCUAGAGAAACUCGAAGAAACCAUUAAUUUUUGGCUCUUAUCUUUCUUAAAGUUGGUGUCAUCAUCCUUGAGCAUAUUCAACAGCUCGGGUAAUGUGCUUUUCAAUUUUUUCAUGUGAUAAUUUAACAUGACAUAUAAAUAUGCAUCAGAUAGCGACUACAAAAUAAGGUCAACAUUUAAUCAAUGAUCCAUAACACAGUUUAAUUGGUUUAAUUUUUCAAUAUAGCCAAUCAUUUUUAACACAAGUGCAAUCACUAACGUGCCUUUAGCCAUCCUACACGUGAAUAGUUCUUUAGAGAUUUCAUAUUUCUUGGACCGAGAACGUGCACCAAACAAAUCUUGUAGGUGCACCAUUAUGUCAUAAGCAUUCAUGUAUUCAUGUUGCUUUUGCAACUCAGAAGACAUAGAUGUUAAUAUGAUACAAACAACUGUAUCAUUGUCCGUAUGAUGUUUGUUGAACAGUUCAACUUCAUCAGUUGUGGCAUCAAGUGGUAGCGGAUUCAAAGGGGGAAGUGACAUAUCAAGAACAUAGGCAAUUCACUCAUGCUUGAGAACAAUUCUCAAGUUGCAUUGCCAAUCCAAAAUUAUGAUUAGUUAAUUUGCAAUUAUCAAGGAUAACGCGUAAAUUCAAAGUAGUAGUCAUUCUACAACAAAAUAAAGAUAAAAUAAGAAUUGCUAUUUAUGCAAAAUAAAAUCAAAGAAAAAUGACAUAAAAAUAAUAUUUGAUUUUGCUCCCACUAUUUUUAAUACAAUUCCAUAGCCCUCAAAUAUGGAAUUAGGAAUUCAAAAUUUCUAGUGGACUAGAAUCCUAUUUUGUUAUUUUAACCUUCACUAAGGCGAACAAGUCAAAAUAAUUAAAACAAGUAGGUACUUAUUACCAAUUAAAACAAUUGUAACUUCUAGAUAGUUGAGUUAUCAACUCUUGAUAAGGCACAUCUUAUGUGGUUUCCAACCUUUGCCUCUACAACAUACAACCUUCACUGAAACGAACAAGUUAUAUGUUGUAGUUAAGUCUAACUCAUUAUUUUGAAAUCUCAUCUCAUAAUAAAACAUGUCUUUGGUAGAGUACCCUUCACUGAGGUGAAUAAGGUAAUAUUGAACAAGUACUCGCAUUUUACUUGUGAGGACCCGAAAUUUAUUUUAUAUUUUACUUUAUUUCUCUGAAUACAUUUUCUUUACUUAAUUUUAUUGCCUUAAUUUCCUAGAUAUUUUUAUAAGGGAGUCAAGAUUUUUAAUUAUUUUUCUUCCAUAAGUUAGUGCAUGUUAAGUUUGUAGUGCAUUAUGGAAGUAGGACCCACUAGUGAGAUGUGUGCAAUAAAUUUUGAAGAUUAGAAGGAGUUUUGUGCAAAGAGAUAUUAUUUUAUAAGGUAAGGGAUAAUUAAAGGUUUGCUAGAUAUUUUAAUAUUUAGGAGACCAUUAGAUAAGGAUUAACCCUUGGAAGCCAUUUGUCAACAAAGCCAUGGAGCUUUGACUUGGACCAAGACCAUUCUUAGCCUUUAAAAAAAAAAUUGACCAAAAACCUCUCAUCUUUCCUUCUCCUUGGCCGACUUUCUUGAGAGGAAAAAAAGAGAAAGAAACUCCAUCUUUAACCUUGAAUGUUGCUUGAAUCCUUGAGUUUUCUUCACAAGCUUGCAAUCCAAACCAUAAAAAGUGACAUUUAGGGACGAAAAAGGACUUUGGUGGAAAGAUUUGGGAGAAAGAAGCUAUUGGAUUGCAUUUCUUCAUAGGGUUUCAAGGUAACCAUGUGUAGAAACCAUCUCUUCUCUUUUAACUUGCAUUUGAUUAGAUUUAAGACUUGAUUUUGGUAGAUUUCAUGGAAAAUUUCAUAGUUUGUGCGGUGGCUAGAAAAUUCCAGCUUUGGUUGAGAAAUUUCAGCUUUGAUAUGUUACUUUGAGUUUGGCUAUGAUCUAUUAGCUUUUCCAUAUGAGUUUUCUAGCUUUUAUAUGUUAUUUUAGCUUCAUUAUAGAAAUUUUCAACUUGUAGUGGUGAAUUUCAGCUUAGACUUAACAUAUUCCAGCUUUGAUAUGAUUGCUUUUGAGUUAGAUAAUUGUCAAUUUUGGGUAGCUUUAUGGCCUUAAACAAGUGUCCCUUAUAGCCUAUGACUUGUAGUCUUGAUUGAGGAUGGUUUGCCAUGAAAUAAGUGUUGAAUUUGGAAGGGAAAGUUAAGGAAAUAAGGGGAAGUGCUGCUGAAAUUUUGUUUCUCUCUUUCUUGUGAUAUGAAUGAGUAAGAGUAAUGAUAGAGGUGUGACUUUUGGACGGUUUGAACUUGGGUUGCUUAUGAUUGCUUGAAUCCACCUUGGUAAUGAUGCAUAAGCUGAAAUUUUGUCAAAAACCACAUGUAAAACGAGAGGAAGUAAUGGUUUCUUCUAGCAUGCUUUCUAGUUUCAUUUGCCCAACUUUUAACUCGAGGUUGGUUGCUUUUCUUCUAAAAGUUAUGCGUGUAUCUUACGUAUAUUUUACUACACUUCAUGAGUUGUACAUACCUAAUUAAUCUCUUUUGGUCUCUCACAUCUUUUGGGUCUAAAUGUUUUCUUUCACACUAAUAUCUUACUUGAAUCAUAGUCCUAGAAUGAACUUGGAUAUUCCUUGAUUGGCAUUUUCAAAAUUGUCUUUAAAUUUUGUGUUUUAAGAGGCCAAACUUGGAUAGGCAUAUGGCUCAUAAUUGAGUCUAAAAUGCGUACUUCAUUAACCUAAGUUUUAAAUGGUCAGACCAUGACAUUUUGUCUUGGUUAUUUUAGGGUUUGACGGUGAAAACAAGCACAACCCGGGGACGAACAUUUAACGUUAUUCUACUUGGAAACGGUGAGUGUACCACUUGCAUGACUUGUUGUUUAAAGUGAACUACUUGUAAUUGAAAUUUAUGAUUUGUAUGACUGUGACUUUGGUUUAAUUUGGACUGGACGGGUGUAUACUUUAUCACACUCGAUUUCACUUGAUUGUUUGACUGGUCUAUUACUCAUUUGAAAUUUGCUACUUGUGCAUGAAUUUGAUGUCGUUUGGAGCCCAAUAUCUGACGACCUUACUGUGAAUUUAAGCUCAAACUUCAUUGGUAGUUAAUCAAAUCGAGCCAGCAAGAGUUUGGUCGAGGUAGAUUGACGGGCCAUGAGAAAAACUGUCACUGAUUGACUAAGUACUGGAUUUUUCUGAUAUUUGAUAUACUCGAGUAUUACCACUACUGUUUCGAUUUGGUGUUCGGGCCCAAUAAGGGGUAUGAUUGGUGGGCGGAAAUUGGUGUAAAGCGGGGAUCUACGGUCAAUGUUUUUGCUUCUCUAAACGUUGACGGAAUGUCAACGGGUUUGGAUCAAACUAAUACGACUGGAAAUUUGGCUCUUGAGAGCCAUCUGUAUCCUUUUACUUCAAGCACUUUGUGUUAGUUGUGGUGUUUACUUUUCUCUCUAAUUGAUGCUUAUAUGUGAUAGAUUAAAGUUCGAAUUAUGUGAUUUUCGACUGUGUGACCCUACGUUACCUCAUUGGGCGAAAACUCACUCUGUCACCUUUGUUUCCUUACAAGGGGCAAAGUCUUGGCGAUGUGAUUUUGGGGAAGAGUUGAGCUAGUUAUAGCUUUUAGGCAUUUUGUUUAAACUCCUUUGUAUUAGUAAACCUUACAUGUAUUUGUAUAAGAUUGAAUACUUUGGUUUGUAUUUUAAGUUUGCAUCGUUAGUGACUCUAUUGUAUAUAGUUAUGGGUUGAUGAUUUCAAGUUAAUUGUGUAUUUUAGCAUCUUCUAUGAAUUGUUGGAUUAGUUAGUUCUGGCAAGAGUUUGACAGGUAGUCCACUAACCUUUGGGGUACGCCCUAAGGAAAGGUGAGGCUGUUACAUUACUACAAUAAUGAAAGGUAACUUGUGUCUUGACUUAAUAUUUGAUUUAAGGGAUUUUAGAUUCAUUUUAGUUUGUUUGCAUAAGCUCUUAUCAUAUCAAGCAUAGCAUGCAUAUUCAUUCAUCAAUUUAAAUAAAUAAACAUAUUAUAAAACAUGAAUGAUUAGGGACUUUUCCUAAACUAGUUUCCUUGAACCAAAGAAAACUAGAUGGUUAAACUAAGGAACAAAAUAUUUCCAUAUCCUGUAUGUCUUUGUAUGUCCACCAUGAUGAUUUAGUGCCAUAUUCAUCGCUAUUGUACAUUAUAAUUAUAAAUUCUGAUCUAUACAUUCAAGAGAAAGGCAAGACAUACUGGCCCUAUUUCAAAAAUACCGAUAAUCCAAAUCAUCCAUACAUUCAACCAUAUACAAUCACAUUGGUCUUAACAUAUAGUUAUCCAUCAUGCAUUCAUGUAACACUUUAUUAAAUGAAAAUAUAAAAUUUAUUUAGUUCUAAUCAUAUAUUGUGAGAACCCGUGGAUUUUCUUAUUUUCUAGACUUUAUUUUAUUUAAUUGCACGUUUUUCUGCAUUUUCUUUAUUAGAAAACUUUUCUAGAUAAUUUUUAUGAGUAAAUAUAGUUUUUAGAUGAUUUUUCUAGUAUCGGUUAGUUUUUGAGAAAUUAAGAGCGUAUACCGGACGUGGGACCCGCUAGUGCGGUAAGUUUGAUAAAAUUCGGCCAAUUAGGUUAAGUUGUGUAUACCGAGUUUAAUUUAUCAGAUGUUAAGAGAUAAUUAGAAGUUACCUAGAUGGAUUAUUAUUGGAGAGACAAAAGGAUAGAGAUGUAUUAAAUGGAGUGACAAGUGUCACUUGGAGGUUAAUUCUUAACUUAGUCAAUUUUGACCAACUUUCUUGCUUUACCAAUUUAAGUAAAAAUUUCCAAAAAUCAUCCAAGCUUCCUUGGCCGAACCUCUUGCUCCAAAAAAUAAAGGAAAAGCUCUCCAAUCUCUUGCUCCAAACUUGCUCAAUCCAACAAACCAACCGUUUAAUCUUGCAUUUACUCCAUAAAAACCCUUAAGUGAGUGGUUGUGAGGUGAUUAGUGAAGUUGUUUGGAGGAUUAAGGUGCUAAGUUGCUCUUGUUCUUGGGUUGUUAAGGUGAGUAACUAAGGGACCUUUCUUGCAACUCAAUAAUGCUUAAUUAUUGACAUGUGUAAGGUGAAGUGAUGAUUUUAGGUGUUGUUUCAUGACUUUUGGUAGAAUUUGGUGCAUUUUCUAUUUAAUCAUAAUUUUUUCUGUUUUCAUAUGAUUACUAUUGUGUGGCCAUGUAUGAUGGUUGGAAAUGAUCUAGAAUGAAGCUAGAAUGCGUAAAUUGUGGUUGUUUGCGGAAAAUUUCCGCAUUGAACGGAAAAAUUCAGAUUUAGGGUUUCAAUUCAACCAUUCUGCCUGGUACUGUUCCUCAUAGUUAGAGGCUGAAUUAGCCUUGGGUUAAAACAUGAAAGUUGUAUACAAUGAUAUUUUAGAGUUUUCUACAAAAUUUCAGCUCAAUCGGAGCAAUGUAGCAUGUGAAAAGACCGAAAUACCCCUACUGCCCUGUUUCUAUCCGAAACUGAUAAUCAGCUUCUGUAAUUGGUUAUUUUGACCGGAAAUACUACUGAUUUGGUUGUUGAUGUCUUCUUAAGAAUUAUAGCCUUGUAUCUUAGCUUUCAAAUGGCUUUGGAAUCACUUGAAUUGGAGUUGUAUGUGCUGAGAUAUGACUGAAUGAAUCAGGACUGCUACAGUAAACUUCAAACUGGAAAAUCAGGGUUUGUUUUGGUCAAUUUGACCUAGUUAGGGUGAGACCUGGACUAAGUAGUCUUCAUCAAAGUUACAGAUCCCUGUCUCAGAUUCGAAAUUCCAUAAGAUUCAUCUUAAUCCGAUAAGCGUAACUUAAGUUGCGAUCGAAACACCGAGACACGUCAAACCUGCUUUUAGGCCUAUUGUCUUUCAAAUUGGUUUUCAGUUGCAUUAUUAACCUUGUGUUGUAAUUGACUAUAUAUGAAGGGUAUUGUGACCCUAAUUAGAUGUUUUUAAUAGCUUGUGAAUUAUAUUUGAGGUUGUGGUUGAUUUGGGUUGAAUUUAGUGUUGAAUUGUAGGGUGAAAAGUAAGAAAAACAAGGGGAAAUGCUGUUAAAAUUUUCGCAGGAACCCCGGAGCAGUUCUGGGAAAUCUACAAUAUCUGGAUGUAAAAAUAUCGGAAUUGAGUUCUGUUUGUUGUGUUUUAAACUAGAUUCAUAGGGCUAUGAACCGUGUAAAUUUCAGUUUCUGGUUUGGUCUGUGGGAUUUAUGGUGAUUUUUCAAAGUUAACCAAAAUCGUAUACCUGCUCUGCCUUUUUCUGGUUAAGACAGCAAUUUGAGGCUCGAAUUUGAUUGGCUUGUGAUCUGAAUCUUCUAAAUAUGUCUUUUGAGAAAUUUUACCCCUUUGAGUCUAUUUUCCAACGGUGUAAAUUUUACCAAUUUCGGACUUAAGAAUCCUAAGAUAUGAUUUUUCAAUCAGGGGUGUGGAAAACUGAAAAAAAAUCUGUUUUCUUGGAAUUAUUCUCACUUUCAAUUUCACCUUUAGAUAUGAGCUAGUACAUCAUUGUAAGUAUGAUUUUGAGAGGAGUGAGGGGUUUUGGGGUCAUAUAUGUCCUUAGGACCAACCGUUUUCUUUUAUUCUUAAGCCGUCUUUUAUUUUUCGUACUAGUAUAUAACUUGGAGAGGUACCUGACUAGUAAUCGAACCUCAUUUGUGCAUCCUAUUUACUCGGUUUUGGAUGAAGAAAUGUCAACUGUUUUACCUUUGUUAUUCUUAGGGUUUCACGGUGAUUAGGCCACUUUGGGUGGAAAUUUUUGGAAGUACCUGUACUUGAACUGGUGAGUGUACCACUCCCCUCACUUAUUGCUUAACUUGAUUUCUGCAUUUGCAAUCUGUGAUCUGAAUGAUUGUACUAUCUGUUUAAUCUGUUUGAGAUGAGGGUGUACUUUAUCACACUCGUUCUCUUGUCUGUCUGUAUGCCUCUUGAUUAUAUGUAAUCUGUUAUCUGUAUCUGAGUCUGUUCGGAAGUCGUUUGGAGACUGGUAUCCAACGACUUUUCUGUGACCUCUGAGCUCAACACCUGUGGCUAGUUACUCAAGUCGGGCCGGCAAGGGCCUGGUCGAUUAGAUAACGAACCACGGUAGUCUGUUUCAGGAAUCUUUGGGUAUUGAGACCCUUAAUUCCGGUAUACUCGAGUAUUAUCACUUCUGUUCUGUUCGGCGUUCGGGCCCGGUAGGGGUAUGUUUGGUGGACGAAAAUUGGUGUAAAGUGGGGUCUACGGAUAUGUUGGUUCUAUGUACGUUGACGGAGAGUCAACGGGUUCGGAUCAAGUACUGUAAAUGGAAAUCUGGCUCCUGAGAGCCACCUGUAUCCUUCCUAUUUGAAUCAUUGUGUCUAACUACUUUACUUUACAUCUGGCAUGUGUACCUGAUUUGUUAAACGUGAAAUGCCAUGAUUUUACUACUAUAUGUCUGGUACCUCAUUGAGCGCAAGCUCACCCCUUUUUGUUACCUUUGUUUUCCUUACAGGGUUCCAUGUUUUGAAACCAAGAUUUUUGGAAGAAAAGAGUUGAGCUAGUUGUAGGACUUCUUUUGUUUAUGCUCCUCUGUAACUGAAACCCUAAUUGUAUUUUGUGUAGCGUGAAUACUCUGGCGUGUAUUUAGUUCAUUGGUUCAAGACUCCGAUGUAAAUAUAUGUAUAAGUGUUUAAUCGACGUCCCGUACUUCCGUAUGGUUUGGUAAGCUCUGUUUAACCCUUGGUGGUCUCCAAUUGUUCGUUUUCGUUGAGUUCUCACGCGUACUAUAUAGGGUUUGUGUGAAUCGACUCCGUAGUCCUGGCGAGAGUUGGGCAGGCAAUCCGCCGAACCCUUUGGUUCGCCUUAGGGUGAGGUGGGGCUGUCACAUAUAUCAUUAUAUGUUCAAGCCUUUAAUCUCAAAAGAUUUCAAUUCAAGAGGUUUAAAAAUUAGUUGAAUCAUAUUCAAGUGAUAAACUAUUUUUUAAUUCUGAAAAAUUCUUUAGCGACAAACCAUCUAUUGCUAAACGGCUUUAGUGAUAGAUAGCGACAGUUACUGAUAGUCUGCCCAGAAAAUUAGUGAUAGAUUGUCGAACAGCCCCUUUUCUUCUUUGAAAUUCCAGAAUAAAGCACAUAAUUUUUGGUAACUCUUUUAAUCUAAAAAUCUACAUUUUAUUCAUAAUAAAAUAUAGCUAUAAUUUUUUAAAUUUUGAAGAACCAAAGAUAAUAAAAUAAAAUUAGAAACCUUUAUUCCUUAGGAAAUCCUAUUUCUUAAGAAAUCCUUGUUGGUUUCCAAUUUUACUUUAAUUCCUUUUGUCAUCAAAUUUCUAAAAACUAUUUGUAGUCUAAAUAACACUUUUUUUAUAGUCUAAAUAACACUUUUCAUCAUCUAAUGACAAAAAUUUUGGAUCAAAAUCAUGGCCAAAUUUUUACAAGAAUUAUACCCAAAAAAUUUUUGGUCAUUGAAGAAUGCAAAAACACGUUCUUUUUCCAAAAAUUUUCAGCAAUAUCAAUCCAUAAAAAAUCAGCCAUAAUCAUUAGUUAAGAACAAAAUUUCACCCUGAUCAAAUAUCUCAUAAUUAACCAUAAUUGUUGAAUUGACAAUUUCAUAAAACCGAAUAUUUGAUCCAUGAAAAAUACUAAUUUUUCAUCAAAUUUCCAGCCAUGGAAUUUGUUCAAUUUUUCUGGAAAUUUAGACAAUAAUAAAAAAAUCUUAUUUUUUUGAUAAAACCAAUUAGAUUCAAAAUUUUUUCGUAAUUUUAAUUUUUUAUCAAAGUAAUAAUUUUAACUAGAUUAGUGCUAAUUAUUACUAAGACACCUCCCACAAAUUGGUUGAGAAAAAACCUAGUUUUUUACCAAAAAAAAACUUGCUCCAAUAAGAGAAUAAGAGUUGUUAUUUUUUUUUUAUUUUUUGGACGAAUUUUGGGUAUUUUUCUCUCAAGAUUUUUGUCAAAAAUCUCACAAGACAAUUUGUGUAUUGAUUAGUCUUGUUAACAAAACUUUAGUGAGUUAUAGAAAAAUAAGUUGUCCAUGUCCUUAUGAAAAUAUGAAACUAAUUUCCCAUAGAAUUCAACUUCUUUAUUUUAAUAUAACACUUGUAUUUGGAAGACUUAAACUUAUUUUUACUAUAAAUCCCUCAAAAUUAACUUGUCUCACAAAUUAAACUAUAAGUUAUAAAACUUAUUUACCUCCCUCGAUGUUGGACUAAAUUACAAUCAGCUCCUUCGUAAUAUGAAUAGCAAGGUAGGCCUAUGCUUUUAGCAAAUAGUCAGCCCGGCAGCCUACAAGUUUUAAAAAAAGGAAAAAUUCCCAAACCUACUGUGUGCUUCUAAGCACGGCAGGCAUAGUCCAACGAAACUAUGCUGUCAAAUCAAUGUUUGUGUGUUUUCUUUCCAUCUAUAAUCUAAGGAAUUAGCCCUAUAAGAACACACUUCUAACUUUUUGCUGCGCGUGCACUUAUAGCUCACAUCAUUAAAUUGACUAUUACUUGUUAAGCAAGCACCUCACAUUGACUGGUUGCCAGUAUGUAGAAUGUUUGACAAUAAAUAGAAUGUUUACCCGAACAUAUAUCACUAGUAAAGUAGUAACUUGCCUAAAGUCAAAUGUAAGGCUCGCAUCAGUAAGAUGUACAUCUCCUGUAUUUGGGUCAACAUCAACUCCAUUAAGGAAGCUAAAAUCGUAUUCCACCUGCGCUAUUGGCAAGUAAUGUUAAUACGUCUACCUUGAGAUCCUAAAAAAAUAUAAUGACAAAAGUGGAUAUCAUUACAAUUCUUGUCCUAUUUGAAACCAUUUUCGUACCCAAAAUAUUAUGGCCGAAUUACACUCCAAACUAGGCACUUAUAAUCUGUUUAAAAUAAUUGCGAAACCCCUAUCUGGCCUCUUCCCAUCCCCUCCACCCCUGGACAUGACAUUAGAUCAUUGACCCUGGCUUUUCUUCUGGCCCUUUUAGUCCCAAGAAAGAUUUUUGCUAUAUUUAGCCGUUCAACUGCUGCCCAUUUCGCAUCAGAAUGGCUAUAUAAGGCAACUUCUCUUUUUCCUUGUUAUAUGACGUUGGCUCGGAUGAGGUGCUUUGAAUUGUUCUUAUCCUAACUAUGUAGAAUCUCAACUAUGCAUGUAUUAGUCUAAUCGAUGAAACUAGUAAAUGGCAAGGCCAAAAGUAUGUUUGACACUGAAUUCCUGGAGCUAAAGCACAUGCACAUCGAUAUUGUUGAUUUUGGCUUAAUUGGCGACUUAUGUGCUUUAUUGAGGUAGUCUUGAUCUAGUUGUUAAGGGUAGAUUUUAGAACAUAGAAGUUUAGGGUUCAAAUUCCCCUUUCUUCUUUUCACUUCUUAAAUCCUACCCUUCUUCUGCUAAAAAAUAAUUUUUAAAAAGAAAAACUGUGCAAUGCACGGGAUGUGCUCUCUUAUUCUCAAAGAAGGUUAUAUUUAAUAUAACUUUAAUGAAUUGAAUUGUAUAUACAAUCCGAAUUCCGAGAUUCCGGUCGACCAAAAUGUUUCAAUGAUAAUGUAUAAGUAUGUAUAGAGAUAUAUUAGAACUACCCAUAUUUUCCUAGUUUAAUGUUUAUGUAAAUUAAUUUUCUUACAUUGUACGUUCUUUUCUCCAAUUAGUAUGAUCCCAUGAAGUUGUUAAAGUCCUCAUCCUAUACUAGCUAAUAUUGGUCUCGAAUUGAGUGGUGCUAAUCUUGCAUUGUUACAGUACCUGAGUUUGUUUUCAAAUCAUGUAUUACAUUUCCAGGCAACCACAGCUAAGCUUUAGGUCGACAAUCAAUGAGUCAUGUAGCAAAAUAGAAACACUCUGUUCGUCUCAUUUUCUUUUCCCACUCAAAACUUAUACAGCUCUUUUGUUUUCGUGGGAAAGUGACCUAAUCUCUGUAGUCUCUCUCCUCAUGGUUCUUUAUUUUUCUUGUUUAUAUAAUAAAAUUUUUUCUCUCCUAGAAUUUUCCUGCGAGAGUUUUUCUCUCUUAGAAUCUUUUAGUAAUAGUUUGCUCUCUUCUUGAAUUUUCCUUGGAAGAGUUUUCUUUGUUUUCCUUGAUUUUCUUUUCUUGUUAGAUAUGUGUUUUUCACACAUUUGUUUUAUCAAAUUUGGAAUUUCUCACAUUUGUCUGCUCAUAUAUAAACCACAUCUUGGGGUUUAAAAAUAGCAUAUACUACAUCAACUUGUUAAAGACAUGCAUAGAUCUUGGAACAGUAGAGAUUUAUAUAUUUGUAAAAAAAAAUUGAAGUUUACGUUGUUAACUUUUAUGAAUUCUUCAGAUUUGGAGUAAUCCUUUCUAUUUAAUUGUUGCAUCUGUUACGUGUCCUUAUUAUAGAAGAUGACAUUAUUACAGCUCUCACUGAAUAAAUAAAAUCAUCAUAUUUAUAAAAAAUAUUUAUUUAAAUUUCACAUAUCGUAUUUUAGGACUUAUUUUUUAUAUCAGGAAGUUUAUUAUAUUUAAAUUCUAUAGUAAAGUAACCAGGAGCUACGGCUGCUUAAACUAUUAUCUUCAUAAAGUUUUGGCUUUUUUAUCCAUAUUUUGUAUUAAAUAAUCCCCUUCAAAUAGAAACUUUAACUUGACUUAAUAAUUUUUGUAAUUAAAUUUUCUUGUAAUCAGUUUUUUUUAAUGAUUUCUCUCUUCUAACAAAAUUUACCAGUUCUAAUAAAUUUAAAUUAUUUUUGUUUUUCAUUUGUAGUAAUUUUCUGUGUUUAAUUUUUCAAUUGUUUCGUACAUUGAUAAAUUUAUUAAUCACUCAAAAGUGAAGAUUUGUUCUUGACAAAAUUGAUUCCAACAUUUUUUGUGUUUAAUUGAGAAUGAAUAGGUGGUGUAAGUGUAUGAUCACAGUAAAAGUUUAAUAACUAUCUCAAAAAAAAUAUGUUUAUCUUAUUUUAUGCAUUGCAAUUUGUGUGAUGAGAAAGAUCACAUUUCAUAUAAUAUUUUUGAAACUUCAUAUGGUAGUUAAAUGUUUAGAAUCCAAUACUUGGUAAAUUUUAUAUCAAUGAGUAUGUGAGAAUAUAGUUGAUAUUUCUUUCUCGAAUUAUUAUCCCUCGCAUAGGUUCAUAAGUAACAAAAAAUAUCUCGUGUUGAUGUAUUGGUUCAAAUACAAGUUAGUUACAAAUUUAAAUCAGUGCUACGAAAUUCUCUAUUCAAUUGUUUCUUUCUUACCCAAUUCCAUUUAAAUUAGCUAGCUAUAUCAUCAAAAUGGAUAUUUGGUCAAGGUGUCUAAAAGUUUACUCUAGCUAUUGGUGCAAAAUAUACGAGCAACCAUAUUGAUCAAGCAUAGUUGAAUGAGUUCCCAACUAACCAAGUCAACUAUUCCUUAUUUGUUUACUUUAGUAUUACAAGCUUUUCAUUCUUUAUUUUUUUAACUAAUGAUUAUCUUCAAUUACUGCUAUAUGAAUACAAUAAGUUUGAUUAGUUAUCAAAUUUCAACUUGUUUCCAUAAUGAUAAACCUUUUACUACUUUUUUUCUGAACAAUGACUUUUCUCUAUUUCUUAUACGAACAAAUCAUAAUGGGUGGUUUAAAUGAUAUAAAACUAUUUUGUUUUCUCUCUUCCUUACAUUCAAUAAUACGAACAUUAGGAAACUGGAAAAAUUAAUAAUAAAAUGCAUCUGGAGUACUUGGACUGAAUUAACUAAUUCAUAUUUAUCUUAUCUCGAAUGUAAAUUUGAUUCCAUUGAAUGUGCAGAUCAACAAAAAUACAUUUCUUUUUUGUGCAAUACAUUUCAAAUAUUCAAGAAUAGGAAAAUUGAAAUUCUAAUUUGGCACUUUUAAGGUUUCUCUUAUAAGUAUUAUAUUAAUGUUAUAAAAAAUCAACUGAUUUUUAAAUUAAGGGUAUAUAUUAGUUUUGUGAACUUGUUCCCCUAAUUAAUGCUUAACUACUUUUAAUUAGCUCUUUGUUCAUUCAAUUCUCUUUGUAGGAAUAUUUAUCAAAAGCAUAGAAUUACCAGGCAAAUGUAGGAAACAGAAUACUAGUUGGUCUAGAAUUCAGAAUUCACUUUUGGGAAUUCACAUGAAUUUAAUUUUGGAAUGAGCAACAUAGCUCACAAUUCAGGCCUGCAUAUUAAACCAUUAAUUUUUUUCGAAAGUCAUAAAACUUGAGCUUAUUCGUAUUUCACAAGAUCAUGACUGAUAAUUAAAUCCAAACCGGAGAGAGAGAGAGAGAGAGAGAGAGAGAGAGAGAGAGAGAGAGAGAGAGAGAGAGAGAGAGAGAAAAAUCCGAAGUUGCAUUUUGAUAAAUUAAUGUGAAGCUAAUAUCAAUUAUGUAAAGAGGUAAGAUUUAUUCUACCCUCAUGUCUUGUAAUUUCUCAUUCUCAAUUGGACUAGAAGGGGUUAAAGCCAAAACCCCGUGAUUAAAAGGUUUAUUCUACUUGAUACUCUAAAUGCACUCGAUAAGCACACUAAAAAUGGAGAGUGAAUGAUUCACCCCUUAAAUUGUAAAACUACUGCAAAAGAAGUUUACCUUUUACCAAAAUAAUAAUAAUAAUAAUAACACCAAGAUAACUUCAUAUUGUGUGCCCUUAGAACACCAAAUAGACAAACUUUUAUAAAAGAAAUCCCGCAAUACAUUUUCUUCAUAGUAGCUAAUCUUCCAUUAAAUGGCCAAGGUUACUUCCACAAGUUACUAUUUACUAUACAUGCCAACAAACUUGACUUCACGUGAACCAACAAACACUCUUCCUCCGUUGUAUUCUUGCACCAAAUUUACAAUAAUAUUGCUAUAGUAAUCUUCCAAAUUUUUUAUCAGUAGUAUUUCCCCAAAUGAGUCAAAUUUGUAUCCAAAAGGUGUAGCAUUGCGCUGUUGUUGUUGAACAAUCUCAUUAACUGCCACCCAAAACUUCCCCGGCUCUGGGGCUCUUUUUAUUUUCACGGGAUUUCCUGGCAGGUUUAAUAGAGCUUCAGUUGUAUUUGCUUUUAAUCCGGUGAGACAGUACUUUUCGACUGUUUUAGUACUGAACUCUGAAAACAACACAAAUGUACGAUCAGUGCUAACCACAGGUCCUGCUGGUAUAGAGAGCCCAUCUAGCAACACCUUCAACUCUUUUGUUAUUGGAUUAUACUUGAUUAAUCUUCCAGUUGAAUCUAGAACAUAAUUCCCUUGUAUGACAUUUCUGCACAAGAUUAUUUGAGUUGCUCAAGUUUUUCUAUUGAGUUGAUGAGGAUAUACAGAUGAAAAUAUGGAUAAUUUUUUUUUAAAGUUAGGGAGGAGAUGGGAUUUAGGAAGUAGGGAAGGAAAAGGAGGAAUUAAAUCUAUAAGCUCUAAUUCUUGCGAUCUCAAUGUUAACCACUAGAUCAAGGCAUAAUCAGUAAAAAAAUAUGGAUGAUAAUUGCAUGGUUAGUGAAUGACUUUGAACAAGAAUUUUGGCAAAAUUGAAUUACCCUUGAUGUAAUUAGUACAUUAUAUUUGACGUAUAUCUUCAGUACUAUAGAACGAGAGUAACUUUAUGCAUCCCCAUUCCCUACUACAUUUUUCAUUGUUCCGAAAUUGGAAAUUUAGCAUUUUUGAAAUUAACAAAAAAUUAGAAAAUUUUAUGCAAUAACUGUAAUAACUAAAAAAGCGUUGAGAAAGUUACCAUUAAGUCGUAUUUCCGUAUUGUCAAGACUACUGAAUCCUAAAGCUAUGAGGACCAACGAGUCUGAUUGUUCAUUUGUUGUAUUUAGACAUAUAUGAAAAUAAAUGUCUAAGAUUUUUAUAUUUUAUGGAAAUUUUUAUUUUCUACCUUAUCUUUCAUGUACAAAACCUUCAUUACUUUCUCUGUCUCUUUUUUGGGUCAAACUUUCCAUGGUAGAACUCAUGAACUACCAACAUCAACUGCUUGUAAACCAUAUAAUAUAGUUCUUUAGUGUCUCUUUAAAAAAAAAUUAUUUAGUUAUAUUGGAAUAGACUUUUUCCUUAAUCUAGAGCACUAUAAAAUUGUGUAACAACAUUUCUAUAAGUAAAGAGAUAUACACUUGAAGAAAGUAGUUUUUAAGAUUUUAAGCAAUAUUUGAUCUAAAGUUUGACCGUUCACAAAAAUAUGGUCGUAAGAUGUAGAAGACAUAUUUCAUUAAAAAUCUCAAUUUAUAUUCAUAAAACUUGUGCGAAAUGCAUGGCAGUCCCGUCCAACAAAGAAAAAGUCUAUGGCCUUGUUCCCAACAACUUUUGAUUGUGUAAAACCUGAUUUUAGAAAAUCGGAAUAGAAAAGCACCAAAAUAAAUAUAUCUCAUUUUCAGCUUGUUUAGGUUUAAAAAAACCCAAAAUCAGAUUAUAAAAAGUAAUUGAUUUUUGGAAGCAAAAAUCAAGGGUCAAGUGGCUCAAUAGUGGGGAUCGGAAUACAAGGUAUUUUCAUGCAGUGAUCAAGCAGAGGAGAGUACAGGGGACAAUACACAGGGCGAAAAAUUCGUAUGGCGAAUGGGUGGGCAAGGAUGAUGACAUAGCACAGGAGGCGGUUGAGUAUUUCUCUGGCCUAUUUUCGGGGUCUAUCGACUCCUCUUCGGGGGAUUUAGUGCAUUUAAUUCCGUCAAUGGUCACAAGUGAGGAGAAUGCUUUUUUGGAAGAAGUGCCUGACGUAGAGGAGGUUCGACAUAUGGUGUUCACCAUGGACGGGGAGAGUGCGGCGGGUCCGGACGGGUUUAUAGGGAGUUCUUCACGUUCGCAUGGGAUAUCAUUGCUCAGGACCUGCAUAGAGCGGUGGUGAGUUUCUUCUGUGGAAAUGAGUUACCUAGGUUUAUUACUUCCACCUCAAUUAUUUUGCUACCUAAAGUUUCAAAUCCCCAAGAUUUUUCUAAAUUCAGAUCCAUUAGCCUCUGCAAUUUUUUCAACAAAUUAUUAUCCAGAAUUUUAAUGGGGCAGUUGGGCUCUGUUAUACCGAGAAUUAUCUCGCCCCAACAGACGGGGUUUGUCAAAGGCAGAAACAUAACGGAUAAUUACUUGCUAGCUCAGGAGUUGAUAUCCACCAUGUGCAAGAAGGCAAGAGGGGGGAAUGUUGCCCUAAAAUUGGAUAUGACUAAGGCAUAUGAUCGGAUGUCUUGGAGACAUAUUAUUACCAUGUUGCGCGCAUUUGGUUUUAGAGAACGUUUUAUAGACCUGGUCUGGCGGCUUAUUUCUAACGUGUGGUUUUCAAUUGUUAUCAAUGGAACAUCACACGGAUUUUUCAAAUCUACCAGGGGGUUACGGUAAGGCGAUCCACUAUCCCCAGUGCUCUUUAUUAUUGGUUCGAAAAUGCUGUCACGAGGGCUCAAUUCUUUAGCAUUGCAGCAGAAUUUUGUAGGGUUUUCAAGUCCCAAUGGGCUGUCCUGUCGUCACGCAUCUAACUUUUGCUGAUGACGUGCUGAUUUUUACCAAUGGGUCGAUUACUGCUUUAAAACAAAUCAUGCAGGUGCUAGAGGCGUAUCAACUUUCCUCAGGACAACUGAUCAAUGUUCAAAAGAGCGGAUUCUUGGUUCAUCCUACUUUAUCCCUAGCUCGGAAAAGAGUGAUUGAGAGGAUUACGCAAUUCACUAGACAGGAGUUGCACAUUCGCUAUCUUGGCUUACCUUUGUAUUUGGGAAGGAGCAAGUCAGCUUACUUUGAAGAGGUAUGUCAAGCGGUGUUGGUUCGAAUUAUGUCUUGGAAGUCAAGGUUGAUAUCCCCGGGAAGGAGAAUAAUUUUGGUAAAGCAUGUGCUCGCAUCCAUCCCAGUUCACUUACUAUUAGCCGUGGUAUGUCCCGUCUCGAUUUUUAAUCGAAUAGAGCAGACUUGUGCGAAUUUUCUAUGGGGAUCAACAGUGGAAGGGACAAAGUUUCACUGGAUCAGAUGGUCUCAGUUAUGUCUUCCGGUUGAGGAGGGGGGAGUGGGUUUCAGAAAGUUACGGGAUGUGUACUCGGCAUUCUCUUGUAAAUUGUGAUGGACUUUUCGGACUGGAAAGUCACUUUGAGCACAGUUUAUGCGAGCUAAAUACUGCAGGGACCUUCAUCCGUGCCAGGUGGAAUUGCGAAGAUUUGACUCAUCGACGUAGAGACGAAUGUUAAACAUAAGCCGAUAGGUGGAGUUAGCCAUGCUAUGGGUGGUGAAUGCAGGGUCAUGUAAUUUUUGGUAUGACAAAUGGUUGGGAAGUGGAGCUCUAUGUUUGAAAGCUAUAGUGAACCCUACCCUCUCCGUCAAGGACUUCCUCACUAAUGGGGAAUGGAAUGGUGCUAUGCUUAGGCAAUAUAUACCGCAAGAAAUCAUCGCUCUAAUUCUAGAACACCCGGUCCCAAGUGGAGAUCACCAUGACGAGUUGGUAUGGAGCCAGACGGCGUCGGGAAAAUUCAUGUUGGCAUCGGCAUUUCAGGAGGUCCGUCAAGCUCGAAAUUACUCUGUCUUACACUCUCAGGUAUGGCAUCCUCGGAUUCCGUUGAAAGUUUCAUUCUUCAUGAUGCGUUUACUGUUGGGGAAAUUGCUUUUAACUGAUGUCUUGCGGAGGGUUGGAGUCCAAUUGGUUUCAAAGUGCUUGUGUUGCCAAGAGGGAGCGAUUGAGACACUGGAACAUGUGUUCGCGGAGGGACAGGUUGCAAAAGAUGUCUGGAGAUAUUUUGGUAGGAUAUAUAGGGUUACACAACUUGGCUCGUCACUACGGGCAUGGCUAACGGCUUGGUGGCUGUUCUCCCCUCGGCAAGCAGUAAGACAGUUUCUCUUCUUGAUUCUUCCCAGUUUUAUAUGUUGGCAUACUUGGAAGGCUCGGAACAUUGCAUACUACGAAGGAAGGCAGAUGUCAGUGGCAAGAAUUUUUCAUGCCAUUUUGUUAGAUGUGAUAGGGGUGGUUGAGAUUCAGUUUAACCAGAAGCUUGAGGUGCACACGUUUCUUCAGCUAUAUGAGUGGACAACUCAACAAACAUUGGGGUAUAGUUUUCAUCUGGUGUGGUGGAAGGCGAAAGAGGCGGGAUUGCUAACACUAAAUACGGAUGGAUGCUCCAAGGGAAAUUCAUGAGUGAGUGGUGGUGGGGAAAUCCUUCGCGACUCAUCGGGAUUGCCAUUAUUUGCAUUCUCAACUUACUUUGGGAAACUUUCGAGUUUGCGUGCAGAGGCAUUGGCCCUGGUAAUGGGCUCCGUUUGUGCGUUCAAAAGCAGUUUACCGAUGUAAGUAUUCAAGUUGAUUCCCCAGUUCUCGUUGGGAUUCUUCAACGCCGGCUCCAGUGCCCGUGGGUGAUACGACAGGAGGUAGACCAUAUUUGGGGCAUGAUUACUGAUACGGCACAAAUUUCUCGUUGGGAUUCUUAACGCCGACUCCAGUGCCCGUGGGUGAUACGACAGGAGGUAGACCAUAGUUGGGGCAUGAUUAUUGAUAUGGCACAAAUUUCUCAUUGCUACAGAGAAGCAAAUAGGGUGGCGGACAGUUUGGCAAAGGUGGGUGCGUCCAGCCAUAACAGGAAUGUCACCAUUUAUGAUGACUUCAAUGCAAUUCCAAGACAGACGCGAGGGGAAAUUCGCAUAGACAGGUUAGACAUGCAUUCUCUCAGGCGGAGGAAAGUAGGCUAGCCUAGGACGUUGGCUAAUUCGGGAUUCUUUGCAAAGAAGUAAAAGAUAGAUUUACUGCUUCAGAUAUAGAAGAUGGUGCUCUCGUACCAGUUGCUUAGCUUUUCAUCAAUUGGGAUUUCCAAACUUUCGUAGAGUUACAAUGUAGCAUGUGCCAUGUGAUAUUUUCCUUGAAUUUGGGUUUGUUGGCAGUGAGAUUUGUAUAUUUAUAAGGGGAAACUCUGCCAAAAUUUUCUUAAACUAAAUAAAAUAUUUAUAUUUAAAAAAUAUUAUACUUAAAAAAAAAGAGAAUACAUAAGAUAACUUUUUUAAUAUUGAAAUCUAAAAUCAAGUUUUAAAAAUCAGUUGAGAACAAGGCCUCUAACUUCAAUUGUCUUCAAUAUUCCAAAAUUAGCACUAACCUUGAUGAUACUUAUGGGUUAAUAAAACAGAAUUUUGCCAGGAAAAGUAUUGCUAAGUAACAUCUAGAAAAUUGAUGAUGUACCUUAAAUCAAAUGUUUGGCUGGCAUCAGUUAAAUAGACAUCUCCUGUAAGUUGAUCAACGUCAAUGCCAUUAAGGAACUUAAAUGGAACACCACCCGCACUCUUAGCAAUUAGAGUAGCUAGUCCACCCUCAGGUCCUACUUUAAACAGACCAAGAAAUGCAUCAACAAUAUAAAGAACUCCAUUAAAAUUGUUGAAGCUAAAUCCAAAAGGCCUUCCACAUGUUGGUCCCAAAUUUGGGUCUGUUACAUCAUCGCAUAAUUCAUAAACUAAAGCAAAGAAAAUGUGCAAAAGUUAAUUCAACAUAUUUACAUCACAUGAACUCUAGCAAAGAUUGAACAUACUUAAUAUAUAUAAAUGAUAACCUGACAUAUUGUGUUAAGAAUAAUUGAAGGCAUUACAACAAUUUUAUCAAUUGAGACAUAUAUUGCUACACAUUAAAGCAUGAUUGUUUAUGUAAUUCUAAUAACAGUAAGUAGUCAAUCGUGUGGAGUAUAUGUGUAUAACAUCAUCCAAAUGCACAUCAAGUGCAUUUUUUCUAGCCCAGUAAGUUCUCAGUUGUUGCCAACAACAAGAGCUUAUUACUAUCAACAAUGCAUUUGUUGUGUCAUUCAACUUUGGCUAGUUUAGCAUGCAUGGUUUGCUUGAUAAAGUAGCUAAAAGCCAAUCCUUCAGCAACAUUAGCCUGAUAAGAUGUUUUCUCAUUGAGAAGGGCUAAAUUCACAUCCUUUCACACCUUUUGAUGCAUUAAUAACUUGUAUAAUUAGCAAUGAAAUUUAAACAAUAUGUUAAUUUAGAAUGAAAGAGUAUGAUAUAAUUAGCCUCUCCCUUUCUUCCUCCAAAAAAAAAAGAAAAGAAAAGAAAAGCCUCUCCCUUUCUUAUGGAGACUUAGUGGUCGAAGACUCUUACCUAUUUGGCGAAGAGUAAGCAAAAAGUACAAAGCCAACAUUUGGGCCUUUGUAUUUGAGAAUACGACCAUCACUUAUACCUACAUAGGGUCCUUGAUUAAAUCGGUCCAAAGCGAUGGACUCUGGACCAAUAGAUUUAGGAGGAAGAUCGAGGGAGGUAAAGUGUUUAUAUGGGUGUAAUGCAAAUAAAUUAGGAAGGUAAAAUAGAACAAUAAAGAUGGAAAGGAUUGGCAUUUUUAUGCUAAUCAAAGUACUUGUUAUGUAUAGAUAAUGUGGAAUAACCAUUAAGAAAUCCAUAAUGUUGCCUUGGUAUUUAUAAGCAGAAUCCAUAAUGGCUCCCAACCUAACUCCGCAAACCUUACUUUUUUUUUCGUUCCCUACCCACCAGACUCACAUUUCUACAGCUUAUCUACACUCCACAUAGGGCGGCUAUGACUAGCCUCUUAUCUUAUAGAAUGUUGAAAUCAGUUAUCACAAUAUUAUAGAAAAAUUCCAUUUGGUAUUUUCAGUCCCAAGAAAUAUUUUGCUAUCAUAAGCUUUUGUCCACCUUCCAACUUAUCCGUAUCUCUUUAAAUUUUUUUUUUGGCCUCUGUGGGUCAUUUUUGAAAAGAAUAGUUUUGCUACAAAGUAUAAACCCUGCACUGAACACCAAAAGGAGAUAAAACUCCAUAUAUGGCUAGAAAGCUGAACAAUAAUAGUUAUCCUUCCAGUCAAUCGUUUGCUAAAUAUUGGAAUUAGAAUAGUUAAUUUUUUUCUUUACCAGGUAAUUACUUAAUUUUAAUAUUUCUAUUGCAUGAGAAGGUACUACAAAAUCAAGGAAUAUACAACUCAAUUUUCAAAUUUUUAUGUUAAUCAAUCGUCGAAAAGGGUAGAAGGGUUGCCCGAUUACCAGCUGCGGACGGAAGGCGUAAGAAUUCCGUCCGAGAGGCAACAAAUGAAAGUUAGAGCAUAUAUAUAAUAGACGCAAACUAAGAAGCAUGUUUUAUCCAAGAUCUUUUUUUUAAGAAAAUAAAUUUAAUCCUCUAAAGAAAAGCCAAAUACUAAAAAUUUGUCUUACAAACAUCGAGACCACAUUUGGGAUUUUUGUCCAGUUUGGUUCUUAACUUAAUUCACCUAAAAUGUAACGGUACAACUCAAUAGAAAUUCUAUCAACAAGUUCUAAAAUCAAUGUAAUACAAAACAAACGUCUGGAGUUUCGAAUAUUGAGAGUACGCCCAUUGCUUAUACUUACACAAGGUCCUAGAUCAAAUUUGUCCAAAGCGAUGGACUUGGGACAAUGGUAGACCUAGGAGGAAGACUGAGAGAGGUAAAAAGUGAAUAUGUGUCUAAUACAAUUGAUUAGGAAGGUAUUUGCCUAAAGAAAAAGAAGAAAAUGAUAAGAUUGGGAAGGCAAAAUAGGACCACAAAGAUGGAAACUAUUGUCACUAUUAUGCUAAUCAAAACACUAUAGAAUAUGGGUCAAUGCAAAUAGAUUAGGAAGGUCAAAUAGAACCACAAUGGAAUAGAUUGUCAUUUGUAUGCUAAUGAAACGCUUGGUAUAGACUUAUAGGUAGAUAAUGAGGAAUAGCCCUUGUAAUUAUAAGCAGAACCUAUCCUGCUACAAACCCACCACUAUCUUAUCCUUUGCGUCUCCCACACACCAAAAAAUCCCAUUGCAAUCUUAGCUACACUACACCUUAUGCAUGACUCUGGCUUCUUGUCUUGUAGACCAUUGAAAUCAAUUAAAAUCCUAAUAUUUUUCCUUAUUUGAUUCUUAAAUCCCAAAAAAUAUUUUGCCAGCAGAUGAUGAGCUCUUAUUCACAUUCCAAUUUCUUCAAGUCUCUCUCUGUGAAUUUUCUUUUUUGGACCUUGAAAAGUGCAUAUUUUGUGUGUUUUUACUGUGUUUUAUUAAUUAAUUUUAGUGUGAUUUAUUUACUUUUAUAGCUAAUUAACUAGGAUUCUAGUGAAAAUAUGCAUUUUAUGGUUUAUGUGGUAAAACUUGCAUUUCUAUGAAUUUUAAUGGUAAAAUUCAUGUUUUUGUAGGUUUAAGGAUUCAAUCAUCAAAUGGAGUGAGUUGAAAAGAUAAUUGGAUGAUUGAUGAUGAUUUGAAGUGAUAAAAAGAAAAUAUAAAGUGCAAGAGAUGAAAUGCAACUCAGUAUACAAGAAAGAAGUUUCACAGAUUUGAUACCUUGUGAUAUUUUAGCUAUAUUUUGAGAUAAAAGUAUUGGAUUGAGGUGAUUCUUAUACCAUUUUAAAGCUAAUAGAUAUAUCUACAUUUGAUAUGAGACAUUGAAGUCCAGUUUAGUCAUUUUCCUUGUCAAAAAAUCAAAAUAUAAAAGUGCAUUUUCAUGGUCGAAAGCUGAAACAGAGUUAUGACCAGGCGAGGGUAUUUUGGUCAUUUAUCAAUCCACAGAUCUCUAAAUUCGAUGAUUCUUAAGGCAUUGGAAAGCUAACUCAAAGGGAUACAACUUUCAUGUUUUACAUAAGAACUAGUUCAGCCUCCAUCAUCAAUACAAUAUCAGUUGAAGUUGGACAAAAAACAGAGCAAGGAGGAAUUCUGCCCAGAAAAUGCAAACCUGCAAUAAGGCAAUAUGUGGGAUACAAUACGCGACCUAAGGUUACGUAUUCGAGGUUGCGUAUUCUAGUUUUUCAGCUGCAACUUGCUCUGUAACUUGUUCUUUGUUCACACAACUUUUCAACUCAAUUCCAGCAAGUAAUUUAAGCUGUAUCUGACCAAGAAGAGUGUAGAAAGUUGGAGAAACAACUCAUGGGAGUUUCAAGAGUUAAAAAUGGCAACUAGAAACAAUUUAUUUGGCUCUUGAAUCCUCUAUAAAUAGCAGCCUUUGGAGACCAUUUUCAAAACUUUUGAAGGCUAGAAAAGCUCACAAAAAAUGUAGUUUUCACUAGAAUUUCCUUUGUUCAUUAGUUAGGUUAGUAUAGUAUAGAAUAGUUUAGGCAGUUAAUUGUAUUAUUCACUCUUGUGUAUUGGCUAGAUUAGAAUGAAGAUGUAGAUGAAGAAGGAGGGGUUAAAACUCAUGUAACAAGGGUUAUCUCUUCUGCCACUCUUUAUCUUUUGUAUUGGAUUCUUAAGUAUGGUUAAUAUGCAAGUUUUAGAUUUGUGUUUCAAUAUGUGUUUCUAAAGUUUAUGGCUAGAUUUAUGAUUGAACUUUCUAUAUCAUGUUAGUAAUGUUUACUUGGUUAUUUGAUAAUAUUAUUUUGAGCAAGUUAUUUAUCAAUUUUGUUUAGCUAAUCAUGAUUAACUGACCAUUAAUUGUGAUAAUCUUAAGGUGUUAAGUUUGCAAUGAGAAUUGAAAUUUAACACUAGUUCAAGAAAGUGAUAAACCUAGAGAGUACACUUACGAAAGUAGAGGUGCACCUUUGUGGCUUAAGUGACUUGUUUUAUGUAAUUUCAUAGAAUAAAUGAGUUUGUAGUUAAUUUCAUGACCACAAGAGUAGGUAUGGCUUAGCUACAAGUAUAGUUGAUUUACUACGAGAGUAGUUUUCAUAUACAUUAGGAAAUUACGCCAUAACUAGCUAAAGUAAUAGCAUUCACUUAAUCGGUAAUAUCAUUUGCAAGAGUAAUAAGGAAUUCCAUACCUCUAGGAGUUUUCUAUUGUAUUUUUGUUGCUUUUAUAGUGUAGAUUUAAUGUUUUGUACUUGUGCUAGUCUAAAUAAUAAAGGAGUUCGAAAACCAUCGAUAAUUGAUAACCUUUCCUGUGGAAUCGACACCUAAUACCCCUAUGCUCAAUAAACGACUUGUAUACUUAUGAAAAAUCAUGUGUGGAGUAUUUAAGAUUUUAUAAAUGUAAAACUUGACUGUGGAUGAGUUAAUUGUUAUAUGUAUACCCCGUGCUUGUCUUCAGAAGAUCCUUAUAAGGAAUAGUAUUGGUAAAAAGUAUAAACUUUGCACUGACUACCAAAAGGAAACAAAACUUGAAACAUGGCAAAAAAGCAUAAACUUCAUUUAGAGCCAUCUUUCAAUGCUAUGCAUUUAUGGUCAAUCAUGUUGAGUAUAAGUUUAUAACGUCAUCAAAAUGCAAAUCAAGUGUAUUUUUCUAGCCCGGUAACUUUUCAAUGGUUGCGAACAACAAUAGCUUAUUAUUAACAACAAUGUAUUUGCUGUGCCAUUCAACUUUGGCUAGUUUAGCAUGCAUGGUUUGCUUAAUAAAGUAGCUAAAAGCCAAUCCAUUAGCUAGAUUAGCCUGAUAAGAUAAGUUUUUCUUUGAGAUGGGCUAAAUUCACAUGCUUUUAUCUUAAUUUACACCUUUGAUGCAUUAAUAACUUGUACCGUUAGCAAUGAAAUGUAAAGGAUAUACUGACUUAGAAUGAAAGAGUAUGAAUUUAACUUUUCCCUUUCUUAUCUAUGAAUAAUAAUCAAUGCAACAAUGGGAAUGGAUGAUCAUGGAGACUUAGUAAUAGAAAACUAUACUUGUUUUGCUAAGUAAAAGUAAAAAAUACAUAACACAUCUUGACCCUCAUAUUUGAGAAUACGACCAUCAUUUAUAUCUACAUAAGGUCCUUGAUCAAAUUAGUCUAAAGCGCUGGACUCUACACCAAUAGAUUUGGAAGAAACACUGAGGGAUGAAAAGUGUGUAUUUAGGUCUAAUGCAAAUAAAUUAGGAAGGUAAAAUAGAACCACAAAAUGGAAAGGAUUGGCAUUUUUAUGCUAAUCAAAGUACUUGAUAUGUGUAGAUAAUGUGGAAUAGCCAUUAAGAAUUUAGCCUUUGUUAAGAAGUUUAGGAAGGAAAUUUUCUCUAUAUUGCACACUUGAAUGUUACAAUUGUGUGAGACCCAUAUACAGGCUUGCAAUAGGAUAAGACAUAAUGAAUUUAUAUAAUCUUCUAGAUAGUCAAUAUCCUAAUUAAAUCUCUAAUUAAUAUACAUCAAAAUCAAGAAGACAUUUAUAACUACCACUAAACAACAAACAACCAAAAACUCACUCCAACACUCCCCUCUAACUUAGUGCAUGGAUAUUAUACAUGUCCAACUUGAAAAGUCAAUUAUAGAAGCUUUUAGUCAACACAGUUUUCAUGAGUACAUUGGCCAACUGAUCUUCAAACUUCACGUAUGGGAACCAUGUCACUUUUUGUUCAAGGUUUGGUUUGAUAAAAUGCUUAUCCACUUCAAUGUGUUUAGUGCGAUCAUGUUGAACUAGAUUAUGAUUGAUAUUGGUAGUGACUCUAUUAUUACAAAACAGAUACAUUUUUAACUUUGAAGCAAAAUUGAUAUUGGUCAUCAGUCUCUUAAACCAUAGAAGUUCGCAUAUAUCCUUAGCCAUUCCUCUAAACUUGGCCUCCGCACUAGACAAUGCCACCACAUUCUGUAUCUUACUCCUUCAAAUAACUAAAUUACCACAGACAAAGAUGAAGUAACCAAAAGUCAAUUUUUUUAUAGGUAGCGUCUCUCACCUAGCUGGCAUCAGUGUAACUAUCAAUAUUGAGGUGGUUGUUCUUGGAAAAUAAAAGCAUUUCUUAGAUAAACACUUCAAAUAUUGAAGGAUCCAUAUCACAGCUUUCAUAUGCUGAUUAUUCGGAGAAUGCAUAAAUCGGCUGACAACACUAAUUGCAUAUGUUAUAUCAAGACGACUAUCGAGCAGAUAGAUUAGGUUAUCAACCAACCUCUGAUAUCUUUCUCUAUUAGUCAGUUUCUGAUUUGGAAAUUCCUCAAGUCUGUGGUUCUGAAUAAUCGCUGCGUCAGCAAGUUUACAGUCCAACAACCCAAUUUCUACCAAGAUAUCGAGUACAUACUUCCGUUCAGAUAGAAAGAUUUCAUGUACCGGCCUUCCCACUUCAAUUCCCAAGAACUAUUUGAGACUUCCUAAGUUAUUCAUCUCAAAUUCAGCUACCAAUCAAUCUUAUAACUUAGAAAUCUCCUCUUCGUUAUCAACUGUGAUAAUUAUGUCAUCGACAAAGAUUAUCAGAUCAUCUACAUUUCCAAGCUAAUAUUUCAAGAAUAAAGUAUGAUCCACAUUGCUUUGUCAAUAACCAUACUUCUUUAUAACCAAGAUAAAUCGAUCAAACUAAACAUGGGGUAACUAUUUCAAUCCAUAAAGAGCUUUCUGCAAUCGACAGAUGAUAUUUGUCUUUGGAACUACAGAAUAUCCAAAUAGAAUAUCCAUGUACAUGUACGUGAUUAAAAUUUCAAGUCUGCAAAACGACGAGAAAGAAAUACACGACAAAUAUGUAAUAUAUAAAUUUAAGAAAAUAUGUGAGUACAAUCUCUGAAAUUUUCUCAAACUUAUAGAGAGUUUCCUUCGAUUCUUCUCCUCGAACGCCAAUCCAAGGGUUUUACAGCUUGUUCUUGGAUCAACCACCGAUUGUUUCAAAUCUUGAUAUGGAAGAUUUGAAGAACUUCAAAAAAUUUGAAGGCUCAGUCCUUGAUAUGCGGAAGACUUGAAGAGCUUGAAGACCCAGACCUUCGUAACUUGAAGCUUCAAUACUUGAGUGUAUGAGAUGCCGCUUGAUGUCCUUAUGUAUCCUUGAUUUGGUUGAGAGACCCCUAUUUAUAGUUGUAGCAAGAGGUAGAGGUUGAAAACCUAUGUACCACUUUACUUGUCUUGCAAGACGUGCAGUCAUAUUAGGACUGUGCCAGUCAAAUAUUAUCUCUUCAUUUUAUAUUUAUCAAUAAAGAGAUAAGUAAUUCCUCGAUUGGCCAAACUCGUGGGGACACGUGACGUGGCGCCGUUUGACUGGACGAGUUAUUGCAGUAUAUAAGAAAUAUACAUGGACUAAACAACUCUAAAUAUUAUCUCUUUAAUAAGAAAUAAAUAUUUAGAUAUUUAUCCAAUAGACAUGUGAUAUGAUAUGAUUUGGUUGGUGGAGAUAUACCUGCAAUUUGAAUUGAUUUGGAACACCUCACCUUGACACGUGGCAAAAUAUAAUUGGCCAUUUAAUAACCAAUUUUUUUCAAGUGUACAUGCCAUAUGGCAAUAUCCAAUUGGAUAAAAAUAAGCUAUAAAAAUACUUUAUAGACCAAUGAUAAUUUUUGAAAUUUAAUUAAAAUUUCAUUGUUUACAAAUGCCCUUCAAAACUUGUUUGCGAAGAGUACAACUUGAACGGACAAGUUUUGACUUUCUUUAAUUUGCUUAAGUUCCUUUCUUGCCAAAUUGGACUUCGAAACUUUGUGAAUCAAGUCACCUAAGUAGGAAGCCAGCCGUACAAAGACUUCAAUGACCAAAUAGGCACAUAAGUGAUUAAUCAAACUUCAUGGAAUUUAAUCUCGUAAGUGAUUAAUCAAGCACUAGUGCACCUUACAUGCAAAACACCUUUUCAUUGGCCUAGGAAGUUUCCAACUCCAAUUAUAAGACAAGUGCAUUGUUCCUUGAUCAAUCAUGAAUUCCACCGCUUCACAAGAUUCAAGGUCCGAACCAGUCAGCUUCUUGUCGAAAUCCUAGGAUUUGUAUCCUUGAUGAACUUAAACAUUUGAGUUCCUUUUUUUUUUCCUUCUUUUUUGUGAUAAAGGCAAAACUUGAAGAGUAACCCAACACAAUUCUUCAAGGAAUUAAUCAGCCUAUAGAAGUUGGUUGCGAAAAUAAUUCCUUCCAAGGCCAACAUGAAUUGAAACUUUGUCCUUUAUCAUCAUAUAGAAGAGAAAAAAAAACUAGCAAGCUCUCAAGGCCGAAUUCCAAGUAGUAUUUGAUGUUGAUGAUUACUAGGAAAGUCCAUCGGCUAGAUUCCAUGUAGUAUUCCUUUUGUUAGUCUAUCAUACGCACAAGACUCCUUGUCCUUUAUGAAUUCAAUCAAAUUCAGCCUCCGAGAACUUGGGGAAAUAUUUCGGUGAUGACUCAUACAGGUAAGAGGUCAACUUCCAAUUGUAAAAGAAGAUCAAUCCCCCAAGCCUAUUAACUAAAUUUUCGUGGGAAAGGAGAUCUACUUGAACUCAAAUUAGACCAUUAUUCAAACCUGAACUCUUCUUGAAUGUGCGGUGGGCAUCUAUUAUAAAUACUUAGGACCGAGAGCUUACUUUCAAUCAAAAAGAAGAGCAAACCCUCUCUUCUCUUUUUUUUUCCUUCAUACUGGUACCAUCAAGCAACUGCCCUUUGAACUUUGUAGACCGCUCCCCUUGUGUAGUCUUCGAAUUGUUAUGCCAUCGGACGUGAGUCGUUGCAGAGUUUAGCUGUUGCUACCACUACAGUUUGGCCAGCAAGAGUUGCCGCUACUUUGUUUGUUCACUGUUGCUGUUUUUUCGCUGCUCAUAACUCGAAAACUGCUGUCCGGAAUCGCUACGGUCACUAGAGCUAGCGUUUAUCGCUACUAGUGUAGAAUUCUCGUUGCUGAUAUCGCGUCAAUUUAGGUGAUUAUCCCCAACCUUCGUUCACCUUUCAUACAUAUUUAUAUUUUUAAUAUAGUAGUCACUUUACAUGUAAGAUAUGGAAGCUUUUGUACCCUUGAUUUGCAUGCAUGUUUUAAAUUAUUUCGGCACUUGCAUGUGACUACUACUUGCAGUUUUGCAUAUCAAUCUGCCAUGGCUUGAACUUGGAAAAUUGAACCAUCAACUUAUUAUAAAAUGACAUGAUUGCCUGGUCUUGUAGCUGGUGCAAAAUUAAUAUAUGAAUCCUUACAUGUUUCAAUUACAAAUAUCUCCAUCAAGUUGUAUCCAUAUCUCAGCACUUCAUGAUCGUUUGACAUAACGAGGUGGCCUUUAAAGUUUCACCAUGAAACUGAUUAAUAUAUUAGCCACCAUAAUUACAUUCAUGACUCACUACAAUUGAGAUCCCGCCGAUUCAUAUUGCUGACCUUCUUGACAUCUGAAGCCUAUUAUGCAAACAUAACUUGAUAUUUGAUUGACUUGUCCAAAUUGUAACCUCUUUAUCCAUUAUUUGCGGACAUCCCAUCUCACUUUUACUUUUUAUUGUCAGGUUUAACUUCAAUAGGAACUCAGUAUUCCGCUCAAGGAAUUAGAAAUUCAGCCGCAAGGUGGCUUGAUUGCCCAAGUUUCAUAAAAAAAAAAAUUUUUCUUUUCUCUUUUUUUUUGUUGUGUUUUUUUUUUACCAACUCAACCCCCUUUUUCCUUCGAAUUUCAGCAACCAUGCAAAUUAAAGACUAUACCACGCCGUUGCCCCAUAUCUCAUUGACGAAUGAGAGGGGAGGGUCUCAAUCGAAAAAUUUGUCAAUAUAUGUGAACAAACCAGCAAUUGGCAUCCUUGCUGAGCUUUUUAUACCUCUUGAAGGAUGCUUUCAUCUCGAGGGUUGGACUAGCAAGUAGACUAAGGAAGUGGUGGCACCGUCGACUUUCUCCACUACAUCGAGGGAAGAAGAAGUGGUCGUAUUAAACUCGUCACUUCACAAUGGAGAUUCAAAUAUAGCCAAAUUCACGCUUCCGUUCGUGGGAUUCAAUAUUGACAAAACUACAUGGAAGAUCCUUUCGUCCUUCUUUGGCGAGGCGUGCUUUACUUCUCAUUAUUAGGAAUAGGUCGAGGACAUCCUCGGAAGGUAUAAAAAAGUGCUCACCCGUGUUGGCAUAUUUGAAGCUGUCUACACGUCGCGAUACUCCUAGGACCGCUGUGAAAAUAUCUUGUGAGCUUUCUUCAAAUAUUGGUGUCCCUCGACAAAUGCAUUUUAUACGCUCAUCAGGGAGUUGUCCAUCACACUUUAGGAUCUUUAUCGACUUGAUGGCCUUUCGAUCGUUGGCUCGUUCUUUGAUGAAGUUGUUCCUUUGGCGCAGGAGCUUCUCACUCGUGACAAAGAAGGGAAGCCACUUCUCCCUGAUAAUUGCAGGCACCUCUUUUCCGCUUACUAUCACCUUUGGACGAAUGACCAAGGGGUGUGGAUGAAGGACUAGAUUCGCUUCUGGUUCAAAUGAGAGGCUAGGUAUAGGGCUCCUCCGAGUAGGGCGAAUAGAAGAAAGAUCACAUCUAAACCGAAAAUGACUUAUAACCCUUCUGGAAGCGUAGAGCCACACGGCCUUGCUAAUACGAAGGACUUCAACGUCCCUUUCGACACACUGGAUAUCCCAGGGUCUUUAAGAAAGGAAACCUAUAUGGCGGCAUUCAUAGCGUAUUGGAUUUGCAAGUUCCUUUUGCCAAACAAAAAGGUCGAUCGUAUUCGCCCAAGUGUCUUCAAGGUUGCAUGCUUAAUGGCCACAUGGAAAAGAUUUUACCUUGCAAUUCCCGUUCUUGUGAGCAUAUAUCAUGGGUUGAGGGAGAUCGUCCACACCCCUAACCUUAGAGAAUGUGGGGUAACUUUUCCAAUCCAUUACGUCUAUACUUGGAUUGGCCAAUAUUUCGAUAUAUAUUAUGAAAACAAUCAAGUAAGUAGCCACCAUGCGCGCAUGACAAGAUUUAAUUGUGAGAAAAUGGCAAUAUUUUAUGGCCGAUCAGAAGCUGAGGAAAUCUUCAAAGAAGUGAAUCCUUUGAUGCUUCCUAAAUUGUGUUGGACUGAGAAUGAAGAAAAGGCGUUAAUCGAUGAUGGAUCCUUAUUAUCAAGACUCACGAGUUACUUCAUUAGUCAACGCUCUUGCCAUUUAACUCUACGUAAGGACAAUACUUUCAUUAUCAAAAAAUAUAAUCCUUGCAGGUUUAGCAGACAAUUCAGCUUCUGUCAGGAUAUUCCCAACAACUUGAAAGAGAUUACUCAUACUUAUACUUUGGGUGAGGCUAUUCAACUAUGGGAUUCCUCAGUUCGCACGCAGACGCGAUCUCGGAUGACUAUACCCACGCACAGGAAGCAUCCAUUGAUCACAAAAGACUAUGACGCCUGGUGGUCGACUCGGUCAAAUAGUGUCUCUUCAACUUCCUUUAAAUUCACCGUUAAGAUCCCUCAGCAAUCAUCGAAAAAGGGUAAGGUUAUCUUCGCCAACGAGUCAGUGCAUCAUAAUGGAGCUAUAGAGAUUAUAACGGGUCUUACCUCAUCCACCUUGCGAAAGGACAAAAUUAUUAGCAGUCUCUCGAAAAACAUUGUCACAAAAAAUAAGUCUUCCAAGGACUCUCGACAGGCCAUCAAAGAGGCGCAACCAGUGAAUCCAGCAAAGAAAACGCCGUCCAAAAUUUUAAAAUCCUUAUCGGUAACUCGCACAGAAGAAGAUGUCGAAAUUGAAACGGUGGACGACCGUUAUUCUAUCAAGGCUAUAGUAAAGGAAGGGACUCAAGUUCAGGGCAUCGGAUCUACCCAAGGAGGAGCCCAUUUGUUGGAGAGCAGUAGUAGUAGUCAAGACCGUCACUGGAACUGAUCAAAGAAGAGGACAUCUUCUGCUUUGGAGGAGGUUUCCUUACACCACUGUCGGUUGGAGUGUCGCCACUUAAGGUAAUCAUCUCUCCUUCUUUUUCUUUUUUUUUUUGUAACCUUUUUUUUUAUCCCUUUUUUCCCCCUCUCGUAACACUUUUUUUUCAUCCCCCAUUUCUUGAAUUCCACCAAGAAAAUAUUGGUACCAACUCACCAAUUGAACUUGAAACUGGUGCUAUAAUUUCAAACAAGAAAAGUGACGAAAUCGUUAUCCGCAUUCCAAAAUAACUUGCCCCCAGUGGAGGUACCUCGUUAAUGCAUAAGAAGGAGCUGACUAGUUUGCACGAAAUCCGAAAAAGACCUAAGGUAACAUUGGUUUCAGAAUUUCAUGACCAAAAGUUGAUCCAGGCGCAUCGAAGAAAGUACUUGCAGAGUUUGUGGAUGGAUUUUCGCGGGCAGAUUCUUGACACUCCUAUUGAGCAGAUCUCUUCUUUAAAAGAGUGCGCAGAGGAAAUCAUUGUGAAAAUCACAAGAACGGAUCCUACUAAUAGUCUCCCUUUAAAGGACUUCUUGAUAGAAUUGUUUGUUAAGGCGGAGGCAUAUGAUAUUUUUGCAUCUUUGUCAUGGGAAAAGAUGAGUAAAGAAACACAUGCAGAACUCCUUUCCAAAGUGACCGCCCAACUCGGGAGAGUUAAGGCAAAUGAAGAAGAACUAACUCGUCAUCUACAAAGUUUUGAAAAAAAGUUGCAGUCUAUUGAAGACAGGAAGGAAGUUCUGCAACAGGAACUUAUCAAUUUAGAGAAACAAGGUUUGAAAAUCAGCUCAACUAUCGAUCAAAAGUAUUAAACUUUCAAAAAGAUCCAAACUGAAAUAACCCGGACACAUGAUAAGCUUUCUUCUAUUGAAAGUACCAGCAUCUUGACUGAUGACGCGAUGAAAGAACUUGAAGACAUGAAGUCUGCACUUGAAUCAUGCAAAAUAGUUGUAGUGGAUUACAAAUUUGACAUUUAAACUUUUCACCAUAUCUUUUUUCUGAAUUUUUUUUCUUUUCUUUUUUUUCCUCCUGUAAUGAAUUUUUUGUUUUAUGAAUAAUAAAAUGCUUUUCAUUUCUUAUCUCUAUAUAUUUUUUUCUAAGAGAAAAGAACUUUUAAAUUUAGCAUUUUAUUUCAAAGAAAAAGAGAUGAUUUUUUUUUUUUUUUGCAAAGAAAGAGGGUUUGAUUUAGGAGGUGUAACUGAACUUAGAAGUUACCCUCCAAACUGCCUACGUAUCCCAACAAGGGAAUCUAGUCACACGUAGCUCCUGCCAUUCACAUUUUAAACUCAUGCGGGUCAGGAGUAUCUAUUUGUUUACCACCUUAGACUUGGUGGAGUGUUUUAACAGUUUAACCACAUACUACACUAUUGGUGGUUGCCAUCCACAGUUUUAGCUCAUGCGGACUAGGAGCAUCGCGCGGUUCCGAUUACUCAUAGUACUUUUUUAGGUACUUGCCAUUGAUGAGGCUAACCCUUAAUCCAUCCUCAGCAACCAACUUGUAUGAGCCAUUUGUAUACACUUCUCGAACAACAUAUGGACCAUCCCACUUAGGAGUAAACUUUCUUUGUCCGUCAUGAGUGAGAAUGAUCGGUCUCUGAACAGCGAGUACUAACUCUCCAAUCUGGAAAGAACAUGGCUGGACAUGCUUAUUGAAUACUUUUGAAAGGCGGGCUUGAUAGCACUCAAUUCAUUGUUGAGUUUUCAAUCUCUUUUCGUCGAGUGUUUCUAACUCUGUAAGGCGAAAACGAACAUUAUCUUCUUCACUAAACCCUUCUUGAAUCGCAAUUCUUAGCGAAGGUAUUUGACACUCAAGUAGAAGAACAGCUUCAACACCAUAAACAAGCGUGUAUGGGGUCGCUUGCGUGGGAGUUCGAAAAGUAGUUCGGUAUGGCCAAAGUACUUCUUCAAUUCAAAGAUACCAAUUCCUUUUUGAUUUAUCCAUGAUUUUCUUCAACAAAUUACAUAAGGUCUUGUUGAACGCUUCAGCGAGUCCAUUUGCGGCAGCUUAGUACAUGGACGAAUUGUAUUGUUUGAAAUGAAAUUUUUCGCAAAGCUUGUUCAUUGCUACAUUGCAAAAAGGCUUACCAUUAUCGAUGAUGAUAUAACGCGGGACUCCAUAUCGGUAAAUGAUAUGCGAGCGAAUGAAAUCUACUACAUUCUCCUUUUUGACCUCUCUUAGAGGAACCGUUUCGGCCCACUUUGAGAAAUAAUCCGUUGCCAUCAAAAUGAAAAUGUGUCAUCCAGAAGAUUUUGGGAGCGGUCCAACUAUAUCCAAACUCCAAGCAUCUAACGGCCAAGAAGCCACAGUUGGAUGCAAUGGUUCAGGAGGUUGACGGAUGAAAUUGUCAUGGAAUUGACAAGCUUGACAUCUUCUAGAAAAAUCGAUACAGUCUUUUACCAUCGUUGGCCAAUAGUAUCCCAUUCUCUCAAUGCAGAAGUGUAAUUUUGGGCCAAAUUGGUGAGCACCACAUAUCCCAGAUUGAGCCUCCUCCAUUGCUUGCAUGGUCUCAUCUUCUCCAAGACAUUGUAGAAACACCCCAUCCAACGAUUUUCGGUAAAGCAUCCAUUUGUAGUAAACAAAAUGUGGCGCUCGACGACGUAUAUCAACCAUUUUCUUAGGAUCUUCUGAUAACUUCCCAUGAUUAAGGUAAUCAAUGAUGAGGUAACGUCAAUCCUCCUUUUCGAUCUCAUGAACAAAAAUAUGAUAAGCAUUUUCUUCCUCACCAUCAUCUUCUUCAUCAAACAUCAGAGGUAUGACCCAAUUUUGACAUAUUGAAAUUUGAUUUCGAUGAGAAGGUAGAGUGAUCAUGGACGCCAACCUUGCCAAAGAGUCAGCUUGUUGGUUGAAAUAUUCAAGAAUAUGUUCUAUAGUGACAUUAUCUAUAUAUCCUAUGAGUUGUCUUGCAUAUUUAUAAUAUGGGAACAAUUCAGGCUUUUUGACAUUAUAAAUACCAAGAAGUUGAUUUACCACUAAUUUGGAAUCGCCAUAGACUCUAAAAUGCAACUGCUUCAUGUCUACGUCCGUUUCUAGACGGAGAAUCAAUUCCUAAUAUUCGGCCAUAUUGUUUGAACAUCGACGUGUUAAAAUAAAAGAGUAUGACAAUAUAUCUAAUUCAGGAGUAUAAAAGAUAACUCCUGCACCAGCUCCGUCACGGUGCGCGGCUCCAUCGAAAUACAUCAAUCACGGGGAUUCGACCAUAAACACUUCUUCACGGGAAGUUCAUCAGUCAACUCCCACUCGGCAGGUAUGGGAUGAUCGGCUAAAAAGUCUGCCAAUAUUUGUCCUUUGACAGCCUUCGCAGGUACAUAAAUAAUUUCAAAUUGUUGAAACUGAAGGUACCAUUUCGCGAGUCGAUCAGACAGUACAGGUUUUGCCAUGACAUAUUUAAUGGGAUUAGACUUACAUAUGAGUCGAAUAGUGUGUAUUUGAAAAUAAUGUUUAAUCUUCUGAAUGACAAAUAUAAGUGUCAAACACAACUUCUCGAUGGGUGAGUAAUUCAACUUAUUAGAUGUCAUCAUCUGACUCAAGUAAUACAGCGCAUUCUCCUUACCUUCAUCAUUUUCUUGAGCAAGUAAGGCCCCAACCGACAGUUCUUGAUUGAAAAUAUAGAGAAUCAAUGGUUUUCCUGGGAUGGGUGCAGCCAACGCUGGGGGAUUCAUGAGGUACGUUUUGAUGCUUGUAAAAAUAUUCCUAUACGAUUUAUCUCACUCUGAAGGGCACCCAUUUCUUCAUCAGUCGAUUGAAGGGUUGGCAUCGUCCGGCCAAAUUAGAGAUAAACCUUCGGAUAUAAGCCAACUUCCCUUGAAGACUCUUCAAUUCAUGAAUAUUUUGCGGUUCAGACAUGUUCACAAUGACAUCAAUUUUAGAUCGAUUGACCUCUAUCCCCCGUUGAUGAACGAUGAAAUCGAGAAAUUUGCCAGAAGUAACUCCGAAUGCGCACUACAAAGGAUUCAUCUUUAGUUGGUAUCUCCGAAAGCGUUGAAAAACUCUUUGAAGAUCUUGAAUAUGAUUCUCUUGCUUCUUUGAUUUCACCACAAGGUCAUCAACGUAGUAUUCCACAUUUCUAUGGAGCAUAUCAUCGAAAAUAUUUUGCAUUUCCCUUUGAUAUGUCGCUCCAGCAUUUUUCAAGCCAAACGGCGUUACUUUAUAGUAAUAAAUUCCCUUGGGGGUGCGGAAGGCAGUGAGCUCCUCAUCCUCGGGUGCCAUGCGUAUUUGAUUGUAGCCAGACAAUCUGUGGAGCAUAUCAUCGAAAAUGCUUUGCAUUUCCCUUUGAUAUGUCGCUCCAGCGUUUUUCAAGCCAAACGGCAUUACUUUAUAGUAAUAAAUUCCCUUAGGGGUGCGGAAGGUAGUGAAUUCCUCAUUCUCGGGCGUCAUGCGUAUUUGAUUAUAACCAGACAAUCCAUCGAGAAAAGAUAGUACUUCAUACCCGGUUGUAGUAUCUACAGUCAAUUCUGUGAUGCGGAACGAAAAAUCAUCUUUGGGGUAAGGCUCAUUUAAGUCUUGAAAGUCAACAUAAAUUCGGAUUUGCCCGAUCUUCUUCCUUACAGGGACGAUGCUUGAAAUCCAUGUUGGAUAUUUUAUUUCUUGUAUGAAUCUAGUUUCAAUGAAUCUAUUUAUCUCAUUUUCUAUCAAAAAAAUCAAUUCGGGUCGAAAACGUCUCUGAGUUUGCUUGACGGGUUUUAUGCCUCGCUUGAUCGACAAGUUAUGAACAGCGACUCUUGGAUUCAAACCAGGCAUUUCUGAGUAAUUCCAGGCAAAGACAUCCUUGAACUCGAGCAGUAAAUCAACAUACUCUUUCUCUUCUUCAGGAGUCAUACAAGAACUUAUGUAAAUUGGGCGAGAGUCAUCACUUGUGCCAAGAUUAAUCUCUUUUAGCGCAUCGACUGUAUUUUUUACUCCUUGUUCAAAUUCUGCGGGAGCGUCAUCUGCAUAUUCUUCUUCUUCUUCUUCAGGAUCACUGAUCGUAAUAUGAUGGCAAGAAUCAAUACUUUCUUGACCCUGUUCUUCAAGGAUGGUUUCGAUCCUUACGUUAAACAAGUCUCCAUAAUGCAUAAAGAAAUUGGAAACUCGUUUCCUAGUACCAUUCUUCUUUAUUGGAGUAAGAUUUUUUUCCUUGACAACUUGGUACCCUUGUUUUUUACUGUCCAAUUUCUCAUAGACGGGCGGUUUCAAAUUUUUCGGCUGCUUGCCAAGUCUGUCAAACACAGAAAUACGCUUUGACUUAUUUCCCAAACUAUCGAAUACAGAUCACUUUCGGCUUAUGACCUCCAUUUAUUCGUUCACACAGUUACAACUCGCCCUUUUGAUCAUUAUACGAACAGGAGAAGGCGGUUGAUAACCAAGACCCAUCGAUGAACUUUCAACAUUAUAGCCUCUUUCUUUCAAUAUUUUAUGCGUAGGUGUCAAUCCGUGAGUCUUCUCUCCAGUCAUUUUAGGAGGGAGUUUGCCCAAUGCAUUCUUCUCAUUUGGGUUAUAACCUGCCUUAACAAGAAGUCUAUAUGCGUUUGGAUCAAAACCAUCUUGAGUCCGAUUAGUUGGUAGUGAGUAAUGUUUCACUGCCGAUUUUUCUUUGGGACGGACAAACCCUUGCAAGCUCGCUUUCUCACUUUUAACAGGUUCUAUUUUGGUGAGCGGAACAUUUUAAUAUGUCAUUCCUGAUAAAAGAAAACUGACCUUCUUCUCUCUUUGAUCUUGAAAUAUAACACAAAAUGGGUACUUUGGAAUCUUAAAUUUCUUCCCUUGCUGAUUCUUUUCUUUUUGCUUCUUUUUGAAGGUAAAAUUUUGCGUCGGCAAAGGGAGUCUCGGCUUUCAUGAAAGGUUUAUCAUUGGUAGUAACUUUUCUAACUAUACCGUCUCGACAAUAUUUGAAAUAUUGAUAAAGAGUAGACGGUAUAAUUUCAUUCUCAUGAAUCCAGAGUCUUCCCAGGUGCAUGCUAUAAGAAGUUCUGGCGUCAAUAAUAUGAAAUAACGCACUCAAAGACAACUCACCAAUGAGCAAUUCAAACCUUAUGAGGCCAAUUGCUCUUUGCCCCACUUGAUUGAAUCCUUGGAUCAUGAGACAGCUCUGGGAGAGUUCAUCGCUUGAUAUUUCUUGUUCUUUCAUAGCACGUACGGACAUGAUAUUGACAGCAGAUCCCCCAUAAAUGAGUAUCCGAUUCAUCUUCUGUUCUCGAACAUAUGCACUAACAAAUAAAGGUCGAUUGUGAGUUUUGAACUCAACAGUUAAAUCGUCAUCAUAAAAAAUGAUAGUCGUUGCACAAUCCACUGGUAGUUUAUCAUCGAUUUUGAGUUUUUUCUCAAAUUCAGUGCCAAUUUGUGUGACUUGAUGAUUUUCAACUUUGACGACAUUACAAGAAGUGAAAUUAUCAGUAUCGUCACUUAAAUACCCCUUGGGUAUAAAUUCUCUCAGUAUCACGGACUGUCGAACCUCUUGAAGGAGUUGAAAAUUUGAAGGACUUUGUGUUGUGGCCACUCCCUUUUGUUUCUUUGUUGCAUAUUGUUGUUUCAUUAUCACUUUAGCCUUUAUCAAACGCAUGCUUUUCGGAAAGAUGUAUUUCUUUAUCUUUGGCUUGCAAGUCCUUUUUCGAGUGACUAAAGUCCAUCCCUCGUUGUCAUCUUCAAUACUGUCUUCAAUUGAUGAUUUUUUAAACUCCUUAGACAAGGCACUGCUUUAUAUGGAUAAAACUUCUAUCGGGCAACACAUAGACCCAAACAUUAUUGUUGUUUGGUUUGCCGAUACUUUAUCCUCUUCAAGAAGGAUUUUUCCUUGACGGGCUAAUUUCAUAAUUUUGUCCUUAAAGGCAAAGCAUUUAGUGAGAGGGUGGCCAAUCAAGCGGUGAUAACAGCAAUAAUUUGGAUCAUUGACUUGAUCGACUUCCUCUGGGCGCUUCAUGUCAGGAAGUUCAAGGAGUUUCUUCUUGAAAAUAUCAUCAAACAUUUCCUUGUAAAUCGGAUUCAAGGAAGGGGUAUUCCUUUUCUUGCAUUUAUUUUAGAGUGGGUCUUCUUAUCGACCUAUUUUGAGGGGAGUCUACCUUUUCGGUGACCUUUCGGCUCACCUUGGUAGCAAUCUUCAUGGGAACUGUGUUUAUUGUCAUGGACUCCUUAUUACUGAAUCUUGAAGGAGGCUUGCCCCCUUUUUUAUUUUCUUGCCUUUCAUUGCUUUGACGAAGCAGCUGCACUCGCGGAGCUUGAAUAGAAGGCCCAUCAGUUGCAUUGGCCGUGAUGCUUAACUCCAUAUCAUGAGCACGAGUAGCUAAUUCUUCAAAUGUGUUUCGACGUAUACCCUAUAGAAUGUAGCUCAGACUCCAAUGCAUUCCCCGAAUGCACAUUUCUAUAGUAGAGGGUUCAGACAGUCUGUCCUUGCAGUUGAGAUUCAGACUUCUCCACCUAUCAAUGUAGUUGACCACAGGUUCAUCCUUCCAUUGACGAGUGUUAGUCAAUUCCAGCAUACUAACGGUUCUUCUAGUGCUGUUGAAGCGAUUCAAGAACUCUUGUUCCAGCUGUUCCCAACUGUCGAUGGACCCCGGAGUGAGAUCAGUAUUCCAAUCAAACGCGUUGCCCUUCAAGGAUCGGACGAACUGUUUGACUAGCAGGUCACCAUAGGUUCCAACAUUAUUGCAGGUUUCGACAAAAUGGGCCACAUGUUGUUUUGGACUACCUUUCCCAUCGAACUGUUAAAAUUGAGACGGUUGAUAUCCAGCAGGCAUUGCUAGGUUGUCAAUUCUAGUAGUGUAAGGCUUGCAGUAGGUAAAGCUUGACUUUGAACCACUCUCCUUUUUAUCUUUAAUCACACUUUCAACAAGUUCCUUCAGUUGUUCCAUGGGAAUAGUUCCAUUGGCGGUCAUAUAUACUUCAUUCACCUUGUCUUUGCCUUUAGAUGAGGGAAUUUCACGCUCUUGGUGCUCCUUAGGGUUCGCAUGGCUUUCUUCAGGAGCGUAAUCUUUUUGGGUGAGCAGUUGAGCAUCAUGGUCUCCAUCAUCUUGGUCAUGUUCGAAAUUUGUUCUUCGAGACUUAAAGUAUUUGUCAUCAUAGCAGACGAAGUAGCAGAAUCUUCAAUAGAAAAUCUUGAACGAAGAGUUUUAUGUGAAGAGGCUGAUCCAGUGCUUGAUGAAUUAUCAUCAUGCUUAGAAAACUUGGAUUCGGAUACAAAUUCGAGCAUAGCAAGAGCCUUCUCAAUCGAGAUAGGAACGUCUUGGAUCCCCAUCGUGGAAGAAUAGCUCAUUGGUGAUGUUGAACCGAAGACGGAAGUUGGUGCCGAUGGAACUUCGAUGCUACUUUGGGUGGAAGUUCUUGUCAUACUCAUUGUCACAAGACCAAUAGCGCGAGUAUUGGUGGCAACAUGUGCAGUUUCUUGAACAGGUUUGACAUUAACAGUUUUGGAACGAUCAGUCAUGGACUUGUUAUUUUUUGGUGCCAUUGGUGAUAUAUGUAGUUGAAUAUUCGAGGAGAAGAGAUGGAAGGCAGAGAUGGUCCCACUGGGCAUGCCAAAAAUUUGUACACGAUUAAAAUUUCAAGUCUGCAAAACGACAAGAGAAAGAAAUACACGACAAAUAUAUAAUAUAUAAAUUUAAGAAAAAAUGUGGGUACAAUCUCUGGAAUUUUCUCGAACUUAUAGAGAGUUUCCUUCAAUUCUUCUCCUCGAAUGCCAAUCCAAGGGUUUCGCAGCUUGUUCUUGGAUCAACCACCGAUUCUUUCAAAUCUUGAUGUGGAAGACUUGAAAAACUUGAAAAUAUUCGAAGGCUCAAGCCUUGAUAUGCGAAAGACUUGAAGAGUUUGAAGACCCAGAUCUUCGUAGCUUGAAUCUUCAAUACUUGAGUGUAUGAGAUGCCGCUUGAUGUCUCUGUGUAUCCUUGAUUUGGUUGAGGGACCCCUAUUUAUAGUUGUAGCAAGAGGUAGAGGUUGAAGACCUAUGUACCACUUUACUUGUCUUGCAAGACAUGCAGUCAUAUUAGAACUGUGCCAAUCAAAUAUUAUCUCUCCAUUUUAUAUUUAUCAAUAAAGAAAUAAGUAAUUUCUCGAUUGGCCAAACUCGUGGGGACACUUGACGUGGCGCCGUUUGACUGGACGAGCUAUUGCAGUAUAUAAGAAAUAUACAUGGACUAAACAAUUCUAAAUAUUAUCUCUUUAAUAAGAAAUAAAUAUUUAGGUAUUUAUCCAAUAGACAUGUGAUAUGAUAUGAUUUGAUUGGUGGAGAUAUCCCUACAAUUUGAAUUGAUUUGGAACACCUCACCGUGACACGUGGUAAAAUAUAAUUGGCCAUUUAAUAACCAAUUUUUUCAAGUGUACAUGUCAUAUGGCAAUAUCCAAUUGGAUAAAAAUAAGCCAUAAAAAUACUUUAUAGACCAAUGGUAAUUUUUGAAAUUUAAUUAAAAUUUCAUUGUUCACAAUACACUACAACAAAAAUGGGCUUUAAUGACAUUUAAAAGUGUCAGUAUAGAUAAUCUAACCUGAUAUUUUGUCUUUCCUUACACCUUAGACAAGUGUCGUCCCUUCCAAUGCAGGGAUAGACUCAUAGCAUUCAAAUGUGUCAGAAAAAUCAUGUUGUUACAUUAUCCCAUCUACCAACAAAAAUUCAUUUUUUUGACAAUUGAAAGUGUCAAGAUAGUUGUAGUACCAUAUUUGGAUAUCGAAUUCUAUGAAGGCAUCUUGACUUGUCUUAAUAUAUGGCUUUUAAGAACACUUAGUCAUGUCAUAAAACACUGCUUUGGACGACAUCACAUGUAUCAUUAGAUAUUGUUUUAGAAGCUGAGCUAUGCUGACACUUUUACUGCUAGAAGUCUUUUUUUCUUUUCUUUUUUUAAAUAAGAAGUAACCUGGUAGUACUCCUACUAUACAUUCCGUCAAUCAAAUACCCAAAGGACUUGUAAAAUUAUCCCAAAGAAUAGAAUGCACGUAGUAAUUUAAAAGCAAAAGUCAAUGCUCAAAUAUUAUUUGUUGAACUAAAAGUCAGUAACAAAUACUGACAUAGCUAAUCGAAAAAGUUGUUUAAAGUAGUGUAGCAAUGUUAGACAACACCACUAGUUAAAAUUAAAAUAAAAGAUUCUCCUAAUGUAAAACGUUGAAAGAACUUGCAAUAGCUUCCAAGCUUUCCAACCAAAUGAGAGCCUUCAGUCAUAACCAUGAAGACACCAUCAAUCUUCAGUUGGUACUACCUGUGCCUAAAGUAGUUUUGUAUAAGAAAUAGAUCUAACCAUAAAUAUUUUAGUUUGAGCAACAAGCAGAAAUGAAGCUUCAAAAACAAGAAUUUUCCCUUUGUUAACUAUUCGCAAAGCAUAAUGUAUAGUAUCGUUCAUUGGUAAUCAGCCCAAAACAGUCAUACAUACCACAAUAAUUUACUUGCAAAAAAUUUUGAUUUACCUUGAUCCCAUAUACUAGCUGAUUAUUUGUGAAGUUAGAAAGAUAACUACUUUGACAUUCCAUAGAAGGUGGGGAUCAUCAAAUCAUCAUAGCUAGCAAUAAAAUUCUAGAAAACCCAAUGAGUAAAUAAGUACAUAUAUUAUCAAAUGACAAAGCCAAGCAAUUGGUGCACCAAGUGCAUCUUGAAUUGUUUGUUGCAAAUCAUAUGGUCUAGUCCUAAUAAGUCACAAUUUUGUCAUUGAUUUUAUAAUUAAUUUUCCCUAUUAUCUUACUAAAUGUGGAUUAAUUGUCAGAUUCUACUCACUUUUGGAAAUGUGUAUUUAUUACAGGGAGUGGAAUACAAAUACCAUAAAAAGGUGCCAAUUUGACGGAAGAAGAGUUUUAGCAGCAGUUAACAUGGUGGAGAAUAAUUCAACUCUGCUUCCUUAUCCCAUAGGCAAAUGCGGCAUCUAGGGACACUUUUGAAAAAUUGGAACUUUUUCUUCUUUUGGUAGUUUCCGAAGAGAGAGGAGAUCGAGAAAAACUGGGAGUCUUCCUUUUUCCUCUGAAGAGCCGCAUAGUAGAAAUAGUAGGAAUUAGAUAGGAGAAAGGAUGGCAGACAAGUUGGACUACUUUAGAUUUUCUCUUGACUUUUCCUUUUUCGUCUUUUAUGGGGUCUAGGCCCUCGUAUGUCAGAGACAAGUAGAAAACAAUUAGUCAUUCUCUAUAGUUUCGCUUUUCUUCCUUAUUCCAACGAAUUGAAUCCUCUCAAUCGAAAACAAUGUCCGUGACUAUUAUUUCUGCAAUUUCACGUGGGAUUUUCUCCACAGAGAGGAACUAACUCUCUUCAUCUAGUCAAGGAACAACGAAGGUUUUGGUUCAUCUAAAAAUUGUGAGAUUGAAUUAAUUUUAUUUAUUUCUCUUAUUUAUUGGUAUUUGCAUAUUCUCUUAUUGUAGUGCUUAUGGUUGUUAAAUUAAUUGAUUAUCUUGGAUCCGGAUAUUGAAUUAAUUUAGUAACCUAUUGUCAAUUGGAGCAUUAAAUCCGUAAUUGUUUAAUUGCUCUGAAAUAGUGACAACUGGCAUGAUUGGAUUUGUGUCAGGGGAAUAUGCAGGCUAAUCUAAAAUAACCCUGGUAGUGUGUUAUUUGAUUAGAAUAGGGCACCUCUAAUACGUAAGGCAAUUGGAGAAUUAAAUCUUACGGACGUACCUAGGAUUAUUUCUCAAUUAGAGCAGUGAUUAACGGACAUACCUUAAUCACCAACACCAUAAGGAGGAGUUGAUUGUUAUCGCUUGUUUGACAGUUAUAACUUAUUUAUUAGUUGAUAAUUGGAAUUACCCUUGCAUCGAUGACCAAUUAGGUGAACCAUUGUUGAAGUUAUUUCUUGGCUAGAUCUUUAAUUAUUAUUAAUCUAAUUUUAGUAAAUUGUCAUUUAAUUUUUAGUUAGCUAUUUGUUUUUUUAUUCGAACUGUCUUAAUUUGCAUCUUUUAUACAAAAUCACCCCCUUGUUAUUUUGAAUUUCAAAAGAGAUAAAUACCCCCAAUCCCUGAGGAGACGGCCUUACUUGCCCUUUAUACAAAUCAAUAAUUCCUUGUGAAUAAGCAAUCCCAUGCUAGUAUAUCGGAUUAAGCAAACUCUUCGAAAAUUGGGUGAAUCAAAUAAUCCAUUGCACAUCCAGAGUCCCUACUCCAGUACUUAGAAUUGGGUUAUGAUUACUUUAAUUGGCAAAUAGGCUUAUUUUUAUUAUUGCACAGGCAUCGACAACCUGUCAAGUCCCUUUGCCAUGAUUUUUGUUGGGUCAAACAAAUUUUUCAGUGAAACCAUAUUUCCUACCUAGUAAAAGAUCCAACAAGUACAAGAAUCAAAGUCAUGCUCAAACUUUCGACCAUGUGUACUUUAAAAACUGAAGAGUAAAAUUCAGAUUAACCACUGAAAUCAAGGGAGCAAUUUUUUAAACAAUUUAGCCACUACAAUUAACUAUCUAAAUAUUUUAAUUCUUUUCUUUUAUUAUCCUGAUUGCUAGCCAAAUUCUAGACUAACCACCUAAAAGUUUAGAAGUUGUAAAGACUUACUCGAAUAGGUCGCAUUGGACUAUGGUUUGAAACAUUGUUAGACGAUGAUGAAUGAUAUCUCGGGCUGUCAACUGUAUCGUCCCUUCCAUAUUGAACUAAAACCAUUUUCUUCAAGUUGACAAUUUCCUCAUCUUAUCGCUGAAGCCUUUCCUCCAAACGAACCAAUGUUGAUUGUUGUUGAAUACUCAUACGAUAACAUGUGUUACGACUAGGAAUGUCUUCCCAUAAAUCCGUUGGAUUCACACCUUCGCUAAACAAGCGAACAUGACCAUGUUUGCCUUGCCCAACCACCUAGGCAGAUAUAUCAUUUCGACCAACUGGAUCUUGCGAAUCCGAUGGAAGCUGAUUUUUCAGCUCAUUCAUUUUGUGCUACAUAAUAAAGGAAAACACUUGUUAUUGCAAAUAUAAUGAAAACAAUGGUAGAAUUUAAAUGCUUGUGUUUCAAGGAUCCUUACCAAAUUCUCAGCAACUAUAGUACUUGAUAGAGUUCCAUCGUCAUGGGUAUAAAACUUAUUGAACAUUUCUACUCUAAUAGGAGGUCUUCCUAACUAUUUGGCCUAUAAGAAAUUUAAGUUUUUUAAUUAUAGUUUUAGCAUGUAGCAUAUAAUAAAAAAACAAAGCUAACAUAAUCAACCAUGUAUAAUUAAAAAAAAUAGCAACUAAAAAAGUCAGAGAUAUCGCCAUGUUAUUCCGAAGCUGAGCAAAUGACUUUUUUUCGGUUAUGUGGUUCAUCUUCUUCUCCCCUCUUGCUUUCUUGUUCCUCUCACUCAGUUUCUAAAAUUGAAAAUCAUAACCAAAAUUAUGCCAUUGAAUAAACACAACUUUAUUAAGAAUGUUGUAGCUGAUUUGUACCUUUGCUACUUCACUUUUCCAAUAAGUCCAAGUUUUAUCCAUUGCUCUUCCCGAACCCUUACAUCCUUUUGAAACCAAGCUUCAGCAAUUGGCAAGUUAGGAUCAAAAUAUGUAGCCUUUAAAUCUGACUUCCAGUUUCUCCAUUUUUUGCCAAUAGAUCUUGAGGUUCAAGCUUCUAGUCUCAUAGGUAAAAUAAACCUUUCCUAAAACAUAAUUAGAAACAAGAAAAUGAACAAUGUGCAUAGUAAAUUUUGAAGGUUAAAAACUAUUCUUGUUAUAGGCAUAAGUAUUGGCAUAGAGUAGUUUCUUUAGUACCCGUUUUACGGGGUGAGGGCCGAAGCGAGUGUAGAAAUGAAAUUCAAGAAUCAGGUGCAUAGCAUAUGGUGAUUAAGUAAUUUUGAAGCGUAGGAUGAUUAUAUCAGGUUGCUUUUCUUCUUGCUUCCAUGUCGGGUAAGCAACUUAGCAUCCCAUCAAAAAGAAUAAAGGGGUUGGAACAAUUCUUCUAAGGUUAGCUAGGCCCUCCCCUAUUCCCCUGCCUGCCCGCCCUGUUGUUACCUCAUUUCAUCUAUGCUGCCUUGUUGGAAUGGCCCAACUACUAUUCUGAAUUCAUCCAAAAUAUUAUACUACGAAGUUUUUUAGCGUUCUGGAACUUUGGAGGGGAAAAGAACUGAAUGAUCAAACUCCUAUUGGAGUUUUACCUAUUUGCUAAUUUUACCUAAUGUUGAAAAUUAAUUCAUUCAAAAUCUUUUUGAAUUAAGCAUAUUUGAUAAUAGAAUUGCUUAUCACUUAAAUGUAAGUAGUCCUUAAUUUGUCUUCAAAAUUUUAAGUGAAAUUUUUUAUUUCACUUAAUUUUCUAAACUGACCAAACAUGUUACUUUUCUUUCACACACAACACACUCUUAAUUGUGCUAUCACACAAAGUAUGCAUUUUUAUCGAAAAAAGGAAAAACAGGGGGACUUGACAUUUUAUCGAACAGGUUAUGGACAACAAAUCCGUAACAAAAUAGUCACAUGAAUCAAGUAGACAACCGAGGUGAAUACAACUGAACAAGAAGUGCACUCAAAUCAUAAACUAUUAUUGCAUCCAUUUCAAUUUCAAACAGACCGGACUAAUCUCAAAUGUAAUCAAUUUAGGGCAAACUUUGAAACUUAACCCUCCUAAUUCAACACAAUAUAGUACACAGCUUCAAGGAUAGCUAAUAAUGUCCAUUAUAUUCUUAGAAAAAAAAAGAACAACUUGAAAAACAAACAGCUUCUUUACGGUGAGAUUCAGCAAAAAUAUUAUCUAAUUAAUGACAAAAUUAAAAAAAUUUACCAUGCAAAUAAUGGGAAAGCAAGGGUAGUUUGUUUGCAGAGAGAUUCAGCAAAAACAAACUCCAAGUGUUUUGGCUGAGAGAUAAUUUGCCAAGAGAUAGUUUGCGGAGAGGUUGUUUCUUUGUGAGAGAGAUGAGAAGAAGCAAAAUUUCACUAGGUCUUUUGGCUGGUAAAAUGAAAGUUUUGAGUAUUUCACUAAGUGUUUUGGCAAAUGAAUCUUCCGCCAAAAAAGUACGAUGUCGUUUUGUGACUCUUUUUUUUUUGUAUAUCUCAUAUUUUCUCAAGUGUCAUGAUAGGCAGUUUAAAGGCACAUUAUUAUUUUUAUAUCAGAUAAAAUAAAAUAAAAUUAGAGUAUAUAUUAUUGAAUUGAUAACAAGUGUCAUGAUAGAAGUACUAUAAUGACACAAAUUAGCAAGUGUCCUUAUAGGCACGUCACGAAAGGCCAUUUUUGUUGUAGUGACACCUCUUCUUCAAGGUCACAAAGCAAGAAAGUAUUCUUCAUAUCAAACUGAUACAAUGGCUAAUCUAAACUGGCUACCAGAGACAACAUAAUUAUGAUUGUAUCUAGUUUUUCCCUAAAUGAGAAUGUCUCUUGAUAGUCAAUAUAAAUCUGCAUGUAACUCUUAGUUACAAGUCGAGCCUUAUAUCAGUCGAUUGAUCUAUCAGCCUUGUACUUUAUUAAGAAAACCCAUUUGCAUUCCAUAGUAUUCUUUCUUUUUGGUAGUGGGACAAAGGUCCAUAUGUUAUUUUUCUACAAUGUUGACAUUUCAGCUUCUAUAGUUUAGGCCUAGUUUGGAUCCACGAAAGCGCCAUGCACUCCAUUUGGAAUAUCAACUGAUGCCACAUUGUAUACAAAAACCUCCAGAGAUUUAGAUAGCCUAUGAGUUGACACAUAAUUGGCAAUGGGAUACUUGGAUCGUUUUAUAUGAACUCUGGAGAGUACAAAUUUGAUGGCUUGCCCCAAUUAGAUUUAUUAGGCAACACGUAUCUACUCGUUGUGUCUAAAUCGGUAGUAAAUAAAUGGGUAACAGAAGUACUAACCUUAGAAAUAUUCUCAAUAGAAGAAUGAUCAGGUACCAAGGAAUGGGAGGUUAUGUUAGGUACAUCUACUUCUUCAAAAGACACAUCAUCAAUAAUUUUCUGAAAACGACUAGGAGCAUCAUUAGGGCUAGGAGUCUUUUCAUCCCCAGUAAUAAGUAAAUCAGUUUGCCACUAUCAGUUAGCAGUUGAUGGAUCAACAUUGGCAUGUAAAUCAGCAUGCAAAUCAGCAUUAGCCACAUCGGUACUUAGCCACGAUGGCCAUGCCAAUUUCGGCCAAUUCUUCUCAUUCUCAUCUUUUAUCUCCCCCUAAAGUGAAGAAUUCUCUUACUCUAAUAUUAUUUCAUACAUUUUCUUGGUGGUUGGAUCAUAACACCAAUAACCUUUCUUGUGCAUAGUAUAUCCCAAGAAGACACAAUGAAGAGUACAAGGAUUCAAUUUAUUGCAUUGAUUCUUAAGCAGAUGUACAAAAAUCACACAUUCAAACAUUGCUGGAAUCAAUAGCACCGAUGGUAAAGUAUAGUGUUGAGAGAGAGCCUGUAGUGGGGUUUAAAAAUUAAUGACUUUUGAAGGCAAUUUGUUCAACAAGUGGACUGCUAUGGUGACUAUAUCAGGCCAAUAUUGAUGUAAAACAUUUACACCAAUCAGCAUGGCAACUGCUAUUUCUAAUAUGUACUGAUUUUUCUCUCAGUCACUCCAUUUUGCUACGAAGUCUAAGUAUAAGAAGUUUCAUUUAUGAGGUCGUUAGUAUUGAAGAACUCCUGUAAUGGUCGAUUAUCACAUUCACCACCAUUAUCAAACCAAAAAAUCUUGAUUCUAGGUGAAAAUUAUGUAUGAAUUAUUGAACAAAAUGAUUAAAAAUGUCAAGCACUCCAUUCUUAUCCUGUAACAGAUACAACCAAAUCAUCUGACUACAAUCAUCUACAAAAGUUAUAAACCAACGAAUACAAUAGAUAAAGUAAUUGAUGAAAAUCUCCAAACAUCAAAAUGCACUAAAUCAACAAAAGCAUUACACUUAUUAUGACUGAUCGGAUACAGAACCUUAUAACUCUUGGUCAAAAUACAAGUUUUACAUUUUAUAUCGGCAACAUUAACACUAGAAAACAAGUCAGAAAAUAAGUCAUGUAUUCAAAAGAUGUAUGUCCCAACUACUGAUGUCAUAACUAGAUCUCUCAAUUUUUGUAUUAUCAGUGCUUCUUAUCUGAUUUGCUCUACCUAAACUAAAUUCAUCCAUGUAGUAUAAAUUCCUUCUCUUAGUAACACAAUCGAUUAUCUUCUUGGUGAGAAUAUCUUGAAAAAGACAAAAUGUUGAAUACAUCAGCGCUGCACAAAUACGAUUGAUUAUUAUUUGACUAAUAGAGAGUAGAUUAUUUAUUAGGGAGAGUAUCAAUAAGUAUCAGGUAGAUAAAGAGAUGAUGAUAUGAUGAUAAAAUAAUAAUCCCAACCUCUAUAAUUGGACAUUGAACAUCAUUGGCAUUAGAGAUCAUUAAUUGUCUUGGGUAAGUAACAUAUGAGAAAUCAUUCAAAUCAAAAGGUCAUAUGAUUGGUAGAUCUUGAAUCGACAAUUUAAUGACUUUCACGCCAAUUAGGGCUAUAAUUACCUUGAUAUUGAUAAGCCUUUGAGACAUCGACAAGAAAAACAAAAGGUACCUGUGCAAUAUUAAGAGCCAUGGCUAAUGCCACUGAAUCAACAUCUACAAUGGCCACUCUUCCAAAGCCUCUAUUCUGAUCAACAAUAAUCAAUCGAUCAGCUCAUUGAUUUCAUCCUUUGCGCUUCAUCUACCAUGCUAAAUAUCCAUGUAGUUCGAAACACAUAUCAUGUAUGUAUAUCUCUUCUUAUUGCAGUGAGUACAUCUAUCCCUUUGAGUUGGCACUUUGGUUUGAGGCAAUAUAAUUGGCUUAUCUUUCACUCCCUUAGAUGCCAUAAUAAAGUCUAUUAUGUUGUCUCCUCUUCUCAAUAUACUUAUUCUCUGCUGUCUUCAUGCUAAAUAUAGGCAUACACCUUCUAAACUAUUAGGAAUGGUUUUGUUCAUAGCACGUCACUGCGCAUCUUAUCCAAUCUCUCAUCCAACCCAUUAAGGAAAAAGUACAACCUCGUUUCCUGUAUGAGAGAGUUAUACUUGAUAAUAUUGGCAAUACACUCCAUUGAGUUUGGCUGAUAGAAAUCGAUCUCUCUCUACAAACCUUAAAGGUUAUUAUAAUACUUCUCAAUCAGCCUUCCAACUUGUCUCAUCUUGAUCACCCUCUGCCAUAGAUCAUAUAAUUGUGAUGUAUCUACCACACCAAAGUAUGCUGUAGAAAUCGCAUCCCAUGUCACUUUCGCAUUAGGGUAAUAGAUGAAGUUGCCGAUCAGGAAUGGAUCCAUGUUGUUUAUUAGUCAUCCUUUCACAAUCGAAUCUUCAAUUUGCCAUUAUUGGUAUGCAGGAUCUAUCAGUAAAGAUUGAGAAAUUUCAACAUUAAUAUAUCCCAAUUUGUCCUUACUUGAAAUAUACAUCUCAACAACUUGGGAUCACAAGGCAUGAUUGGUGUCAUCCAACUUGAUGCCAAUAUUUGUCUGUUUGGUGUAGUUUUCUAGAUCCUGAUCAAGACUUUUGCCAUUCGUGUAAUCAAGCAUUCUAAAAUGGAAACAAUUUCUCUAUAUUUCACCAUUUCAGAUGAUUUUUCCAUGGUUCUUGGUUCAAGAUUAUAUCAGAGUAGGCAUUUGAGUAGAAACUCUAGAAUCCCUACUCUAAUACCAUGUUAAGAAGAUGGAGUUUUGGGUGGAAAUUUUCUCUAUAUUUCACACUCAAAUGUUACAAUGGUAUGAAACUUAUGUAUAGGCUUAUAACAAGAUCAAGUACAAUAAAUCUAGACAAUCUUUUAGAUAGUAACUACCAUUAAAUAAAUCUUUAAUUGAUAUACAUAAAAAAUAAUAAGAUAUUUACAUCUACCACCAACCAACAAACAACCAACAACUCACUCUAACAACAUUUAAAAGCAGAAUCCAUAAUGUUCCCCAACCCAACUCCUCAAACUUUACUUAUUUUUUGCAUUUCCUACCCACCAAAAUCCUAUUUCUACACCUUAUCCACACUUCACUUAGAGCAGCGAUGACUCUAGCCUCUUAUCUUGUAGAACGUUGAAAUCAGUUAUCAUGACAUCAUAAGAAAAUUUGAUUUGGUAUUUUCAGUCCCAAGAAAUAUUUUGCUAUCUUCAGCUCUUGUCCACCAUCCAAAUACUCCAUAUCUCUCUACAACAUUUUUUUUAGACCUCUGUGGAUGAUAUUUGAAAGGAAUAGUUUUGGUGGCGGCCAAUUAAUAAAACAUGUCCAUUACAGAAAUAUUAUUGUGUUCGUGAAAUUUGAUUGUAUGAUGAUUAAAUUUUUAUGUGACCCGUAUAAUAACUAGAAAUGGCUUGGCUGGAAGACCUUGCAACGCCAACAUCCUAUCGAUGUCACCAAUUAAUUAAUUAAUCAGCUAGUGCUCAUGAUUCUGUGUGUAAAAUGUGAUAAUAACACAUGUUUGAAUUAUGUAAAAAAGGAAACAUGCACUUUUCAUCUUCAUUAUUUUAGAGUUGGACCAAUUUGAUCCCCAUUAUUUUAGUAGAAACACAUUUCAUCCCUUUAGUUUCAAUUUUUGACCAAUUAGAGACAAUUGACGCUUAAUCACUCAAUUCAACACAAUUUGAUAUUUGAUCACUUAAUUUGGACGACGUGAAAUGCGGGAGGGGCAUGCACUAUUAGCAAAGAGACCUAAGGGAGACAAAAUUUAUCAAACCCGACCCAUUUCACCAUCCCUACGAUUCUAUACACCCAACCUUUCAGCAUAUUUAUUUAUAUUAUUUUUAAAUUUUAUGGAAUUUGGCUGAUGAAUUUUGAGGGUAUAAUGAAUUUUAUUUCCUCUGUAUAUUUUUUUACUAACAACGCAUGUUGCUUGUGCUUUUUAUUCAGUCUAAACAAUUGCUCCAAAUUGGUCAAAAAAUAAAAACUUAAGAGGCGAAAUAUGUUUCCACUCAAACAAUAGGGACCAAAUUAGUCCAACUCCAAAAUAUUGAGGAUGAAAGUUGCAUUUUUCUUAUGUGAAAACAUGUUUCUGAUAAAAAGUUCAAACAAAAAGAGUUGAUUUUGGAAAUUUUCCUUGUGUACGUUUUUAUAUUUCUUUCAUUUGCUGUGACGUGAAAAUCAUGUUAAUUGUAUUUUUAUCACCUUCGUGUGGCACAAAAGUUUUUUAGAAUUGAACACAUAUAUACUCUGUCUUGUUCCGUAAUGAAUAUGAUAGCAAACCUCUAUCAGUCGCAUUUCCAUUUUGAUAUAUAUAUAUAUAUAUAUAUAUAUAUAUAUAUAUAUAUAUAUAUAUAUAUAUAUAUAUAUAUAUAUAUAGAAAAAAAGGAAUAAUAUCAAUAUUAAUAUAAUAUUACUAAAAUGAUAAGAACACAACUCUUAAACUUUCGCAUUUUUCAAGAAAUGACAACAAUAAGACUUUUUAUUUAUGACGUAGAUGAUUUAGCAAACAAGCCUUGACAAACGCAAUAAAUUACAUAAUAAAACAUCAAUUCUUAAAUAAUAAAAUUACUAUAACUGACUCUAAUAAACUAUUAAAAUCUUGAUUUGGCUGUUAAGCAAUAGGCUUUGAUGAAGCCGCAGCCUGGACCUGCAUCUCACGCACAAUUGCUGCUGCCAAGUGAUCAUAGCCUUCUCCCCAAGCAUUCUUCAUUUCCUCGCUCCAUUUUUCUCCCGCAGCCUCUUGGAUCGUUUUCAGCAAUGCUUCUUUCACAACCUAUAUGCAUGUCUCGCGUAAAAUACACAAUUUAAUUUCUCUAUUAAUUUGCUUCGUCAAGAACUUGAAUAGAUUGAACCCUACAUAAAAGUUACUUUUUUAUGACUAAGGUUGGAAUAUCAUAAUCACAUGCAUAUUCAUAUUAAUUUUGUGCAUUUCCUGAAAUUCUAGAGAUUAAAAAAAAAAUACAGCCAGCAGCUUUAGAAGUAGUAUUACCUCAAAAUGGGGUUCAAGAACUCCUUUCUGGAGAUGAACUGAUCCCAACCACUUGAGAGUAGUAUCGCCAACCGCCACUUCCCCCUUCUCUCGCAGCUGCACUACUGAUUCGCAAGUCUAAUGUUGUAUAUAACCUUGUCAGAUUUCUACUUGACUACUAGAAGUGAUAAACUAUUACUGUAGUACUGCAAAGUGACUGUUAUCUAUUGCAUGCAUGACAAUUUGCAGGAACUUGAGAUCUAGCCUGCAACAAUUGCAAGUGCUCUCGAGUGGAAAUCUUCACCAUUAACUUUUCUUAUGCACUUCUGGACUGAAUUAUAAAAAAAUUAAGAAUAAAUCUUAUAUACACUAAUAAUGCAUACAUGAUUAAUACGAAUUGCUCUUCUGCUUUUCUAGUAUCUCCAAGCAUGACAACCUGACCGUUAAUCUUGUACAUAUCCAUCUUAAUCCCUGCUCGAUGCUUCUCUUUCAAAUUAUGCUGUUCAAAGAUAGAUAUGUGUCUCAAAAUAAAUUAUGAGAGUGUAAUUGGUAGAUCUUUUUUUUUUGGUCAGCUUUGGAUCACUACAAUUCUUUUUUUGGGUUAAUGACCACCGAAAGGAACAUGGGAAGGAUGCUAUAUAUACGAGAUAAUGGAAGUUUCUUUUCAUAAAAAUUGUUGUGAAGGACCAAUAGGCAAUAGCUCUUCAAAGGGGAACAAAAAGGGUAAAUUACAUGUAACCCCUUGUGGUUUCAUCUGCUGCCACGUGAUCCCCCUAAUUUUUCAAAAUGUCCACUCACCUCCCUAUGAUUUUAUGUAAAGUAGAAAUUUGAUAGAAAACAGCUAUGUAAUGUCAUUAAUUGAAAUACCAAUAAUACCCUUACUUAAAUGUUAAAUUAUUCGACAGCUUAAUCACCUUAUAUAAAAGUAUAGGAAGAUUAUAUGAUAAAUGUAAAAAUCACAAAAGGGUAAAGUGGAUAUUUAUACAAAUCAUAAAAGGGUUACAUGGAUAUUAAUAUUUUAUCACAUGCACUUUUAAAGCAUGUUUGGUAUAAACGCUGUAACUGAUUGUGCAUUCUGUCCAUUUUUCACUUUACAUAAAAUUAUAGGGGGUUCUAUGGCUAUUUUAAAAUUUUAGGAGGGUCAUCUGGCAUUUUGUAGAAUUAAAGGGGGUAAUAAGUUGUUUACCCAAAAGAAAAGAAACAAAGAAAGUAUCACUCAUUUCGUAUAGUGGGCAAAAGUUUACGAAAAUGAGAACAUAAAAAAAAAAAGGACAAAAUGCAUUACGGUAUCAUACCAGCUUGAAAAUUUUGGCAGCAUGUGCCCUGAGCUGGGGAUUGUUCUCUGGAAUUUCAUCCGUAUCCCUUAGAAAUGAGAACAAGUCCUUUGCCCUUGGUGCUUUCUCCAUGAUCCUUAAACCAUAUGGCCCCCAAAAAAAAAGGCCAGGGAGAAUAAGUCAGAGAAUUAAAUACUGUGGAAGAAUAUCAACUCGUUAAACCAUUAAUUUUCUUGAGUGCUAGCUAGGUGGUGCAAGCAACAUCUUCUGCAUUAGGUACAUAUAUGUUAAAAGAUAAACAGUUUUUUUUUUUUCAGCAUUUCAAAAGACAGUUAAAAUAAAUAAAUGCGUAAUGCAAAGCAAAGAAAUUGGAUGAAAACUGUUGGUGAAUGUCUACUUACAGUGUAAAUAAACGAAAACUGUGUCGAGGAACAUCAUGUUUCAUCAGCUCCCAAGACUCCUUUACCAAAGCUUCUUGCUUCUCACUCAACACCAUUUUUGCUCCUCUCCCUGAUCUUUGCGCCGAUUAUAUGGUAGCCCCUUCCCUCACUUUAUAUUGGCUUUUGAGCGGUAAGGCGGACAUAGAAUUUAUAGGUGUAAUAUAGGCUAAAAAGUCUAUUUGACCCUCAAACUUUAAUAAUUCUAUACUUUUAAUCCUCAAACUAUUAGUUAUAUAUUUUAACCCCUGAGCUAUUGAAAACGUAUAUUUGUAGCCUUUCAAUGAUUUUCAAUAAUUCAGGGAGCCGCUCUAAGACUAAUAGAAGGGCUAUAUACAUAUACGUGUUUUCAAUAGUUCAAGAGUCCAAAAUGCAUAACCAAUAAUUAAAGGGUUAAAAAGUAAAAAUGAUUAAAGUUUGAGGGCCAAAUAGACUUUUCUCCUAUGAUAUUCAGGCGGAUAUACUGGAUGAAAUAGGCAAAAGACUUUUUGGUUGUAUUGGAAGCUUCGUAGAUAGAGGUAGUAAAAUAGAAAAGGAAAUCUGGCCAAUCUUCAUUUAUAUGCAGUCAAAAGAUUACUUCCCGAAAGAUUGUCAGUCAACAUGGUAUGUAUUAUUAGCCAGUGAUUAUCCGACCUUGACUUCUGUCACGACAAUAUCAAGUCAAGAUGCUAAUUAUAGACAAACAAAUGCUCUAAUUCCUUUAUAAUUCCAUCGACUCACCAAUGACAAAAAUAUUUGGUUUCUGCACCUAGUUAUAAGCUAAUGAGAUUAGUUAACAGACAUUGAGUGGACAUUUGUUAAAAGAUGUAUUAUGGAAGUUUUCCGUUUAUAAAAAUAAAGUUGAUUCAAAAAGUAACUAAACAUAAAGGGUACAAUAGCUACGAAUGUGUACAUUCACACGAUAAAUUUUGGGUAUACACCUUAGACUAAUAGAAGGACUACAAAUAUACGUUUUCAAUAAUUCAGGGGCCAAAAAUCUAUAACUAAUAGUUAAAGGGUUAAAAAUAUAAAAUUAUUGAUGUUCGUGGGCCAAUUAGACUUUUCACCUAUAAUACUCACACGGAUAUGCCAGGUGGACUUUUUGGUUGUUAUGGGAAGCGUAGAGAUGAUAAAUAGAAGGAGGAAGCUUCGGCCAAUUUUUAUGGACACGCAGUGAGAAGAUGGACUCGGGGCACGGACGGUUGCACCUGCAACCGUCCCAGGCGGUUUUCGUCAUUAUCAACUACGCGUAACUUUCUUUGUACAUCGUGUAACUUUUUUUGCACAUCGCGUAACUUUAGAGCAAAUUUUUGUGGGUCUCACACAUGGCGUGGAAAUCAAGUUACAACUUAUAAUCUCAGCCGCACAAAAUUUUGAGCCCAAAUCCUGACCAUUAACCGCUCAGGGACGGUUGCACCUGCCCCAUUUCCGUGAGAAGAUCCCUUCCAAAAGCUCUUCAGUCAACAUGCUACGUAUUAUCAGCUAGUGAUUAUCCUACCUUGACUAGUGUUCAUGAUUAUGUCAAGUCAAGGUGAUAAAUAUUGGCAAACAACUUCUAUAAUUCCUUUAUAAUCCCAUCGACUCGCAACUAACGAAAAUAUUUUGUUUCUUUAGUUAGUCAUGAGAUUAUAAGAUUUGUUAAUAUACGCUCCAUGGAAAUUUGUUAAUAGAGGUCUUAAGUACAUUUUUUUUUUUACGAAAAUAAAGUUAAUUCAAAAAGUAUUUAUAUAUAAGGGGUACAAUAAAUAUGAAUAUGUGCAUUCACAUUACAAGUUAUGUGUUUACAUUUAGACUAAUGGAAAGCAAUAAAUAUAUGUUUUCAAUAUUUUAGGGGUCAAAAAUAUAUAACUAAUAGUUAAAGGGUUUAAAGUAUAAAAUUAUUAAAGUUUGAGGACCACAUAGACUUUUCUCCUACAAUAUUCACACGGAUACGCCAGAUGGAGUAGGCAAAAGACAUUCCGGUCAUUUUGGGAUCUAGAUAUAGAUAUGCCGGAAUGCCGGAUGGAGCAGGCCAUAGAUGUAGAUGUAGAUAUGCCAGACACGGAUAUGCCAGAUGGAGUAGGCAAUAUAAGGACAUAGAUAUGCCAGAUGGAGUAGGCAAUAGAUAUAGGGCAGCUGUACUAAUAGAUAGUAAAAUAGAAGAGAAGAAGAAAACUCCGGCUAAUUGUCAUUGAUAUGCAGUCAAAACAGACCAUCAACAUUCUACGUGUUAUCAGCUAGCAAUCAUCUGACCUUGACUAGUGUUCAUGACUGUGUCAAGUCAAGAUGUUAAUUAUUGGCAAACAAAUUCUAUAAUUCCUUUAUAAUUCCAUCGACUCACUGAUGAAAAUAUUAGGUUUCUCUCCUUAGUUAUAAGAUUAUAAGAUUAGUUAACAGACAUUUAGUGGACAUUUGUUAAAAGAGGUUUUAAGUGCAUCUUUUUUUAACAAAAACAUUAGUUAAUUCGAAAAGUAUCUAAAUAUAAGAGGUACAGUGGAUAUGAAUAUAUACUUUCACAUGAUAAGUUAUGUGUAUAAUUUAGAUAUAUUAACGAGCGCUCACUCACUAAUAUUCUUUUAAAAAAAAUUAAAGAUUAUAUAUCAGUCACUUUUCUUGUGUUUCAAACUGAACUGAGUUAUCUAAUUUUCCUAUGUUAGAGAACAAAAACAAGUUGCAUUUUACUUCAUGCAAUAAAGAAAAAUCUAGAUCAUGUGCUAAGUGGCCAGCUUGGCUUGGCAAGAGCAGCAAGCUAGCUACACGCUACGUUUAACCAUGAAAAGGAAAGGAUCGGACCUGCAACUAUAGAGAACAAUUAACGGUCAAGAUCGGUGCACUGAGUCGUUACUCGAUAAAUGCAUAACGCCAUUACACAAACAAUCGCACCAAUCCCCGCUCUAGAAGGAAAACGUGCGAAGACUGCAAACUACUUUUCCACUAAAAGAUACCUCCGCAUGACGACUAAGGGUCUAUUUGAUAAUAUAUAAAAGUGCUGAAAUUGAAUCUUUUCAGAUAUUCAGAUAUUUUGAGUGAUUGAUAAAUGAAAAUUCAUCUACUGAACUUGUUAAGUAGUGUUGAACUUGUGUGUAUUUUUUUUCAGCUAACUGAAUGCUUAAUUCUGAUAAGAAUCAAUUAAAUUACUUCAACUACCUUAUCUUAUCUACCAAAUCUACCCUUGUUUAUUAAUUAUGUUCAAAAUUCUUGUAUAAUUAAACAAUUUCAUAUUCUCCAUCUAAUGAUUUUCUAUUUCUCUUUUCUCCCUUUUGAAUGAUUUUCACUUUUUCUCCAUACUCCUCAUACAAUAUAAUUCAUCUUUUAUAUUAAUUUGAUUUAAAAAUAAAUAUUGUCAUUUUCAUACCUAACAUUUUUAGCUAAUUAAAUCAUAUGUUCUAUUUCUUUUUUGGAUGAAAAGAUAUAAGGGCAAAAUUAUCAAAUUUAACUUAUUAAGCAUUCAGUCAUAAAUGUUUAUCAAACAGUACAAAUAGAUUUAGCAUUAAAAUUCAGACAUUCAUAUAUUUCUUUUCAGUGCUUAAAAUUUAGUAAAUUAAUUGUUUCAGUAUUCAAAUUUCAAAAUUCAGAUUUAGUUUUAUCAAACAGAACCUAAGAGAGACAGCUCCUUCUACAUUGGAGCUCUUUUAGUAUGCAUUUAAUAAAAUUGAAAUUUGAAAUAUGGAUUCAUUAAAUUAUUAAGUAUUAAAUCAAAUACAAUUGAGUAUAUAUCACAUUCAGUGAUAAGUGAAUAGUUUAUCAUUUAUUUUUAAGAACAAGUUUUACCUAAAAAAUUCAGUGACACUUAAUUAAUUUAGAUAUUCAAUUUUUAGUUACUAAACGCGUCUAAAUAUAUUAAAAUCUGAAUACAUUAAGUUUCAAUGCUAAAUUGCGUUAUCAAACAGGGCUUUAGUCGCUUUAGCACAAUUUUAGAGGUUAUUUUAUAUUAUUUUCAACAAGAACAUAAGAUCAUAAUCAAUCAAGAUUCAAUUAAUAAAAUUAUUCAAUAAGAUAUUUGAUAUUUUUUUACCAAUAUAUCCUAUUACUUUUAUAUUGCAUGAGUAUCUCUAAGUGUGUGUUUUUUGAUGAUUCAUUAUACAAGAAUUAUUUGGAUCCCUUUAUUGUCUUCUUUAAGCGCAUCCGUAUCAAACACAAUAGAUAGGUUUUGAUACUCGUAUCUUUUUGGAUCCUUGAAUGUUAUGAUUUUCUUAUUCAUUUAAAUACCUUUAAGUCCAUUUCAUGCACCUCUUUUAACAUAGAAAUUAUGAGAAGAAUACCAUUUUGACAGUAAUAAUUGCAAGGAGCAUAAGAAAUAUUAGAGGAAGUGGCUCUAACAAGUGUCAUGGAGGAUCAAUAACCUAGUAACCAUAUCAACAUAACAAAUGUCCCGGAUAGAAAAAAAAAAGGUGAAUAUUUCCAUAUUAAAUUGUAACCGGAUGAAGUGGAAGUUUUUCAGAUUCCAAAAUAGAUUGCUUCCAAAUGGUGGUAUAUGUAUCUAUUUAUUUAUUCACAUUAUAACCAAAGUAAAUUUUAUAUACACUAUCACGAAAUUCAAAAUUUGCACAUGUAUUAUAUAUUUAAUGGUGAUAAUGUAUACACUGACAGUAUAUAUAAGAUUAAUCCAACUAACCAUUGCAAAAGUUUCCGUAAAAUAUAUUAUAGGGAAAAACACAAGAAACUUCCCUCAUAGUUUGAGGUUUGACUUUUCUUUUUCCCCCUCUUUUGUCCAUUGUUUGAAAAUGAAGCUUUUAUGUCUCUCACAAAAUUGUGAUUUGGUUCCAAACUCUAAUUUCGAUUACAUUUUGGCCCCAAAUUGUGGCUUACGCGUGACUAGCAAAAAAGGUCAGCCCUUGAUUUGACUCAUGAUCUAGAUGACUUAACCCAAUUUACCCAAUUCUAGAACUUGUCCCAAUUAAUUUCAUUCCCUUAGGAGAGAAAAAAAAAAAAGAACGAGAAAAUCCUUCAAAUUGUUUCCUUAAAUUUUCUUCAAUUGCCCACUUUGCUAGAUCUUGUCUCUCUCUUAUUUUCACCGUAUAAAGGGAUUAAAACUCCAAAAACAAAAAAAGGAUUAAGACCGAGGUUUUAUGAUCUAGUAAAACGGGGUGGGUUAUGUGAGUGGGCCAAAAUCCAUAACUUGACCUUUCUUUUCCCUUUAAAAUUCAUCACAUGUAGGUUACAUGAUUGUUUCAAGCCAAUAAAAAAGUGAUUCAAUUUGAAGUUUGGAACGAAAUUGGUGCAUUUUACAUUUUUUUUAUUUGGAUACAAAGGAGAGGCAACGGCCUCUUAACACGGUACUAGGCGGGGACUGUUACCCCAAUUACAUCAGCUCCUAAUAGCUCCCUGAGUCCGGUCGGCGGUUCUUCUAUAGGUCCAUUUGCUAGCUGUAGCUGGAUUGCUUCCUUCGGUAGCCAGUUUGCACAUCUAUUCCCUUCCCUUCAGAUGUGUUGCAGUUUGCAUGACUGUAGACACCAAAAAUUUUGAUAAUUCAUUUUUUGUUCUAUUCUUAUCUUUAUUUUUUACCUUUUAUUCUUAUUUAAGUAAAAUCAUUUUUUGUUUGUUUGGUUUUUGUAGGAAAAUGAAGAAAGAAAAGAAAGAAAAUGUAGUUUUUUUUUUAAAAAAAAAAACUUCCUUAUGCGCGCUUCAUCUUCUCCAACAGAAAAUAGAAAAAACGAACACGAAGUUGGAGCAAAUUUCUGAGGCAGCAAAGUCGAAUUUUUCUUCCCUUUCUUUUCCCCCAAGCAUAAUAACACAAAAAGCCACCUCACCCCUUGCGAGAAUUGUCAAUAAAUAUCUAGAAAAAGCCAUCAAAUGGACCAAAAGAAGCCAACAAAACCAGUUUCAUCCAUACCAUUGAGAUGAGGGUUUUGGUAGCUUAGGGUCAUUUAAAAAGGAAGAGAUAAGUUUCUGAGAGAAAAGAGGAGGUAAUACAAAAUGGCAAAAAAAAAAAGAGAAAGAGGAAAAAGAAAAGGAAAAAACCAAGAAGCAAAAAGAGAUUUCCAGAAAUUUUUCCAAAAAAAGGCUGAUUAUUCAGCCCUACUUAGACUCAAUUUUCUUCCUAGACAAAGCUUCGUUUUAGGAGUUUUUUAUUUCAGCGUAAUCUAGGAACUUGAUAGAGCAAGUUUCGUUUAGAAAUCUUUUGGAAACAACGUCCAAAAAUCCUUCAAAUAUAGCCCCAAAGUUGCUGUUUCAAAUUCACUGGUACACGUUUGAAGCUUCAACAAAUCUGCUUCCAUUCAUGUUUUUCUAGUUUCAAUCUAGUCCAAAAAUCAUUCUUAGGUAUUUCCAUGACUUUUCCUUGUUCAAUUCGACGUUCAUGCAAGGAUUUGAGUGUGUUCAUGGAAGUUUAUGUUCAAGAAAUUUAGAUCCCCAUUUUUACAUGAUUAUUUAGUCUUUCGGUGAUUAUUUAGUCUAUCGGAUUUUGUUUAACGUUUGGUUGUGCGACGACCCCACUUCUCCCAAGGGCGAACCCGAGGGUAUUAGCGGGCCGCCUGCCUAGCUCGCGCCAGGACUCGAAACUUAAAGCAAUAACACGAAAUAAACCGAAAGAGCACUAUAUACACAAUAUAUACAAUCCCAAAAGUGUUCUAAUCAUCCCAUUACAUCCUUAUGAAUAUAACCAAACCCAAAAGUAGACCCUAAGGAGGGUCCUUAUACAAACCACCAAAACUAAAACAAACAUCCUAAUUGUCCAACUAUUACAUGCAAAUCUAACUAUACUAGUGUAUGUGUCAAAAGUCCCCGCGUCGGCCCCUGCUAAGGAAAAUAAAAGAAAAGGGGUAAGCUAUAUGCUUAGUAAGUAAACAGGGGCAAAAGCGUAAAUCUCACAUAUGUAAGAGUAAAGCAAAAGUAGAAAAAUAACAUCACAUAAUAAGGAUACGGGUGGCUCCAAAGCCAAUUCAUGUGCCAUGUAUGAUCUCCUGCCGACACUCCGUCGACCAAAAAUAAUGGUCCGUAGAACUCCACUUGUUCUCCCACCGUACCCCUUAUCAUCCUCUCUGGCCAGACACCUCACAAACUUGCUCGAGCGAAUGAAAUUGAGCUUGAUUCACCAGCUCGGAUCACAAACUUGGUCCACAUACUCGGUGAACCGGAUUCACAAACUUAGUGACCUCAAUCCAGGUUGGACUGACUUCGACCAAGCCCUAACCGGCUCGAAUAGUCCAUCUAGGUAUUGAGAUCGGGCCCCAAACUCACUAACUUCACAAAAUUAUUCAAAAGUCACCCCGAGCCACAAGUUCAAGGGUUUUAGUUCCAAAAUUGCUCAUAUACACAAGCCAUGUACAAAUAUGUGCGCAAGUUAGGGUUUAGGUCGAGUGCGAUAAAAUACACCCUCGCCUAGGUACCCUCUUUAUACAUAUCGAAACACAUAAGCAACUAACACACAAGAGCGGCCUGAAUAUUUACUCAACGAACAAAAGAGCAAAAGUACGAAAUUCGUGCCGCGAGGAGUAGCUAGUAGGCCCCACCGGCUCCUCCUAGCUCACCAACGCCUGAAAUUGAAGAUUGUGUCACAAUAUAUCACAAACGGCUACUCACAUACUUAAAACAAGCAAAACAGCAAAAUCGGCACAUACGAGUGCGGAAACGGCAUACGGAUUCGGAAAUGGUAACCUACUCGCUUUGUCGUCAAAGCUGUUUUGAAUACAAUCGAAGCUACGAGUGUCGGAUCAAGGUACAUGAGGUACCGUUACGAAGCUAAGAGGAAGGGAUACAAUUUUUAUGAAGACACCUAAGUCCGGAUCUGAACAGAAAUAGGUCGAAAAUAUGGAAAAUCGUUCCAGAAAUUCGCACUUUAGAGUGACGGACAGGGUAUGUUUGCUGGACCAUAACUCCCAGUUCACAAAUCCAAAUCAGGAAAUUCCAAGGGCAUUAGAAAGCUGGGACAUAAGGUUAAAACUUGGAUGUUUUGGCCAAGACCUAAAUCCACUCAGAACAGAACGAAAAUGGAGUGCCAAAGUACCCAUCAGAACUGUCCAGAUUCAAAGGCAGUUCUGACGAUCGAUCUUGUUUUGGUCGUAACGGGAGCUACGGAACUCGGAUUUCGACGCACUUUAUACCGUUUCGAAGAUAAAACAAAGAUCUAAAUUUCUUAUGAAGGAGUCAACACCCAUAUCGUACGUUAUCGAAACGGAAAAAAUCACGGUCAGAAGCUAACUCAAAACGCAACAGAAUCUGAUGUUCAAAAUAGGCCUGAGUGUUUUGUCUAUAACUCAGGAUACACUAAUCCGUUUGACCUGAAAUUUUACAGGAAUAUUUAGGAAUUAAGAGGCUACAACUUUCAUGUUUUGAGGAACUUCUGAAUCCGUACGUGACAUCAAGAAAAAAUGAAGCCAAAGUUCGGAUGCUGAACUGCCCUGGUUUUCCAGAUUUGCGGGUUUUGCGCGCCGCAACCGUACAGUCCGUUCUAUGAUUCUUAUACCAACUUUUCUAACCACUUUGAUAUCCAACAACCAUACGUAUAUCAACCUAUUAGUGGUCCGAAAUUCUCUCCUUAUUUUACCACAAAAUUACAAAACACUAACCAAAAUCCCUAUCCUCACUUCAUUCGCACUAAUGAGCUUGCUCUAACAUCCAACUAACCAAACCCCAAUUCACUAGGCAUUAGCCAAGCUAAACUAUCCUAAUGGAGUCUAGGGUUUCAUGAACCAAAGCUGAUUUUACCCAAAAUCUAACCAUACAAGAACAAUCAAUACACCACAAAUCCCAUCUACAAAUCAAUUUCUCAAUCAAAGCAACUAAGGAAAACAUUAAAGCAAGAAGCCCUAAUUUUUUUUUCCUUUUGACCGAAUUUCCAACAGCAACAAAACACUAAAAUUAACCAUAAAACUUCAAUAUAAACAUCAAAUCCACCUUACAAAUCCAUAAUCACAACAAAAUACAUUAAUUCCAUAGCUUAAAGAUUAACAACCCCAAAAUUUAUCUUUCAAAGAAGAUGGCAUACCUUCAAAUGAGUUUGGUAGAUGAUCAAACUUCAACAAUCAAGCUCCUAAGUUGUUCCCUCAAGCUUCAAAGGCAAGAUGAAAGGCUAGAAGAUGAAGAACUUGAAGAAUUUCUUUCCUCUCUUUCCUCUCUUUGCUCUCUCAAUCUCGGCUCUUCUCUCUCUUUUUCUCUCCAAGUCUUGUCUUGUUUGUCUUGUGAUUAUCUUAUAAUCCUAAGGUAAUAAAUAGUCAAAGACAAUAGGAGAUAUUUUUAGGCUAACCAAUCACAUAAAAAUGCUUUAUUUUCCUUUUAAACCCUUGCACUUCUACCUAGCUUUUAUUCUACUCUUGCCCUCAAACAUUUGAUAAUCUUUCAAUUAACUCCAUAGGUCAUAACUUAAUCUAGUUUAAAACAUGUAAUCACGCUUAAUUACUUCACUAAUCACUUUCCUAUCUUAAUCACCUAUACUCAAACAUACUUUUUCCAUAAUAAAAACAAUCAAACAACAACUUUUAUAACUUUGGCAAAAUUAGGGUUUUUAAACCCCACUUAAGCUUUCUAAUAAAUUGUAACACUAGAGGUUUGCUAAUCUAGAGUUUGCUAACCAUUUCAAACUUGCUAAACCUUUGUAACCUAAAAUGAAUCCUAAACUUACGUAUGCCAAAACACACACUAGGACUCCGACUAUACAUUAUAGCUCGAACCUACGAAUAAUAAUACAUAAACUAGGGUUUUUAAUCUUAACCAAGAUUAGGGUUUUCUCCUUAGCCCUAAAACCCUACUUUCACCACACCGAAUAAUAAAUAACCCUAAUAUCAACUUACGAACUGACUGGGGCCUCACAGGUUGAAUCCGCAAUGACAUGAGCUUCAUGUAUAUGAAAAGAUCCGGUCUCAAGAGUUUGAAAAAAAGGGUUCCAGCGAGAUUCCGGUCGACUUGACCGGAAUUUCUCCAGUUUUCAAUGGGUCGACCUGUCGGAAACUUCAUGCCUGUCGGAAGUUUCUUACUGAUUUUUUCUCUAUUUAUGUUCCUUUUAUUUUUGUUUUGUUUUGUUUUGUUAUGUUUGAUCCAUUUGGGUUUGUAAAUGUUUAAUGGAAUGUGUUUAUGGACUAAAAAUUGGGUCAAGAAUUUAUUUCAUAUUGGGUUUGUGCAUGGGCUUUGAUGUUCAAGCCCAAUGUUUUUUAAUUAAAUUUAGAAGUAAAAUAAGUUGGACUGAUAUGUUCCCUUUUUAACAAAAUAAUCCAGUUAUUUUCUUUGAAUCGGUGGGUUUAUGGCUCAAUAUAUAUAUAUAGAAAUGGACCACUGUUGUUUUUCAGGUGAAAUCAAAAAAAAAAUUUGCAAUUCAGUCCCUACUUUUUUGAGUAAUUUCACUAUGACCCUAAAAGUUUGAAUUUCUUUCACUUAGGUCUUUAAUUUAAUUACAUUUUGAUCCCUAAUCUUAUUUUUUAUUUUAACCCUUAAAAAAUUAUAAUCUGACCCCAAAAAAUUUUAAAUUUUUGCAAUUGAGUCCCUGAUGGUUUGAUUUCUUAAUUACAAUUGUUCAUCUUCUUUAAUUGUUAAUCAUGCUUCAUUUAAAUGCAUCUAAUUUGUAAAUUUUUAGAGAUUUUAUGUUUAUUCAUAUUUCUUUAAAAUAAUAAAGUGAAUUUGCUAUAUGUUUACAUUUUCUUUUAAAUUGUUAAUUAAAUUGGUGCCUUGACCAUUUUUAUUUGUUUUGGAGUAUAAAUAGGACAAACUCUACUUCAUUUAACCACUACUUCAAGGGAGGUACCCUCUAUUGUUCUUUAAGCCCUUUUAUGUGCUCUUAUGUGUUUUUAAGUGUGAUUAUACGUUUUAUGUGUUUUCCCUCUACUACUUAUUUUAGUCUUUUAUUCAUUUUAUGUUUGAUUUAAGUCUUGUAAUUAUUUGGAGGUAUUUAAAUGCCCAAAUUGUAAUAGAUAGGUAAUAUCAUUUUAUGCAAGAAAUGUAAUUAGAUAGCCCAUAUGAUAGAUAGGUUUUAUUUUUUACAAGAAAUGUAAUUAGUUAGAUAUAUGUAAUAGAUAGGUUAGAUGGGUUUAUUAUCUAUAUUUCCCCUUUUAAAUUGUAGUUAGGGCCCCCAAUGUAAUAGUUAGAUGUUGUGUGCUUGUGUGCUUAUGUACUUUUUUUUAUUCGCUUUCUCUAGAGUUUUGCAUCUAGAUAUUAUGCCUACGUGUUAUGUGAUCUACAUGCUCUACAUGAUCUAUGUGUUUAUAUAUUUAUUUGUUUUAAUUAUGCUAUAUAUGUUUUAUUUAUUUAUAAUGAGUAUAUGACGUCACUGCACUAGUCCAAUGUUAAUUGUGGCAUUUCUUCCCAAUUUCUCACUAAUCCAACGCUAGUGAGUACUUGUAGAAGUGGGCUAGUCUAAUGCUAGACCCUUAGCCCAUUUCGCAUUAGUUUCAUAUUUUGUGUGACAUUUAUUGCAUUUCAUGCAUUUUUUUAUUUUAGGUUAUAUUCAUUUUUGCAUGAUACGUCCUUUUAUUCCCUUAUUCCUAUGUGUGCAAAUCAUAUCAUUUAGACUUGUAUUUCAUUUAGAUAAAUUAGAAAAUAGGCCAGUCUAUUUUCUUGUCUAGGUAGAAGAUUCGCCCCUUGAAUAUGGGAAAUAAAUGAGUAUUGCUCCUUAGUCUCAACACGCUCUUGUCCCUCCUCUGUAAGAAGGAAAAUUGUGUUACGAAUUUUAACUCCUCGCACCCGUUAUGUUGUAUACCUCUUCUAGGACAUGUAUAUUUAUAUAUAUUAUAAUUUUACUUUUUCAAGUCUCAUAUUUUGCAUUUCUCUUCAAAGAAUCAUUCUUGGGUUUCACAAUUAAUGUGAUUGGUACCAAUUAAGUUUUGAAGAGACAUUUCAUCCCUCCUGAUAUCCCUAGGUCUAGAUUUGUAUCCAUAUAGAAGUAUUCGAAUGUGAUAAAUUUAGAGGUUAGUCUAGGAAAACUUUUUGACUAAAUUGUGCAAUUAAUCUUGGCUAGGUUGAAAGUGUAGAUACCAAAAUUUUAUCAUUAUUUUUAUUUCCUUUUUUCGCUCAUUUUUAGUUUAUGUUUAUUUUAUUUAAAUUAGUUAUAUUCAUUUUAUUUUAGUUAUUUUUAUGUUUAUUUAUUACUUUUUCUUAAAAAAAAUAGAGAGAGAAAAUCACUUAAAAUCUUUUUUAGAAAAAAUCGAAAAGAAAAGAAAAGAAAGAAAAGAAAAGCUAAAAAAAAUUAAAACAAAAAAAAUGAAAAUUGCAGUUUUUCAAAAAAAAAAAAGAUUGGAGCCUCACUGCAUGCCCGCGUCAUCUCCAUGGCUUCAUAUCAGAAGCCAUGGAGAUGGCUCUUGUACCAUGUUACAAGGGCCAUUUCUUGGCCAUUUCCACUGAUUUUUCUUCCGUUCUUUCCUCCAGUCGAUCAUUCCAGUAUAAAAUUACUUGGCAUUGAUCCAAAACACUAAGAAAAAUCUGGAUUCAAGCCAAUCUAAUGGCUCAAAAUGUCCAAGAAAACCAUCCAUCAUCUAUACCCUUAAUUCUAGAUUUUGGGGAGGAUUUGUGACUAUAAAAGGAAUAAAAACGCAGCACUAGCUCAAAAGGAUUGAGAGGGGAGGCGGCGGACAAGAAAAAUAGAGAGAACGAAGAGAAAAUCGAGGGAGAAAAGGAAAAAGUGCAGAAAAUCCUGGAAAAAGAAAACUGAGCCAGGGUUGAGGGUUAGGGUGGUUUCUUGAUCCUCUUUCAAUCUGUGUAGAGUCUCUUUGGAGGAAGUAUCAGUUUCUGGGGAAUCUAUGAUGACCAAGGAAGAAGAUUGGUGUUGAAAAAUUUCAGAGAAAACCUCAAAAACAUCUUCGAAUCCGGGCACAAAGUUGCAGCUUCAAAAGCUAGCGCACCUCCUGCAGCAAAAAUUUCUUGAUUGAUUCCAAUUUCGAACUCGUUCUUCUUGGAUCCCCGUAUUUGUUUGCUACCCUUAAACGUCGAAGGUAAUCUUUUUCACCUUGUUUUGUUGUUAUAUCAUCAUAUUUGUAUAAAAAUAUUGAAAUUUAGAUGCUGCGUUUGUCCCUGCUCUUUUCUCUUUCUUUGCUGCAUUUUUCUACUCAUUUUUGUGAGAUAAUAGUCUAGAUUUGUUACGCAAUCUUGAGUUAAACAUUGCAUUUGGCUCUGAGGCAACUGUCUUGUGGAUUUGGGUUUGAAUUUUUGGCAAAACAUUUGAGUUCCUUUGCUGCGUUGGGUGAAUAAGCUUCCAGUUGCAGAGAAAGCAAAGCUUUUCUUCGAACCAGUGUUUUCAAACUAGGACCGGACCGGCCGGUCCGAUCAGUUGAACCGGGAACCGGCUAAGCAUCCGGUCCGAGUCUCUUUAAAAAACUGUAAAUCAAAGAAUCGGUCAAACCCGGUCAAAACUCGGGUUUGACCGGAAACCGCUAGAACCGGAAAAAACCCGGUUUUCUUUAUUUCUCCAUUCCGAUUGUACUCCUUCCUUGCAAGCAUCUGGAGUGUGCAUAAAAAAUUUGCAACCAAAUCUCUCCUCACUUACCUUUGCUGUUAGGCUUGUCUUUUUUCAAGGUUUAGAGAAUAGAUGCCUUCUUAUUCACCUCUAAAUCUGUAAAUGAGGGCCGUCUAGACAAGAUUUGUGAUCAAAUAUCUGAUACAAUGCUUGAUGCUUGCCUUGAACUCUUGAGUUAAUAUUGGCUUUUUCUUUCCUUUUUUCCAUCCUUUGAUCUUUGACCAACUCUAAAAGAAACGAAGUAACUAGCCAGAUGAAGAGAAAAAAAUUCAUUCCCUAAAUUUUCUAAGCCCAAUUUCCUGUGAAUUAGUUCUUGAAAUAUUUGAAAUCAAAUGGGAGGAAAAAUAAAGAAUAUAGUAAAUAAGGGAAGAGAAUAGUGAGGAGGGAAAAAGGAAAAUAACAAAAAUAAUAGAGUUUUCAUGUGUGUUUGAUUUGUGAGGGAUAAAGAGAAAGAAAAGAGUUACAGUGAGGUGAAUGGGAGGAGAAAUGAAGAGCAUAAAGGAUAAGAGGAGCUGCGUGAAUGGGAGGAAGAAGAAGAAACAAAGAAAAGUCAAAAGCAAAGGAACAAGGGCGGCGGCUUACAUUCCAUUAGGUUUGGUAGUUUCAAAAUUUUUUUAAUAAUAUCAAUUUGACCCCAUAUUAUUUUUAUGAGUAUAAAAUCAACCCAUUAUAUUUUUUCAAACUACAAUUUUACCUAAAACUUUUAAAUUUUUUAAGUGAAGUCCUUUUGGACUAAAUCAAAACUCAUUAGAUAUGUAUAUAAAGUUGUAAACCACCAAUUUAAAGGGAAUUUUUAUAUAUUAUUUUAAUUAUUUAUUAUUAAUAUAUAUUUAUGACGUCAUUCGAUUCGACCUCGGUUGAACCCAAUCGAAUCCAUUGACCCCUGACCCUUGAACUCGGCCGAGUAAAGACCCGAUCCGAGUCUGAAAACAUAGCUUCGAACAAGAUGCAUAGGAAUUUCUGAAAAUUUCAUUUUUGACCCCUGACUUUUUAGAUAAUUUCACUAUGGCCCAAAAUCUGGAACAUUGAACCAACUUUUCCUCCUUUUAAGUUUUAAUCCUCUUUAAGGUAGAUUAUUUCUAGGUUUUAUGAUGUAUUUAGGGUUUAAUAAUUUUUGAAAAGAUUUAUUAUCUUGUUGGGUUUAGUAAAUAGUUUAGGUUUUGGGUUAAUGUUAUUUGGUUGGGCUUGGCAAAUGGAUUCUGAUUUAUUUUGAUUGAAUUUUGAUUUGGGUUUGGUGGUCUAAAACCCGUAACUUUUGUUUGGGUUGAAAUAGUGAAAAAAUGGGUUGACUUGCUUGUUUUCCUUGGACUUUCAACUAGGUUUAGGAAUUCCUGGUCCAGAGAAAUUACAAGAAAUGGCCCAAUGGCCUUUUUAUCAAGGAAUCAGGUAACGUAAAUUCCAAAUUAGUCCCUAUACUUUUGAGUAAUUUACUAUGACCCUAAACACUUUAGUUUUUUUUCAAUUAGAUCCCUAAUUUAAUUAUAAUUUGGUCCCUAAACUUUAUUUUUCUUUAAUUUUGACCUACAAUCUUCGUAAUAAUUAUAAUUUGACCCCAAAAAUUUGCUUAGUGUUUGCAAUUAGGUCCCUAGUAAUUUUGAUUUCUUAAAUUUAAGUUACUUUUCUUCUUUAAUUGUUAAUUAUACUUCAUUUAAGUGCUUUAAUUGGUAGAUUUCAUGAUUAUUUCCAUUUCUUUAUAAUUAAAUUAGUGUCUUGAUUAUUUUGUUGAUUUUGGGGCAUAAAUGUGGGUAAAUUUCAUCCCAUUUAACUACAACUUCGAGGGAAGUAAUCUCUUUUAUUAUUUUAAUUUUUUUGUGUGCUCCAAUGUAUUUUUUAUGUGUAAUUACAUGUUUUGAGUGCCUUUUCUUUUAAUUACUCAUUUUAUUCAUUUUAAAUUUCAUUAGUUUUAUUUAAUUUUUGAUGAUUAUUUGUGAGGCAUUUAAAUGCCAAAUUGUAAUCGAUAGGUGCUCAAGAUCUGUAUUUAACUAGCCUAUGUAAUAGAUAUGUUUUAAAUUUUUGCUAAAACUGUAUUUAGUUAGAUAAAUGUAAUAGUAAGUUUAUUAUUUUUAAAAUUCCCCCGUUAGAUUGUAAUUACAGCCUCGAAUGUAAUAGCUAGGAUUUUAUUUGCAUUUAUUUGCUUGUAUGCUUGCAUGCUUAUGUGUUUAUGUAUUUAUUCAUUUUCGUAAGGGUUUUGCAUCUAGAAAUUAUGCUUAUGUAUUAUGUGUUCUAUGUGUAUUAUAUGUUUAUUUGCUUUAAUUAUAUUUUAUAUGAUUUAUUUGUUUAUAAUAAAUGCAUAACGUCAUCACACUAGUCCAACGCUAGUUGUGGCCAUUCUCCCCGAUUUUUCACUAGUCCAACGCUAGUGAAGAUUUGUAAAAAUGGGUUAGUCCAAUGCUAGACCCUUUAGGCUGUUUCAUGCUAGAUUCACACUUUUUGCAUGUCAUUCAUCGUAUUUCAUACAUAUUUUUCAUUUUUAGGAUAUUUUCUCAUCUUACAUGAUAUCUCCUAUAUAUAUUACCUCCCUUAUCCCUAUGUGCGCAAAACAUGACAUUUAGACUUGCAUUCCAUUUAGAAAAAUAGAAGUAGGCUAGUUCAUUUGCUUGACUAAAUUAGGAGAGUCACCCUUCAAAUAUAGGAAAUGGACGAGUAUGGUUUCUUAACCAUAGCACGCUCGUAUCCCCUCUAUAGAAAGAAAAAUUGAGUCACGAAUUUUAGGUCUCUCAUACCCAUUAUGUUGCAUUCCUCUCUCUUAGGUCACGUAUAUUUAUAUCUUAUAAUUCUUCUUUUCUUCGUGACCUCUUCUAAGAAUCAUUUUGGGCAUCACAAUUAAUGUGAUUCGUACCAAUUAAAUUUUGAAGAGAUAUUUCGACCCUUUCGAUAUCCAUUAGGUCUAGAUUUGCAUCCAUGUAGAAACAUUCAAAUGUGAUAAAUUUUAUAGGUUAGAUUAAGAAAAUUUUCUACUAAAUCUCAUAAUUAGUCUUAACUAGGUUGAAAGGGUGCCUUAGGUUUGAUUCUAUCAAAUCUUUGCCUUCCCUUUUUUCAACCGUGACUUCCAAGCUCGUUUCUCUUGUUUUUCGAAAACCUGGAAUCAUCUAAAAAGGGUUUUGUUUAUUUAUUUAUUUAUUUUUAUUUAAAAAACAUAUUUUGAGUGAUUUGGUACAUCUUAAGUCAAUACUAAAUAGCGACUCCUAUUUCUUCCUAAAAAUCCUUUUUAGACCAUUAUUUUGGGUCAAAAUCGUCGCACUUUUUUAAGUCCCAUUUUUUGCCCUCAUUUUUCUUUAUUUAUUCUCUAAAAUAAAAACUAAUUUGAAAGAUAAAAAUUUUCAAAUAAAAUACAUUUUUUCUAACACCUAAAUAAAAUUAUUAUUUUUCAAAAAGAGGGGCAUGACAGCUGGUGACUCUACUAAGAAUUUUUAGAGAGUUCGAGCACUUGAUUUAGUCGAGUCUUUUCUUUUUCUAACAUUUUUCUACAUAUCAUAUUAGGAUGUUUUACGUUGCAUUUUCAUUUCCUUUUCCUUUUAGGAUGAUUGCUUUUCACACACGGAACCGCCUCUCGCUUUUUGUAUAUGUGAUGAAUGAUUUAUUUAUUUUCAUUUAUGUUAUCGCGCUUUUGCAUUAUGGGUGGGGGGAAAUAUUACCUUAGAGCCUUCACGCCUGUUUAAUGUCAAUCCCUCCUCUCAAAGGAGCACUUCAUACAUGCAUACGCUAUUUAUAACCCUUCAUCUUAUUUUCUUUUAGUGGUUGUCACACCACUCCUCCCUAUUAGGAUUAGAAUCGAUCCACUUGAAUAUGUGACCGUAGCAUGAUGUGCGUCUAACAAUGUCCGAGAGACCACCCGAACCACUGACUAAAGGUCUUGGAAUUGAUGAUCCUUCACCUCUUGAUCUGAAGGUUUGGGAGUCUAAAACCUUAACGAAUCUAGAUGCAUUAGUGAAUCCAAUCUCAUGCAUCCAUAUUAGAAAUUACCUAGCGUAUAGUCAACCUUACCCAACUAGGAACACUAGACAUGAGGGGAGGGGUUCUACCCCACUUUUUUUUUAUUUUUUAUUUUUUAUUUUUAUUUAUUGCUCCAAUGUGUUAUGUGUUAUUUGUUAAACUAACCUUUCCUUAUUUUCUCUUGCAUCCACCAACUUUAGAAAAUAAGAGUUCUGACAUGAUACUCUUUUUAGAACCCACAUUAGUAGAUAGAUUUUCACGCGUUUAAAUUAUAACUUAUUGCAUUUUAAUAUCUCAAUAUUGCACUUCACUUUUAACCCUACCCUGACAUAUAAAAAGGUUCAUUUAGGUCAUAUUUAAUUCUCGUUAUUGCAAUUGUUUUAAUAAACUAGCAUCAUACAUCAACCUUAGAAGGAAAUGUCAUUCAGAGAAUCCUACUUUAGGAUUAUGCCAACCUUUCCUCCCAUGGGUAUGGGGUUUGCAAAUUUAAAAUUUUUGCUAAAACUGGAAGGGUGGGGCUCAUAGGUAAGGUAUUUGACCCAAACUUUAUGAUUCAGAUGGACAGCUCUCGACGAAUCAAACAAUUGCUGGUAGUUUCGACCAAGAUUUAGAGGUGGCCCACACUCAUUUUACCUAGUGAAAUCCACCAAAUAACAUCUCAUUUAGGGCCAAUUGGGGAUCUCAAAAACAUUCAGUCAGACGGUUAUUUGGUAGAAACUUUAUUACAUCUGUGGGACCCUAGUUGCUCGGUAUUUAGGAUAGGAAAUUGAGAAAUGACUGUAACAAUUGAGGAGGUAGCCGGUCUUCUCAAUUUAUCGGUGCAUGGCACCAUAGUCAUAUUCCCACUUGCGUCUGAAAAAGUUGAGUUUUGUCAUUGUACUGGAUUAAAAGAAUCUGUAGUACAAGGGUCUGAUUAAAGUAUAGACACAGAGUUUCUGUUUGACUGAUUUGCAUUAAGAGAUAGGUUUGAGAGACAUUUUUGGGAUUUUUCAUUUACAUCUAAAGCAAUGUGGGAGCAAAAAAGACCGUGGGUGUAUGGACUCGUUAUGACUAGAACUCACCUCUUUCCGUGAAGAGACAAAAGGAUCGCCUUUAGGAUCACUAAACUUAUGUUCGAACUCUUCGUUGGGAUUAAGAACCGACCAUACUCCAUACUACAGACCAUUUUAGCUGACUUAUUUGUCGCUGUAUCAACUAUCAGAGAGGAGCGAAAUUUUUUCAUGGUCCAAAUUUGAUCCUUCAAUGUGGGUUAUGGAACAUUUUAAGAGAAACUACCCGUUUUAAAUAGUUUGCCAUUGGUCAGGUACAAUUGGUUAGCAAACCAUCACAAGAGGAUUGAUAAGAAUGAUCUGUCGGAUCAAGAGAUUAGAUGGAUUUUGGAUUGGAUCGAUUGCUUCAAACCUAUUUUACGUGCAAAGUCAUCAUAAUUCAUCCAAUUAAUAGGAACUCAAGGCAUUAUAGCUUAUACGUCAAAGAGAUUUCUUAGACAGUUAGGACGAAUCCAAGGGUUACUGCCUACAUCAAAUUUGACCGAGUUUACUAUCAUUUUCAACAAUGGAGUCUGUCUGAGUGAAAUUCCAAUGAAAGUACCGAUCAUCGAAGUUUGGGGAACAUUGUCUGACGAUGAACACAUUACUUACAUUCCAGAACUCAACCAAAAAGCUUUGGUCACCUCGUAAUAUGAGAAUUGGCCUAGAGACUCUGGCACAAAAGGACUACAAGAAGGGCAAUCCGAUGAUGUCAAGAGGUUGUUGGCUAUUAUUGAGACAAAAGAUAGGGAGAAUCUGCAACUGAAGAAGUAUAUCGAAACUACUAAGGAGUUGGCAGAGAAAAAUAGAAGGUAGUGCGCAAAAAUGUGAGAAAAGCAUCAAGAGUUGAAAAGGAAAUUCGGAGAAUUGUAUGAUCAAAUGGAACGCAUGAGCCAUCUUUACUCCCGAGAAUCCAAAGACGUUGUAAUAGAUAGGUUGAAAUGCACUAAUGAAUUUGUAUGAAACCGUCUUUGGGAAAUGAUGUAAAUAUUCUGUGAAUUCAGCAAUAAAAUGAUUUCUUUCUUUCAUGCAAUAUCGCUGUUAAAAAUAAGUUUUAUGAACAGGCCCCACUCCGAAAGUGUUGCAUCAUGUUAGCUCGACCCUUGGUGCAAAAAAGGUUUCCCCACAGGACAUGUAUCCGAAUUAUAUUUACUAACUCAUGUCUUUUUCUUUUCUUUUUCUUUCGUCCAAAUUACAGAAAUUUGAUAGAAAACAUACUCUUGAGCCGAUUUCUUUUCUUUAUCUAUCAGGUACUUUCCAAAUUAGCUACCCGUAGAAUUUUCAUCAUUAUGCGGUCCCUUAACCGAAUCUUGAGAAACAGUGAAAAUAUGAGUUCUCAUCCGGAACCGUCAGAGAGGUCUGCAAUAAUUUCAUCUUCAGAUGCUGCAAAUUUAAGGGCCCAGUUAAAUGAAAUGCUGAAUAGGUUCAAUGAACUAAAUGCAGAAAUGGCAACACAAAGGCGCAUGAUUGACCAAUUGAUCUCGAACAACACUGGUGGUGUCCACAAUGAACAGAUACCUAUUGACGAUAACCAACACGAGUUAGAGAACCGCCACCUCACAUGUCACACAAUCAAACAGCUUUUAUUCCACCUUUUACAAGUCUAUCCUAAGGCACCUUCACUUAUCCCAUCCUUAGUUUACCACAUACCUAUCCGAGGAAUAUUUUCGUCAAUCAGACCAGCAACCAAAUUCCCCAAAGUUACCAACAAAUCAACCUAAACAUUCAAUUUGAAUCUCAAGGAUCUCAUCACCCCACCACAAAGUCAUUCAUGUUGGACACUGCCUUUCAAGUGAAAGCAGAAAUAGGCGAGCCCUUUGCUCCAAAUGACAAAAACCUACUGAAGAGACUGGACUGAUUCGAUGAGUUUAUGAAGAAAAUUCAGGGAUUGAACAAGCAUGGAGUAUUAGAUUAUGAUGAGUUGUGCCUCUUUCCAGAUAUGCAGUUGCCUAUGCACUUUAAAACUCCUAAGUUUAGCAAGUAUGAUGGAAUAAAAAAUCUGAAAAUGCAUUUUCGAAUGUCCGCAAACAAAUUAGGAAAGUCAGUGGAUGAUGAAAACCUACUGGUGCGAUUAUUUCCAUAAAGUUUGGAGGGUGACGCUUUGGAUUGGUACUCUAAUUUGAAACCGGAAGAGAUGAGAACUUGGUUGGACCUGUCUACAGCUUUGGUAAGGCAAUAUGAAUACAACUGUGAGCUUGCGCCAACAAGAACCAUGCUUGAGGGUACUAAGAGGAAGCCGUCGAAAGACCACAAGACAUAUGCUAAGCAUUGGAGGAAAUUGGCCGCAAAAGUGGAAUCUCCCAUGAUCGAUGAGGAAAUUGCCCGAGCAUUCAUUAAAACUCAUGACCCACCGUACUUUGAGGAGAUUUUCUGUAAGACUAGGUGCUCAUUCGCAACUAUUGUCAAUAAGUUGAAAGAAUUUGAUAAGUUCGCCAAGGCAGAAAAAAUAAUUAAUGUGUUGACAUUGAAAAUGCAACUAGAAGCCUUGCAAUGUUAGAAUAACAGUGGAAAGAAACCCCAGUUCAAGAAGAAAGAAGGAAAGCUACUUUUGUUUGGGAUCAAGGCCCCUCGACUAGAUCUAGAUUUCCAAACUGCCCCACUUACUUAUCACCCUAGCCAUAUUAUCCAAACUCCCGUCCUGUCUAUCAUACUACCAUUAACCAUCAUCGACUUCGGUCAAAUUACACAAAUACACCAACGCACCUUUUCAAAUUUCUCGACCAAAUUUGCAAAUUCGAUCUCAACCCCUUUUUAAUCUAAGACUUGUUUCAUCAAACAAUCAAACUUAUAACUAUUCUCAAUCCAAUGAAACCCAAAACCACAAUCAAUAUCACAUAUUCACUAAUUUGGGCCGACCUCUCGACCAAUUAUACGAGCAACUUAAGGCUGCAGGUAAAAUUGGCGUUGUGCUUCAUAAAACCUACCCUAGGAGUGUCCUUGUUGGUUAUGAUCCCCAAGCCAUCUGUGCCUAUCAUUCUGGGAGUCCUGGUCACUCCAUCACCAAUUGUUUGGCAUUAAAGUAUAAGAUUCAAGAUAUGAUUGAAGUCGGAGACAUAGUUUUGAGAAGAAGAGAUGAAUCAGGGUCAAAUGUCAAUAAGAACCCCCUUCCCGAACACAAGAACACUGUAGGAGCCAUUAUCACUGAUGAUGAGUUUGAGAAGCCUGCCCAAUACAUUGUGGACGAGACUGAAGUAGUGAGGAUAGUCGAAAAACCUUUUGUCUUGGACUGAUCAGAACCUGUGGUGUUUGAAUCUUCUGAGCAAUCAUCUGUGUACAAUUUGCAAGAAGUACCAUGGGAUUAUACCGAGGCUACUCUAUUGAUCGGGGAUAUCGAGGAGGAGGUUACUAUAGCUUAACUUGGGAAGAUUGUGAAAGAGAAUCUGAGGCCAAUGAAACCAUCUGUGACUGAAAAAGAAGUUUUGGAUUUGCUUAAAUUAUUGAAAAGGAGCGAAUUCAAGGUUAUGGAGCAGUUGGACAAAAUGCCCACCCAGAUUUCUAUUCUAGACUUGUUUUUAACCUCUGAGUUACAUAGAGAGGCGCUACUCAAGGUUUUGACCGAAUCUCAAAUACCGAAGAAUAUCCCAGUUGACAAGUUUACUCAUAUUGUGAAAAAUGUUCUAGCUACUAGUCACAUAACCUUUUCUGACGAGGAUUUGACUCCUAAAGGGAUCGGACAUAAUAAGGUAUUAUAUAUCUCAAUGAGAUGUAAUGGAAAACUGCUGACGAGCGUCUUGAUAGAUAAUGUAUCCGCCCUAAACAUCUAUCCGUAGAAUACUCUUGUAAAACUUGGACUUUUGGAUGCUAGAAUGCGACCAUCUAUGACCAUAAUAAGAGAAUUUGACGGGAUCAGAAGAAAAUCGAUGGGCAAAGUUGAUUUGGUGCUGGAGGUAGGGUCCGCUCAAUUUCAAGUGGUUUGUCAAGUCAUGGACUUUUCAAGUGUAUUAUAACAUCUUACUUGGACGACCUUGGAUUCACACUUCUAGUGUCGUUCCAUCUUCUCUUUAUCAAAAGAUGAAAUUCAUUGUCAAUGAUCAACUUAUCACUGUGUUCGCCGAGAGUGAUUGCACCAUGAUUAUCAAUUCUGGUUCGAGUGGAGAAAGUAGUAAAAAAGUUUUUAGUUCUCCUCACCGUGUGGCCGAUAUCAUGUCAGUUGGAUGGAUUUUCAAAGAAAGAAUAGGUACAUUUGAGGCUAGUGUCAUGAUGGCCAAGGAAAUAAUAAGAGGGAGGUAUCAGAUAUGCAAAGCUUUGGAGCAAAAUUUGCAAGGCAUUUUGGAGCCUAUAGAGUUUUUUGGAAAGAAAGACACAUUUGGAUUGAGAUUCCAACCGACUGCCAAGGACAAGAAGGAGAUGCAAGCUCGUAAAAAGGCAGAGAAGGAUGGAAAGCAGAUCACUAUGAGUAUCCUGCCGUUGCACUACACCUUUCCUCAGCCAUCUGGUGUAAUCCUGUCAGAAUUGGAUGAAGAAGGUCCGAUUAAAGAGAUUGAAAUGGGCUUGUCUCAACUGUUCGUCGGAGUCAUCUGUGAGGAUGAGCCACUGGAAAAAAUAGAGUUCCCAACUAUAUCUGAAGGAGCCAUGCAAAAUUGGACUACAAAUUACCUUUCCUCUCGAAGGAAAUUUCGAUAAAUUUAGGAGAUUGUCUUUGGCCGAAAUUCAUGACAAAAAGCUACCUUAUUUUUAGUUGUUUGUCUCUUUUAAACGUCAUGUUAACACGCAUUUUAUUUAAAUGAAAGUCCAUUCCCAUUGCACAGUUCUGUCGGGAAUGUGUUUGUUUUAAUUAAUAUUUAAGUUUGCAAAGUUCUCGUUUUUAUUCCAAUAUCUGUCUAUUUCUUUAAAUUCAAUAAAAUGAAAGAUUUUUGUCCAUCUUUGUUAUUUCUCACUUGUUUAUUGUACAUAUUUACUUUAUUUUCAGAUGGUAAAAAAUGAAAUCGUUUGACCCUUCGGAUAUCACUGUUUUAGAAUUCAAUGAUUGCCAACUCGAUAUCUCUCAUGAAUUUGAAAUUAUGGAAUCUGAAAUUCAAAAUGAGAGUGAUAGCAAGAAAGAGCUUGAGUCUAUUUCAAAGACUCUUGAGCAAUAUGAAGAGAUACCCAAAUCGAAUUUAGAAGAGACAGAAAUUAUUAACAUUGGCACCAAAAUGGAGGUUAAAGAAAUCAAAAUUAGUGUGCACUUGAAUAAAAGGCAAAGAAAAGAGAUAAUUGAAUUCUUAACCAUGUUUCAAGAUGUGUUUGCAUGGUCGUAUGAUGAUAUGUCCAGAAUAUCAACAGAUAUAGUGGUUAACAGAUUGCCGAUCGAUCCAAAUUUUUCACUAAUAAAGCAAAAAUUGAGCAAAUUUAAGCCAGAUAUAAGUCUCAAAAUCAAGGAGUAGAUCGAGAAGCAACCCAAUGCUAGAAUCAUCAUAGUAUACUAUUACCCUAUUUGGCUUUCAAAUCCUAUACCUGUUUCGAAAAAAAGUGGAGAAGUGCGAGUAUGUGUCGAUUACAAGGAUCUCAACAAAGUUAGUCCGAAAGAUGAUUUUUCGUUGCCAAACAUUCAUAAUCUUCUGGAAUACCGCUGGACAUGAAAUUGAAUCUUUCAGUGACUGUUUCGCCGGGUAUCAUCGGAUCUUGAUGGCCGAAGAAGACAAAGAGAAGACAGCUAUCAUCACCUCGUAGGGAAUCUUCUGCUAUCGGGUAAUGUCGUUUGGAUUGAAUAAUGCCAGAGUCACCUAUCAACGGACCAUGACCACUUUGUUCCAUGAUAUGAUUCAUAAGGAGGUGAAAGUCUAUGUGGACAAUAUUAUCAUUAAAUCCAAGAAAGUUGAAAACCAUCUAAUUGAUUUGAAGAAAUUAUUCGAAAGGUUGAGAAAAUACAACUUGAAGUUAAACCCUACAAAAUGUACUUUUGGGGCUCCCGUCGGAAAAUUAUUAGGGUUUAUUGUUAGUAAAAAGGGAAUUGAGAUUGAUCCAACGAAAAUCAAAACAAUUCGAAAGAUGUCCAUAUCAAAAAUUCAGGAGGACGUGAAAAGUUUUUUGGGAAAGGUCAAUUUUUUCGACAGAUUUAUCGCUCAAUUAACAUUUACAUGUGAGAUUUUGUUCAAGUUAUUGAAGAAAAAUGCAUCGAUGCACUGGAAUGAAGAAUGUCAGCAAGCUUUCGAUAAAAUCAAGGAUUAUCUGUUGAACUAUCCAAUUUCAAUGCCACCCAAGUCAGGUCGACCUCUGAUCAUAUAUCUAUCCAUACUGGAUGAGAUUAUGGGAUGUGUAUUGGGAUAAUAUGAUGACUCGGGGAAUAAGGAGCAAACGAUCUAUUACCUCAGUAAGAAGUUCACUAUGUACGAGGUCAACUAUUCCUUUCUUGAGAGGAGUUGUUGCGCUUUGGUUUGCGUCGCUUCGAAGUUGGGACAUUAUUUGCUUAGUUACAUUACCUACCUCAUUUUUCGCUCCGACCCUAUGAAAUAUUUGUUAGAAAAGCCUAUGCCAAUGAGACGUAUGAUAAAGUGGCAGAUGAUUCUUUCAAAAUUCGAUAUCAUUUUCACCAUGUAGAAGGCAAUCAAGUGUCAAACUAUAGCAGAUCAUUUGAUCGAGAAUCCAAGGAAAGAUGAUUACCAGCCAUUGCAUGCAUAUUUUCCUGACAAAAAGAUCUUAUUUAUUGGCAUAUCAAAAGAUAUGAAUGAGCAAUAUCUUGGAUGAAGGUUAUUUUUUUAUGGAGCUUCAAAUUCUUUUGGGGUUGGAAUCGGAGUUGUUUUAGUGUCACUUGAGGAAAACCAUUACCCUGCCAUUGAUAAAUUAUAAUUUUCUUGUACUAACAAUAUGGCUGAGUACAAAACUUGUAUUUUUGGAAUAAAAAUGACAUUGGAAAUGGAGAUAAAGGAUUUGAUCGCGUUCAGCGAUUCUGAUUUAUUGGUACAUCAAACGCUUAAGCAAUGGGUGACACGAGACUCGAAGAUCAUGCCGUGUCAUUAUAGUCUGCUCAGUUUGGCCAAUAAAUUCAGAAGUUUGGAGUUCAGGUAUAUUCCUCGCACUUGCAAUGUUUUCGCUAAUGCUCUGACCACUUUGUCUUCUAUAAUUUGAAACCUGGACAAGCUCGUAUUGAACCUAUUCGAUUCAGUUCCAAGAUAAACUGGCACAUUGUCUGGUUGUGGGAGAGAUAUCUGACGAUCGCCCGUGGUAAUUUUUCCUAAACGGAGUGGUGUUAUAUAAGCAAACAUUAGAUUUGGGCCUUCUAAGGUGCAUCGAUAGAGAGGAAGCUGAGUAUAUGAUGAAAGAAGUGCACAGUGGCAUAUGUAGACCUCAUAUGAAUGGGCACUUACUAGUUAAGAAGAUCAUGAGACUGGGAUAUUUUUGGCUCACCAUGGAGCAGAACUGUGUAGAUUUUGUCAGAAAAUGUAUUAAAUGUCAAAUGCAUACCGAUAUUAUACAUACUUCUCCUACAGAGUUACAUAGUAUGACUGCUCCUUGGCCCUGCUCAAUGUGAGAAAUGGAUGUGAUUGGAACUAUUGAUUCCCUAUCUUCGAAUGGGCAUCAAUUUAUCCCGGUGGCAAUCGAAUAUUUCACCAAUUGGGUUGAAGCAAUAUCUUACAAGAACGUGACCAAAAAAGUAGUAUCCGAUUUUCUAAGGGACCACAUUAUCUGUCAUUUUGAGGUGUCAGAGAUGCUAAUCACUGACAAUACCAGAAAUCUCAAUAAUGACAUGGUAGAUGGAUUAUGCGAAUAAUUCAAGAACAAACACCAGAAUUUGGUUAUCUACAAGCCUCAGAUGAACGGAGCGGUAGAGGUUGCAAAUAAAAAUCUAAAGAAAAUCAUUCUCAAAAUAAUGGAAAGACACCGAGAUUAGCAUGAGAAGCAGCGUAUGCAUUAAUGACUUAUCGGACUGCAAUUAGAACUUCUAUUGGGGUAACGCCUUAUUCUCUCAUGUACGGUAUGGAAGUAGUAUUACCUGCGGAGGUUAAGAUCCCCUCCUUGCUCAUUUUAAUGGAAAGUCAGUUGGAGGAAGUUGAAUGGAUUAAAUAGCGACAUGAACAACUAUCUUUGAUUGAUGAAAAAUAGUUAAAUGCUGUUUGCCACGGACAGUCCUAUCAAAGGCAAAUGGCCCGUAGUUACAAUAAAAAGGUCAAACCUCGCCUAUUCCAAGAAGAGAACAAAGUCUUGAAACGAAUUUUUCCUAUCCAAGACGAAACUAAAGGAAAAUUUGCCCCAAAUUGGCAAGGACCUUUCAUUGUUAAGAAGGUAUUGCUCGAAGGAGCAUUUAUUCUCACAGAGAUGGAUGGACAAAUUUUUUCUUAACCAAUCAAUUCAGAUAUAUGCAAGAAGUUUUUUUAUCUGAUUAUGUGAAUUUUCUUUUUGAAAUACGGUCUAAGGUGGACUAAAAGACGGACCUUCUUUUUUUCCAUUUGAACAUUUUACCUCUAGUUCUCCUUUUUAAACCUCCAGAAUAAUCUACUCCUUCGUUUGGUAGCCUUCUAAGGAUCGCAAAUCUUAUACUAGGACAUGUCGCGCCCCACUUUUCGAUUCGAAUUGAAUGUGUGAUGUGUGUGUGAAGUGUGGUGUGAACGUGUGCAAAAUGAAAAGUAAAAGGCCAUGGGACUUAGAAUGCGACGAUUUGGCCAAGUGAAGUUCAAAAGGGUUUUGGUAUCAAAAAAUGGAGUCGCCACUUGGUAUAGAGUUAGGGUGUACCAAGUCACCCAAAAAUGAUUUUUGUUUUUGAAUAAAAAAAAAGUAAAUAAACCCUUUUUGAGAACUUUUGGGUCUGCGUAACCAAAAGAGGGAUCGGGGGUCACAUUUGACGAAAGGGAAGGCAAGGAUAAAAAUCCAAGGCACCCCUUCGACCUAGCCAAGGCUAGUUGCGUGACUUAAACCAAUUUUUCCCUAAUUUUUCUACCCAAGGUAUGUAUCGCGUGUUGGAUAUGUCUAUAUGAAUGCAAAACCCUAGACCUAGGGGUAUGGGGGGAAAUUUCUCUUCAAAAGGUUGAGUGGUGCCAAUCACAUUAGUUGUGAAGCCCAAUAAUGAUCCUUUUGGAGAGGUCACACCUAAACCUAAAUGACGUAAAAAAUGAGUGGAAUGCAUGCCAUGUGAAAAUGUGAGUUUGUGUGAAGUGGGAAAAUUGAUAAAAUACGAUACAAGUGGAGGUGUGCAAAUGUCUUUGAAUGCAAAUAUAUAUACUCCAAGUGCAAGUGGGCAAAAAAUGCAUGUAUGCAAUUUAAAGAAAAGUGCGAAAGUGUCGGUGUGCAAAUGAAGAUGAAAGUACUCGUGUGCGAGUGAAGAUAAGAGUGUUCGUGUGCAAGUGAAGAUAAAAAAGUGUUCGUGUGCAAGUGAAAGUGAUAAAAGGGUGCAUGUGUGCAAAUGAGACAAAAGUGAAAGUGUAAUGAUAGAGUGGAUUGAGAAUGCAUGAGCUUAGGGAAUUUAUGCAUAUUGGGUACGGGGAGACCUAAAUUGUGACUCAAUUUGCCCUUUUAUAGAGAGGAUACAAGCGUGCUAAGGCUUUAGAAAAAGCCACACUCGUCUAUAUCCCAUAUUUAAGGGGACUCUUCAGGCAAAUGUACCCUAACUAGCAUGAGAUGCAAAGAAUCCUAAAAUGAGGGAAAAGGGGCUCGAGGAGCAUGCCAAAUGAUAAAACUAAGAAAAAUGCAUGACAUGUAGUGAACAUGCAAAUAUGCACUAACAAAAAGGGAUGGCCUAAUGAGCCACAACUAGCAUUGGACUAGUGUGGUGACGUACAUUCAUCCAUUCCAUUCAUUCAUGGUUAUGAAAGCAAGUAGACAUGCCAAAACGCUCGUAAACACGUAGCACGUAGCAGUUAGCAUGCUCGACUAGAUGCAAGAGCCUACUAAAGCAAUUAAACAUGUAGCAACAAAAACAAGCAACCAAGGGGAAGGGGAAAUGGACCAGAUGCUCUCCGAGCGCUAUCUAUUACAAGCCAAGAGGUGUACACAUACCCCAUAAAAGCAUAAAAGGGAAAGGGUGAAUGGACCAGAUGCUCUCCGAGCACUAUCUAUUACAAGCCAAGAGGUGUACACAUACCCCAUAAAAACUUAAAUAAAAGGGAAAAGCAAGUAAAUGCACGCAGGGAGGUAAGGAAAGCGAAGUAGACAGGCAUAUUCACAUAACACAUAGGAGCACGUAGGAAAAAUAAAGUGCAAGUGAGGGAUAGAGUGUACCUCCCUUGCAAUCGGGGCCCAAUGAAGUGAAAUCACUUAUUUAUCCUCCAAAAUAAUAGAAAUGGUCAAGGUACCAAUUUAUUUGGGAAAAUUAAAGAAAAUGUGCAAAACAAAGCUCACUUGAUCAUGAAGCCCCUAAAGUCAUGACUUAAGCGCAAUUGAAACAAAGCAUGGUAGUUAAUUGAAGCAAACAAGCAAUAAAGUUGCACAAAUUAAAAUUAUCAAGGACCAAUUUGAUGAAAUUCUUUAAUUGAUUGGGUCCUAGUGGAACAAGGGGAGACUCGGGGGGCCAAAGUGCAAUUUUUAGAAAUUAUUUCAUGCAUAAGCAUGCAAUCACGUAGCUUUCUUCUUUAGACAAUGCUUCUGCAAUUCUCUUCGCUAGUCUCUGCAAUCUGCUAUGCCUUAUUACCAAAACGUUACCAACAAAACAGCCACACUUUUGAGUCAAAUGAUCAUAGUCAUCCCCCCAUUCAUCAACCAAACCACAUGACACACUUUCAUUGCCUGAUUAAAUCAGAAAAAUCUGACUUGGUGGUUGCUAGUUAACACAAAGGGCGGCAAGAAUUAUAACAGCAAAACAAGAGUGCAGCAACAACUCUGCUCACUUCUCCAUGAUUUUGCAACUUCAUUAGCUAUUCAGGGAGCUUACAUUAGAUUCAAAAACCAUCAUAAAACAUUAGCCUAGGCAUGCAAAUCAAGGAGAAAUGGGAAAACUGGCAAGUUUAACAUCAAUCCUAUGUUUCUUGCUGCAAUUUUAACAGGUAUGAUUAACUACACUCCAACAAGACUUGAUAAACACCAAAAUGCAUGAUUCAUGUCCUCUUAAUGUCAAAGCUAAUGAUUUCUCUAGAUGCAGCUUUAAAACAGAUAUUAUCCACGGCAUCAUAAUCAGGCAAUGAACAAAAUCAAACAGGUCAAGCCAACUGCAACUUAACAACCCAAAAAGAGGAAAAUCUAUUGCAAUAAGAACCGAAAGUUUAAAACUUGCUACAGCCAAUUCUAAAACUAAACUUAGAACUCUAACAACCAUGUGUCUUGCCUAAACAUGAAGGUUCUAAGGACAAAGGUCAGAUGCCAUAAUCACCAAAAAAAAUCAAAGCCAACCGCAAUCAUUAAAUACACGAACCAGUGACCAUUACAACGAAGUAAAACAUGAAUGAACAUACGAGAACAGAGGGAAAAGAAAAACAACUGUAAUGAAUUUGUGUUUCUAAUGAAACCAGUGAUGGUAUCAUCGAAAACCAGAGAAAGCUUCCCCCUCCAUCAUUAAACAUCUCAGGUAAGCAAGAGAAAAAGAAAAAGGAAACAUCUUUACCAGCAGAAAUGCAAACAAAGCUGUGAUUUUUACCUUGAUUCUGGUGGUGGAGGCGGCUCCAGUCCUUGGGCAGGCCGUUGGCCACUUGUUGGCUACGCAGGAGAAGAAGGACGGUAGUUGUUGGUUGCGAUGGAGGUUGCGAGCGAUGUAGUGACGGUGGACAGCAAGCAGCGGCAGAGGCGGACUGUGGUGGCUUGAACGGACCUUUCUUGCGUUUCCCUCCGCAGCCUUGCACCGUGGUUCCCUCAAAAUCCAGCCGCCCUUUGCCUCUUCUUGCUCUUGACUCACGGUGGAGCCCACGGGUAACGAUGGUGGAGUGAAAAUGGUGAAAGCUUCGCGAGGAGCAUCAGCUCCAGUUGCUGCCUUGUUGCUGGAAGAACGGCACCCGAUGCCUCUCUUCUCUCUUUAAUUCUCUAUCUCACCCUCUCGCUCUCUCUUUUUCUUGCUCAGCCCAUCUCCUAGUCACCCUUCUUCCUCUCGAAACUUGUCUGCCAAAACCUCGCCACUCUCUCUCCUUUUCUUCCAGCCGUCCCUCUUCUCUCAAGUCACGGACUUUGCUCAGAUUUUUUUCCUUUUCGGCCGUCCCCCCCCCUUGCGGCUGUUGCUCUCUUAGCCUUUUAUAUGAAGCUCCCUUUAUCCACAAACCCUCAACUGGAUGGUCAGGAUGAAGGGCCUGCCCCUGCCUUCAUCCAGCCCUUCCAAAAAUGGUUCCGUGGGUGACCUUUGCACGCUGCAAAAAUUGCAGCGUGCAUGCGGCGACCAAUUUUUUUUUUUUUUUUAAACUAAUACAAUAAUAACAAAAUUGAUAUUAAAUAAAGAAAAACAACAAUAUAAAAAACUAGGAAUAAGAGAUAAAAAACAAUGAAAUGCUAAUUAAUUUUCCUUUUCUUCAUUUUCCGUUUUUUUCAUUUUUUCCUCCAAGAAAUUCUACGCUAAAAACUUAAAAAUAAAAAUAAAACUAGAAACUAAAAACUAAAAAUCGAAUAAAACUAACACGACAAAUAAAAAACUAAAAAUAAACAGUAAACGAAAUUACACCAAAAAUUUGGUGUCUACAGUUUGCCCCUCUUUGUCUUGAGUUUUGAAAAAACUUGAGACAAAGAAGUAGACACCAAAUACUUACCAGUGUUAUUUGGCUGUGAACGACUCGAACGAUGGGGACUGACCCAUUUUGACGAGAUCGACUGGGAUGAGAAAUUUAUAACGGGAUAGACCCGAACUGGAAGUUUAAAACGGGACAGACCCGGACAGAAAAUGUAAAAUUGGGAUAGCCCCACGGGAUAGACCCGAACAGAAAUUUAAAACGGGGUAGACCCGAACAGGAAUUUAAAUGGGAUUGUAUGAAGAAAACUGCAUAAGACUUUAUUUGAACAUGUAUCCACAGAUUUGCCCCAGUAAUGAAUUGGUCAGUGGGAUUAAACCCGAACCUGCCAUGAUGAUCGACCAGCGGGAUUAUACCCGGUCCUGCCGAGAUUGGCGGGAUGAAACCCGGUCCCAAUUUGAUAAAAAGCGGUCAGCGGGAUUAUACCCGGUCCUGCCGAGAUUGGCGGGAUGAAACCCGAUCCCAAUUUGAUAAAGAGCGGUCAGCGGGAUUAUACCCGGUCCUGCCGAGAUUGGCGGGAUGAAACCCGAUCCCAAUUUGAUAAAGAGCGGUCAGCGGGAUUAUACCCGGUCCUGCCGAAGUAAGCGGUCAGCGGGAUAAAACCCGGUCCUGCCGAAAUUGGCGGGAUGAAACCCGGUCCCAAUUUGAUAAAAAGCGGUCAGCGGGAUUAUACCCGGUCCUGCCGAGAUUGGCGGGAUGAAACCCGGUCCCAACGAAAAAAGCGGUCAGCGGGAUUAUACCCGGUCCUGCCGAGAUUGGCGGGAUGAAACCCGGUCCCAAUUUGAUAAAAGCGGUCAGCGGGAUUAUACCCGGUCCUGCCGAAGUAAGCGGUCAGCGGGAUAAAACCCGGUCCUGCCGAGGUAAGCGGUCAGCGGGAUAAAACCCGGUCCUGCCGAAAUUGGCGGGAUGAAACCCGGUCCCCACGUGCUUUUGCGAAUGGUCAGUGGGAUAAAACCCAAUCCUGCCAUCCAAUUGGUCAAGAAAUUGAAUUUGAUUUGCCAAGACACAAGCAAUUAAAUUUGAUUUUCCAAGAAACAAGAAUUUGAACUUGAUUUUUGACUUUUGACGUUUUGAAUUUUUCUGAUUUUUCGAGAGAAUCAUUUUUCAAAAAUAAUUUGCCCCAGUGUAGGGCCCUUUUCCCUUCUUUUCUCUUUCUUCGGCAUCGGCCUUCCACAUCACCAGAUGUUCUUUCGUUGAUUUCAACAAUGAAUACCUGCACAGGGGGCUUACCAAAAUAUGACAUGCAUUCACAUUUUCAUGAAAAGAGCAGCGUGAUUGAUUUGAAAGAUGCAUUAUUUGAUUCUUGGGUGAAAUCCUCAAUUGGACUAACAAAAAUAUUUGCCCCUGUGUGGGCUUGUUUUCACGAAAUCUCAUAACAAAAGUUUUGCCCCAGUAUGGGCCAUUUAAUUGCAAAAACUUGUCUGGAUGACUUUCCAUUUAUUUGAACAUUGUAAGAAACUAUGUUUCCUAAAAGAAAAUUUCAUGAUGAUUUUCUUGAAAUAAAAUCAGAUCACAGAAGAUUUCUUCCUCACCUUGGCAUUGGUGUUUUGGGUAAUGGGUCACAAUUUCCAGUUGGUUCAUCUUUCAGGACCGAUCAAGUGGGUGUUAUUUCUGAUUUGGAAAUGGGAGGUCAAGAUUUGUCUUUUUUUUUUUCAAAUUGUACGUAAUCCCAUCAAUAUCACAUCUUAGUGAAAGCAGAGAGUUUGUCACCCUUAUUUCAAGAAAACUUAGUCAACAUACAAGCUUUUUAGGCUUGUAACGUAUGGACAGAAGUGAUAGCUAAACAUGUAGAAACGGGUUAUACCCUUAUGAUCGUGAGUGAUCGAUGGAUUUUUAUGAGCAUAAUCCUCACUUUGGAUUGUCAUGAAGGAAUAAGUCAACGAUGGACUUUAUCAGCUCGUAAUUUGGCUUGAAAACGAUAGUUAAAAGAAGUAAUUUUCAAAGGACAUUGCACCGAAGAUCGCAUUUUUCAACAUCGCCCUCAUCUGGACUCCAGAUUCUUGGACUUGGUUUGACUUUUUAUCAUCACCCAACAGGGUCUUCCAACAUCAAAUCUUUUGCAUCUUUCUUUGCAUUCACUCUCUUUUUCCUUUUUCAAAAAUGCCCUCGCGGGGUUUCACAUGAAGAGCAGUGUCAACCUCACCCCUAAUCAAUUCAGAAAUACAGCUAAAAUUUUCGACAUCAGAGAUUUCCUUGACAAGGCCAGUGCAAAGAACAAAAGUCAGGACUUUCGGCUUUGUAAUGGGGUCAGGUGGGGUGCUUAGAAAAGUUAAGGCUUGAAGGCAGGUUUCAAAAGCGGUUUAAGCAAUCUGAGAUCGCAUUGUUGUGCCAACCCUAUUUUAGGGUUAAGUCAAAAUUUGCCAGAGCUUGUGCUCAAUUGAGGCUUUUUCUCUUUCAUUUUCUUUCGAUUUUUUGGCCUUCUGCCAUUUUUUGAACUUUCACAAAAUUUGCCCCAGUUUUUUUUUUUGAACCGAGGUUCACUUUUCUUCUUUUGUCUUUCGAUUUUGUGGCUUUUCACUUUUUCACUUCUUGAAAUUUUCCUUUUUCAACUCAACUUGCCCCAGUGUGGGGUUUGCGACUCUCAGGGGUUGCCAAACGAAGUAUUUUAUUCUGAAGGCUCAAAAAGGAUAACGAGGGGUAGAAUGUUUGAUUGGAAAAGAAGAGGGCCUGACUUUUAUUCUGCCCUUACAAUGACUCUGAAAGGAAACUUUCAUUAAUGCGAAAUUUUUGGCAUGUAUUUGAAUUAACUGAUUGAGGAGGACCCUUGUUCAUCCAUAUGUGUGAAACAUAGGCGAUCCACGCGGACAAAACUCUUCCUUUUCUUUUUUCAAAAUUGGAACCCAAGUGGAAUCAAAUUUCCCCAACUUGCGGUUCUCUUUCCCCCUUUCUUUUCCCUUUUUUCAAAAUUCCCCAAUCUCCUUCCCCAAUGUGGGGUGCGAUCAUAUGUGCACUCGAAAAAGAACCACCAAUUUUGCUCAAAUAGGGAUGCAAGGGAUGAUCAGUGUUUAGGUUGUAGAAACGACGGCCAAAGCGUCAUUCUUACACCUCAUGACAACCAAAGUAACGAAAUGGUCAUUAAGAAUCCAUUCCCCUUUUGAUAUUUGAAAAUUUUCCAAUGAAGGGUAGUGAUCAUUAGGGCUCUUAUUUGAAACGAAAUUAUUCUUUUAAAGGCUCAAAUGGGAGAGCAAAUGAUAAAAUGUGUAUAGGUAGAGAAACGAAUGCUCAAAGUAUCAUUCUAAAUUUUCAAAAUAAACAAGAAAGAUGCACAUUUUUGCUUUCACUUAGAUGUGAAUGAAUCAGAUUAGACACCUCGAACAUUUUCAAGCAAAAGUUGCCCCAAUUUAUCAAUCAAUGUGACUGACUUUAUUUUGGGAUUAAGUGAAGGAGAAAGGUAUCUCAUGGGCCAUCUGAAUGACCUCUUUCAAUUUUUGAGCACUCUUAUUGUGUAGCUCGGAUCACCAAUCUGGUGUAUACAUUUGUGAGUUUUCAGGCCAAAGGUUGAAAAAUCUCAAUUUGAGCUUAUUUCUUAAAAUUCACCAUGAAAUCUCUUAAUGAGCUCAAUAAAGAAUGAAAUGUACAUGAAUAUACCCAAAACAAUAAUUGUCCAACAAUUUUAUUGCUGAAAAAGUUUGAAACAAAAUUUCUCGUUCAAUUAUGAUACAAAUGAGAAUAGAAAGCUUCUAAAGAGCUCCACAUAUAUAUCCCUUUUGUCUCCUUCUCUUUUGACACAAAAAUAUAUUAACAAGUCAAAUAUACAGAAUCUUCCUUGAAAGCAAUUAUGAAAUCUCUUAGAAGCUCUUAACCUAGAGCUUUCAGAUGGAUUUUUAUGUUCCCAUUGUUGGAUCUGCCCAAGAAUCAAACAAUACUUGCAAUUUUGACACUUUAUUAGAUCCAAAUUAUCAUCAGAUACAGAAAAAUAUUUUUGCCUUAUUGAAGCAUUUUUUUUUUUUUUAUGAAUGCAGGGGAGGGGGAAAACAAAAGAAAAAUACCCUGAGUUAGUAGGCAAAACUGUAAAAUCGGUAUGCAUGUCCUAUGGGGGGAACCCUUUUAUGCCAAGGGUAGGCCUAGCAUGAAAAUGCAAUCCGCUAGAGUAGGCACUAUACAAUACCUGAUGGAUCCGAUCAGCUUAUGGAGUGAAAAAUAAUUUGAAAAAUUUGGCCAAUUGGAAUGAAAAGAGACGUUGGUCAAAAUGAGGACCUCGUCCGAAGGGAUUGAUCACUUUUGAUCGAUACAAGGACUUGCGAAAAACGUACGAGUUUGACCUUGACGAAAUUCCUAUCGAAGAGAUUGGAAUUCGUUUUGACAACUUUUCUCAGUGAAGCACGGGUCAAAACUCCAAUUGAUCAAAUGGCUGGAUGCAAUGGAUGUUUUUCUCGAAAUCGACUAGAUUUUCCAUUUUGAAAUUCGACAUUGAAAACCUAAUUGGUCAAAUGAAAUUGACAAUUUAUUAAAAAUCGACCGGAUGACCCUAAAAAGGGAAACAGGUCAAAUGAAUUGAAUGAAAUUUAAUUUAUCCAAAAUUAAUCAGAUCACCCUAAAAAGGGUAAAUUGAUCAAAUAGAUUGAACGAAACUUGAUUUAUUCAAAAUCGGCUCGGUUGCCCUAAAAAUGGGUAAAUUGGCCAAAUGAUUGAAAUUGAAUUAGUGAUUUAUUCAAAAAUCGGCCGAAUGACCCUAAAAAAGGGUAAAUUGGUCAAAUGAAUUGACGAUUUAUUCAAAAUCGAUCAGGUGACCCUAAAAAGGGUAAAUUGGUCAAAAGACCCUAAAAAGGGUAAUUUGGUCAAAUGAAUUGACGAUUUAUUCAAAAUCGACCGAAUGACCCUAAAAAGGGUAAAUUGGUCAAAAGACCCUAAAAAGGGUAAAUUGGUCAAAUGAUAUUGAUGAUUUAUUCAAAAUCGACCGAAUGACCCUAAAAAGGGUAAAUUGGUCAAAAGACCCUAAAAAGGGUAAAUUGGUCAAAUGAAUUGGAUGAAAUGAAUUUAUUCAAAAAUGAUUAGAUUGUACUAAAAUUGAAUGAAUUGAAAAAAAUGGAUUGGAUAAGAUGGAUGAUUUGUUCAAAAAUCGAUUGAAUUAUUCGCCCACUGGGUGGUUUCAAGAAAUCAUUACAAUGCCUUGGUCUAUGAGCCUCUAAAAUCAAAAUUUGGCCACUAUAUUUAUCGUCUCAACAAUGAGGAAACAUUUGUGAAUUUUCUUCGAAUUAAUGUCCUUUUACGCAAGGGAAUUUUACCAAUUUUGAGAAAAUGGCCAAAAAGUGAUUAUUAGACGCUCAUAUUCCAAAGAUCACUCUAUGAAAAUGAUCGGAUCCUACCUUACCUUGUGCACUACCCCUUUGGAUGGUACAAAAAUGUAAACGUGCAAGUCUCACUGGAUUAAGUAUCCGAGACACAAGGUGGCUUAUUCCUAAACACGGGAUUCCCUAUGUGGCAUUCCCUUUCUAGGGUUAAUGCAUGAUGCCAGUUUAUUAAAGAUAUGUAAAUAUGCGACAAAUAUUGCCUAAAGGAUAUAAAUAAUGCAACGCGGGGAAAAGGUCUCAACAUGAGAUGUAUUUACUGAAAAGUGAGUGCAAAGACUGUAAUUUAGACAUGUGAGCUAUCUAGUGGGUGAGUCACUAAAAGAGUGCCAAAAAGGCCUCUUAUUGCUAAGGCAUAUGAAUGCAAGCCAAGAAAACAAAAGAAUGGUUAGUGCAAUUGAUAGUACACAUAACACAUUGGGAGCAAUUAAGAAAAGAAAUACAAUAAAGCAGGUAAAAGGGGUGGAACCCCUUCCCUCGUGCCUAUUGUGCUUAAAGUAGGGUGAGGCUGACUCUAGCCUAGGAAAAUGCUAAUAUGGAUGCAUGAGGCUGGGGUUCACUAAUGCCUAGACUCGAUAAAGCUUCGGCUCCCAAGCCUUCAGACCUAAAGGCGAAGGGUCAUCACUCCCAGGGCCUUUGAUCGGUGGCUCGAGUGAUCCCUUAGGUAGCGCUAUGGGCGCAGAGCACACCAGCCGCCUACCCAAGGCAAUCGAUCCUAAUCCUACAAGGCGGUGUGGGAAACGCCCACGAAAAAUAAAAUAAAAUGGGAUAACAGUAAAUAAACGUGCACGUAUGAAGUGCUCCCCUAUUUUGAGGGAAGGGGUUGAGAACCACGCGAGGCUCUAGAGGUGACACACACCGCCUCCCAAAUGCAAUGCAAGCGCGAGAUAAUCAAGUAAACAACAUCCAAUCAACCAAUCACAUAUACGUGAGUGAGGGAAUAGUUGGAUACGCGCGCGAGGCAAAAGGCCCUAAAAAUGAAAAAUGCAACCCUAAUAUCCAAAUGCAAUGCAUAAAAGGGUAGAAAAAGGAAACGAAUGGCUAAGUCAAAAUGCUUGGACCCACUUAGGAAGUCCCCAGUGGAGUCGCCAACUGUCGCGCCCCACUUUUUGAAUGAAUGUGAAAUGGUGUGUGUGGUGUGAGUGUGUGUGAUAUACAUGUGAACGUGUGCGGAAUGAAAAGUAAAAGGCCAUGGGACUUAGAAUGCGACGAUUUGGCCAAGUGAAGUUCAAAAGGGUUUUGGUAUCAAAAAAAAUGGAGUCGCCACUUGGUAUAGAGUUAGGGUGUACCAAGUCACCCAAAAAUGAUUUUUGUUUUUGAAUAAAAAAAGUAAAUAAACCCUUUUUGAGAACUUUUGGGUCUGCGUAACCAAAAGAGGGAUCGGGGGUCACAUUUGACGAAGGGGAAGGCAAGGAUAAAAAUCCAAGGCACCCCUUCGACCUAGCCAAGGCUAGUUGCGUGACUUAAACCAAUUUUUCCCUAAUUUUUCUACCCAAGGUAUGUAUCGCGUGUUGGAUAUGUCUAUAUGAAUGCAAAACCCUAGACCUAGGGGUAUGGGGGGAAAUUUCUCUUCAAAAGGUUGAGUGGUGCCAAUCACAUUAGUUGUGAAACCCAAUAAUGAUCCUUUUGGAGAGGUCACACCUAAACCUAAAUGACGUAAAAAAUGAGUGGAAUGCAUGCCAUGUGAAAGUGUGAGUUUGUGUGAAGUGGGAAAAUUGAUAAAAUACGAUACAAGUGGAGGUGUGCAAAUGUCUUUGAAUGCAAAUAUAUAUACUCCAAGUGCAAGUGGGCAAAAAAUGCAUGUAUGCAAUUUAAAGAAAAGUGCGAAAGUGUCGGUGUGCAAAUGAAGAUGAAAGUACUCGUGUGCGAGUGAAGAUAAGAGUGUUCGUGUGCAAGUGAAGAUAAAAAAGUGUUCGUGUGCAAGUGAAAGUGAUAAAAGGGUGCAUGUGUGCAAAUGAGACAAAAGUGAAAGUGUAAUGAUAGAGUGGAUUGAGAAUGCAUGAGCUUAGGGAAUUUAUGCAUAUUGGGUACGGGGAGACCUAAAUCGUGACUCAAUUUGCCCUUUGAUAGAGGGAAUACAAGCGUGCUAAGGCUUAGAAAAAGCCACACUCGUCUAUAUCCCAUAUUUAAGGGGACUCUUCAGGCAAAUGUACCCUAACUAGCAUGAGAUGCAAAAAUCCUAAAAUGAGGGAAAAGGGGCUCGAGGAGCAUGCCAAAUGAUAAAACUAAGAAAAAUGCAUGACAUGUAGUGAACAUGCAAAUAUGCACUAACAAAAAGGGAUGGCCUAAUGAGCCACAACUAGCAUUGGACUAGUGUGGUGACGUACAUUCAUCCAUUCCAUUCAUUCAUGGUUAUGAAAGCAAGUAGACAUGCCAAAACGCUCGUAAACACGUAGCACGUAGCACUUAGCAUGCUCGACUAGAUGCAAGAGCCUACUAAAGCAAUUAAACAUGUAGCAACAAAAACAAGCAACCAAGGGGAAGGGGAAAUGGACCAGAUGCUCUCCGAGCGCUAUCUAUUACAAGCCAAGAGGUGUACACAUACCCCAUAAAAGCAUAAAAGGGAAAGGGUGAAUGGACCAGAUGCUCUCCGAGCACUAUCUAUUACAAGCCAAGAGGUGUACACAUACCCCAUAAAAACUUAAAUAAAAGGGAAAAGCAAGUAAAUGCACGCAGGGAGGUAAGGAAAGCGAAGUAGACAGGCAUAUUCACAUAACACAUAGGAGCACGUAGGAAAAAUAAAGUGCAAGUGAGGGAUAGAGUGUACCUCCCUUGCAAUCGGGGCCCAAUGAAGUGAAAUCACUUAUUUAUCCUCCAAAAUAAUAGAAAUGGUCAAGGUACCAAUUUAUUUGGGAAAAUUAAAGAAAAUGUGCAAAACAAAGCUCACUUGAUCAUGAAGCCCCUAAAGUCAUGACUUAAGCGCAAUUGAAACAAAGCAUGGUAGUUAAUUGAAGCAAACAAGCAAUAAAGUUGCACAAAUUAAAAUUAUCAAGGACCAAUUUGAUGAAAUUCUUUAAUUGAUUGGGUCCUAGUGGAACAAGGGGAGACUCGGGGGGCCAAAGUGCAAUUUUUAGAAAUUAUUUCAUGCAUAAGCAUGCAAUCACGUAGCUUUCUUCUUUAGACAAUGCUUCUGCAAUUCUCUUCGCUAGUCUCUGCAAUCUGCUAUGCCUUAUUACCAAAACGUUACCAACAAAACAGCCACACUUUUGAGUCAAAUGAUCAUAGUCAUCCCCCCAUUCAUCAACCAAACCACAUGACACACUUUCAUUGCCUGAUUAAAUCAGAAAAAUCUGACUUGGUGGUUGCUAGUUAACACAAAGGGCGGCAAGAAUUAUAACAGCAAAACAAGAGUGCAGCAACAACUCUGCUCACUUCUCCAUGAUUUUGCAACUUCAUUAGCUAUUCAGGGAGCUUACAUUAGAUUCAAAAACCAUCAUAAAACAUUAGCCUAGGCAUGCAAAUCAAGGAGAAAUGGGAAAACUGGCAAGUUUAACAUCAAUCCUAUGUUUCUUGCUGCAAUUUUAACAGGUAUGAUUAACUACACUCCAACAAGACUUGAUAAACACCAAAAUGCAUGAUUCAUGUCCUCUUAAUGUCAAAGCUAAUGAUUUCUCUAGAUGCAGCUUUAAAACAGAUAUUAUCCACGGCAUCAUAAUCAGGCAAUGAACAAAAUCAAACAGGUCAAGCCAACUGCAACUUAACAACCCAAAAAGAGGAAAAUCUAUUGCAAUAAGAACCGAAAGUUUAAAACUUGCUACAGCCAAUUCUAAAACUAAACUUAGAACUCUAACAACCAUGUGUCUUGCCUAAACAUGAAGGUUCUAAGGACAAAGGUCAGAUGCCAUAAUCACCAAAAAAAAUCAAAGCCAACCGCAAUCAUUAAAUACACGAACCAGUGACCAUUACAACGAAGUAAAACAUGAAUGAACAUACGAGAACAGAGGGAAAAGAAAAACAACUGUAAUGAAUUUGUGUUUCUAAUGAAACCAGUGAUGGUAUCAUCGAAAACCAGAGAAAGCUUCCCCCUCCAUCAUUAAACAUCUCAGGUAAGCAAGAGAAAAAGAAAAAGGAAACAUCUUUACCAGCAGAAAUGCAAACAAAGCUGUGAUUUUUACCUUGAUUCUGGUGGUGGAGGCGGCUCCAGUCCUUGGGCAGGCCGUUGGCCACUUGUUGGCUACGCAGGAGAAGAAGGACGGUAGUUGUUGGUUGCGAUGGAGGUUGCGAGCGAUGUAGUGACGGUGGACAGCAAGCAGCGGCAGAGGCGGACUGUGGUGGCUUGAACGGACCUUUCUUGCGUUUCCCUCCGCAGCCUUGCACCGUGGUUCCCUCAAAAUCCAGCCGCCCUUUGCCUCUUCUUGCUCUUGACUCACGGUGGAGCCCACGGGUAACGAUGGUGGAGUGAAAAUGGUGAAAGCUUCGCGAGGAGCAUCAGCUCCAGUUGCUGCCUUGUUGCUGGAAGAACGGCACCCGAUGCCUCUCUUCUCUCUUUAAUUCUCUAUCUCACCCUCUCGCUCUCUCUUUUUCUUGCUCAGCCCAUCUCCUAGUCACCCUUCUUCCUCUCGAAACUUGUCUGCCAAAACCUCGCCACUCUCUCUCCUUUUCUUCCAGCCGUCCCUCUUCUCUCAAGUCACGGACUUUGCUCAGAUUUUUUUCCUUUUCGGCCGUCCCCCCCCCCUUGCGGCUGUUGCUCUCUUAGCCUUUUAUAUGAAGCUCCCUUUAUCCACAAACCCUCAACUGGAUGGUCAGGAUGAAGGGCCUGCCCCUGCCUUCAUCCAGCCCUUCCAAAAAUGGUUCCGUGGGUGACCUUUGCACGCUGCAAAAAUUGCAGCGUGCAUGCGGCGACCAAUUUUUUUUUUUUUUUUAAACUAAUACAAUAAUAACAAAAUUGAUAUUAAAUAAAGAAAAACAACAAUAUAAAAAACUAGGAAUAAGAGAUAAAAAACAAUGAAAUGCUAAUUAAUUUUCCUUUUCUUCAUUUUCCGUUUUUUUCAUUUUUUCCUCCAAGAAAUUCUACGCUAAAAACUUAAAAAUAAAAAUAAAACUAGAAACUAAAAACUAAAAAUCGAAUAAAACUAACACGACAAAUAAAAAACUAAAAAUAAACAGUAAACGAAAUUACACCAAAAAUUUGGUGUCUACAGGACAAAUUUUAUCUUUCAUUUGUAAAAAAAGAAAAAGAAAAAAGAAAGACUAAGAAGAAGCCAAACUGGAGCAAUUUUUUAGUUUCAAUAGCCCUAUAUUGGGGCAAGAUCUUACAGGAUGCUGUCUUAGGAUUUUUGAAACCCUUUAAAAUUUGCUUUCGAACCUUAACAUUUCUUAACACCACACAUGACUCCGUUACAAAAAUCAUAGUCCCGGCCUCCGCUUUAGUAGUAUUUCUAAUGAAAAUUUUUUAAUCAAAUGGCAAAUGAUGUCAACACAUCUUCAUCAAUUUUACAACGGAAGGAUUGUCAUACUGAUACCAUUAAUCUUGGAACAUAUUUCUGAAUCAAUAAAGGAUGUUGUUAAAUUUUUUCAUUAGAUGAAAAUCCGAAAGGGCACUUUCUAAAAAAAAAAAGAAAAAAGAGGAUGAAAUAAUAAAAAAUUAAAAAAAUGAGAAAUGAAAAAAUGAAAAAAAUGAAAAAAAUGAAAAGCAAAAGUAAAAAAAAAAAAAGAAAAAUAAAUGGGUGGGGGCAACCUUAGUGAAAACCCGAAAGGGCAUUAAGGUAGGGUUUUGAAUCACCGACUGAGUCGGAAAUGGAAAGUAGAGGGUUGAUUGUUAAGAAGUUGAUGACUAUGUUCGUUUGGAUUUCUUCUCGUGUUAAGGUUCUUUUGGUGACAAUGACUUUUAAAAUUGUGAUGUCCGAAGGGGUCAAGUGUGACAUUUUUCUCAUCUUAGAAGGACCAUUCAAAUUCGUCUCCAAGUUCUUCUGUAAACUUAAUAAGGGUCAUUUUCUCUUCGAAAAUUUAUUUUGCUCUAUUUGGUGUUCUUGCAUGAAAUAAUUUUGUCUAAAAUUUUUAGUUGCUUUCGUUUAACGUGGUCAAGAAACAAUCCCCAUAAUUCAUCGUAAUUGAUGCGUAAACAUAUUUCUUAUGGUCUAAGCACAGUUGAUUGAAUACAGAUGCUAGCGGAUCAAGGAAGGGUUACACAAGAUUUUCGAGUCGAACAGUUAUGCGAUAUUAAAUGGCCCAGGUUUCUCAAGGCUCGAGAGACCACACGGUGGUGGCAUUAUAUUUCGUCAUGAUUAUUUCUCUUUUGCAGGAAUGAACUACACACAUUUUCUUGAAGGGACAGAAAAUCAGCAAUCAUUCAAUCAAGUCUGAUCUAUAUUGGGGCAAUUUUAUCACAAAGGUGAUAUCUGAUCAUUUAAGUGAGAAAAAUAGCAAAAAUCACUUCAUACCUUUUCAUUCAAACACAUUUUUUAUAUUCUUUAUUUUGUUGAGUUUGAAUUUUAUCCCACCAACCGUGCCAGAUUUGGGUUUUAUCCCACUGACUGUUUAUUUUGUCGGACUUGGGCUUUAUUCCACCGACUGUUAUUUUGUUGGGUUUGGAUUUUAUCCCACCAACCGUUUAUUUUAUUGGGUUUGGGUUUUAUACCACCAACCGUGUCAGGAUUAGGUUUUAUCCCACCAAUCGUUUAUUUUAUUGGAUAUGAAUUUUAUCCUAUCGACCGUUAUUUUGUUGGGUUUAGAUUUUAUCCCACCAACAGUAUCGGGUUUGAGUUUUAUCCCACCGACCGUUUAUUUUGUCGGGUUUGAAUUUUAUUCCAUCGACCGUUUAUUUUGUUGGGUUUGGGUUUUAUCCCAUCAACCGUAUCAGGUUUGGAUUUUAUCCCACCGACCGUUUAUUUUUUUGGGUUUGAGUUUUAUCCCAUCAGCUGUUAUUUUAUUGGAUUUGUAUUUUAUUUCACCAAUCUUUAUUUUGUUGGAUUUGGAUUUUAUCCCACCGACCGUUAUUUCGUUUGGUUUGGAUUAUCCCACCACUCCUUUUAUUUUCCGAUUUAAAAUUUUCAAUUUAUUAAGUUUUUCUAACUGUUUCGAUUAUAGUUGAGUCAGAUAGAUAAGUAAUUCGGUGUUUACGUCUUUGUAUCGAAUUUAUGCGAAACCCAGACAAAGAGGGGCACUUGUAGGCACCAAAAAUUUAUCAUUAUUUUUAUUUCUUUUUUAUUUCUUUUUUUUGCUCAUUUUUAGUUUAUGUUUAUUUUAUUUAAAUUAGUUAUAUUCAUUUUAUUUUAGUUAUUUUUAUGUUUAUUUAAAAAAAAAGGGAAAAUCACUUCAAAUCAGUUUUUAGAAAAAAUCGAAAAGAAAAGAAAACAAAAAAAAUGAAAGAAAACAAAAAAAAUGAAAAGUGCAGUUUUUUGCAAAAAAAAAAAAAAAUUUGACUGCACGCGCGCGUCAUCUCCAUGGUUUCGUACCAGAAGCCAUGGAGAUGGCUCUUGUACCAUGUUACAAGCGCCAUUUCUUGGUCAUUUCCACUCAUUUUUCUUCCAUUUUUUCCUCCAUGCGAUCACUCCAGUACAAAACCACUUGGUAUUGAUCCAAAACAACAAGAAAAAUCUGAAUUCAAACCAAUCUAAUGGCUCAAAAUGUCCAAGAAAACCAGUCACCAUCUACACCAUUAAUUCUAGAUUUUGGGGAGGAUUUGUGGCUAUAAAAAGAAUAAAAAUGCAGCACUAUGUCAAAAGGAUUGAGAGGGGAGGCGGCAGACAAGAAAAAUAUAGAGAAGGGAGAGAAAAUCGAGGGAGAAAAGGAAAAGCGCAGAAAAUUCUGGAAAAAGAAAACUGAGCCAGGAUUGAGGGUUAGGGUGGUUUCUUGAUCCUCUUUCGAUCUGUGUAGAGUCUCUUUGGAGGAAGUAUCGAUUUCUUGGGAAUCUAUGAUGACCAAGAAAGAAGAUUGGUGUUGGAAAAUUUGGAGAAAACCUCAAAAAUAUCUUCGAAUUCGAGCACAAAGUUACAAUUUCAUCAGCCCGCGCACCUCCUGUAGCAAAAAUUUCUUAAUUGAUUCCAAUUUCGAAACUCGUUCUUCUUGGAUCCCCGCUUCUAUUUGAUACCCUUAACCAUCGAAGGUAAUCUUUUUCACCUUGUUUUGUUGCUAUAUCAUCAGAUUUGCAUAAAAAUGUUGAAAUUUGGAUGCUGCAUUUGUCCCUGUUCUUUUCUCUCUCUUUGCUGCAUUUUUCUACUCAUUUUUGUGAGAUAGUAGUCUAGAUUUGCUGCGCAAUCUUGAGUUAAACAUUGCAUUUGGCUCUGAGGCAACUGUCUUGUGGAUUUGGGUUUGAAUUUUUGGCAAAACGUUUGUGUUCCUUUGCUGUGUUGGGUGAAUAAGCUCCCAGUUGCAGAGAGAGCAAAGUUUUUCUUCGAAUAAGAUGCAUAGGAAUUUCUAAAAAUUUCAUUUUGACACCUGAAUGUUUAGAUAAUUUCACUAUGGCCCAAAAUCUGGAACACUGAACCAGUUUUUGCCCCUUUUAAGUUUAAUCCUCUUUUUCAUGUUUUAAGUGGGUUUUUAAGUAGAUUAUUUCUAGGUUUUAUGAUGUAUUUAGGGUUUAAUGAUUUUUGGAAAGAUUUAUUAUCUUGUUGGGUUUAGUAAAUAGUUUAGGUUUUGGGUUAAUGUUAUUUAGUUGGGCUUGGCAAAUGGGUUUAGAUUUAUUUUGAUUGAAUUUUGACUUGGGUUUGGUGGCCCAAAGCCCGUAACUUUUGUUUGGGUUGAUUUGGUGAAAAGGAAGGGAUGGCCUAUUUGUUUUCCUUGGACUUUUGGCUGGGUUUAGGAAUUCUGGCCAAGAGAAAUUAAAAGAAAUGGCCCAAUGGCCUUUUUAUCAAGCAAUCUGGUAACGUAAAUUACAGAUUAUUCCCUAUAAUUUUGAGUAAUUAUAUUAUAGCCCUAAAAACUUUAAUUUUCUUUCAAUUAGGUUCCUAAUUUAAUUGUAAUUUGAUCUCUGAACUUUAUUUUUCUUUAAUUUUGACCCCUAAUAUUUGUAAUAAUUACACUUUUAUCCCAAAAACUUGCUUAGUUUUUGCAAUAGGUUCCUGGUAAUUUUGAUUUCUUAAAUAUAAGUUACUUUUCUUCUUUAAUUGUUAAUUAUACUUUAUUUAAGUGCUUUAAUUGGUAGAUUUCAUGAUUAUUUCUAUUUCUUUAUAAUUAAAUUGGUGCUUGAUUAUUUUGUUGAUUUUGGAGCAUAAAUAUGGGCAAAUUUCACCUCAUUUAACUACAAUUUCGAGGGAGGUAACCUCUUUUAUUAUUUUAAAUUCUUUUAAUGCUCCAAUGUGUUUUUUAUGUGUAAUUGCAUGUUUUGAGUGCCUUUUCUUUUAAUUACUCAUUUUAUUCAUUUUAAAUUUCGUUCGUUUUAUUUAAUUUUUUAUGAUUAUUUGUGAGAUAUUUAAAUGCCAAAUUAUAAUAGAUAUGCGUUCAAGAUCUGCAUUUAGCUAGCCUAUGUAAUAGAUAGGUUUUAAUUUUUGUUAAAAAUAUAUUUAGUUAGAUAUAUGUAAUAGUUAGGUUAUUAUUUUUAAAAUUCCCCCCUUAGAUUGUAAUUAGGAGCCCGAAUGUAAUAGUUAGGUUUUUAUUUGCAUUUAUUUGCUUAUGUGCUUGCAUACUUGUAUGUUUACGUGUUUAUUCGUUUUCAUUAGGGUUUUGCAUCUAGAAAUUAUGCUUAUGUGUUAUGUGCUCUAUGUGCAUUAUGUGUUCAUUUGCUUUAAUUAUGUUUUAUAUAAUUUAUUUGUUUAUAAUAAAGGCAUGACGUCAUCACACUAGUCCAACGCUAGUUGUGAUCAUUUUUCCCGAUUUUUCACUGGUCCGAUGCUAGUGAAGAUUUGUAUAAAUGGGAUAGUCCAAUGCUAAACCCUUUAAGUCGUUUCGCGCUAGAUUCACACUUUUUGCAUGACAUUCAUCGCAUUUCAUACAUAUUUUUUAUUUUUAGGAUAUUUUCUCAUCUUGUGUGAUAUCUCCUAUAUAUAUUACCUCACUUAUCCCUAUGUGCGCAAAACAUGACAUUUAGACUUGUAUUUCAUUUAGAAAAAUAGAAGUAGGCUAGUUCAUUUGCUUGACUAAAUUAGAAGAGUCACUUUUCAAAUAUGGGAAAUGAACGAGUAUGGCUUCUUUGCUUUAACACGUUCGUAUCCCCUCUAUAGAAAGGAAAAUAGAGUCACGAAUUUUAACCCAUUAUGUUGCAUUCCUCUCUCUUAGGUCACGUAUAUUUAUAUCUUCUAAUACCUCUUUUCUUCGAAUCUCAUUUUUGCAUAUUCGUGACCUCUUCUAAAAAUUAUUUUGAGCAUCACAAUUAAUGUGAUUUGUAUCAAUUAAAAUUUGAAGAGAUAUUUCGAUCCUCUCGAUAUCCAUUAGGUCUAAUUUGUAUCCAUAUAGAAAUAUCCAAAUGUGAUAAGUUUUAUAGGUUAGAUUAAGAAAAUUUUCGAUUAAAUCUUGCAACUAACUUUAGCUAGAUUGAAAGGGUGCCUUAGAUUUGAUUCUAUCAAAUCUUUGCUUUCCCUUUCUUCAACCGUGACUCCUGAACCCUUUUUUCUUGUUUUUCGAAGACUUGGAGCCAUCUAAAAAGGAGUUUUAUUUAUUUAUUAUUUAAAAAACAUAUUUUGGGUGACUUGGUACACCUUAACUCAAUAUCAAAUGGCAACUCCUAUUUUUUUCCUAAAAACCCUUUUUAGACUAUUAUUUUGGAUCAGAACCGUCGCACUUUUUUAAGUCCCAUUUUUGGCCCUCCUUUUUCUUUAUUUAUUCUCUAAAAUAAAACUAAUUUCAAAAACAAAAAUUUUCAAAUAAAAUACAUUUUUUCUAACAUCUAAAUAAAUUUAUUAUUUUUCAAAAAAUGGGGCGCGAUAGAAAUGAUGCCUUAGAUUUGAGUCAAUCAAAUCUUUGCCUUCUCUUUUUUCAAAUGUGACUCUCGAAUCCUUUUCUCUUGUUUUCAAAGAUUUUGAGUCGUCUAAAAGGGUUUUACUUGUUUUUAUUUUUUCUAAAAAAUUUUUAGGUGACUUGGUAUACCUAAAUUCAAUAUCAAGUGGUGACUCCUAUUUUCUUAAAAACCCUUUUUAGACUAUUAUUUGGGCCCAAAUCAUCACAUUUGUCUAAGUCCCAUUUAAGGUCCUUUUUCUUUAUUUUCUAAAAUUAAAAAAAAAACUCUUUUUUUAAAAACACUUUUCCUUUUACUUCAAAAAAUGGGGCGCGACAAUGACCAUUCUCUAUUUUUCAUGGUUCUUAUCUGCUUAACGAAGUUAUGGUAAGGUGAUGUGGCAGCUGCUUCUACUAUCAGCUCCAAUCCCACUUUUGAAUUCGACUCUAUGAUUAUGUCCCUAUAUCCUUUUCCCCAUACCAGUUGCAUUCCUUUAAGAAUUCCCCAAAGCUCUAUUGCUAUGUUGCUUGCCGUCCCUAUACUCUCUGCAAAACCUCCCAACCAUAUCCCUUUCUCAUCCCUAAUGAGCUCUCCUACUCCUGCAUUUUACAUUUUGAGGAACGUAAAGGGGGCGUUUCAGGCUAUUUUUCCUAUAUCAUCAUAUUUGACAGCAUGCCCCUAUUUCUUUUUUCCAUCUUUAUAGAAAAGUUAAGUCGAUCAUAUUUAGGAAUCAAGAGUAAAGUCAAGUCGUAAUUUUUUCUUUUUAAAAGAGAAUCAAGACUAAUUCUCUACUUACUCUUUAAUAACUUGAACUCGUAAUUUUUUGAUUAUAAGUGAAGAGUCUUUACCAAUUAAGCUGCACUUCGUAAUUGAUCUAUGCGUGUGUAUAUGUGUCUAUAUAUAUAUAUAUAUAUAUAUAUAUAUAUAUUUAUGUAUAUAUAUAGCAUGGCUUUUUGCAAUAGGCAAUAACUCUCUUAUUGAUAAUCAAUAUAUAACCAGCCAAUUGGCAUAAUACCAACCUUGUAUAUAUUAUUCAAAUUUAUUGAUACCGGGAAAUUUCAGUUUUCCCAUCACAUAAGACUGAGAGUAGUAGACGGCCUUAACAGUUAACAAAUUCAUAGUUGACUCUUAGGAAACCGUUGGCAUUGCCCUGUCCAUUGGUGUCAAUUUGUCGAAAGGGGCCAAUAUCCAAAUCUAGCCCACCAUUGCUGCAUUGAUCAACAAUCCUGACAACAACUUGAGCUCUAGUUGCUGUAUUAGUCACCUGCAUUAAAGAUUUGUAUGAGCUGUUAAAAAUUUAUAUAGCUUUUUCAGUUUUACUAGUUUUUCAAAACUUGCAAAUAACUCUUUAGUGUAAACCUACUCAUUUUGGCUAUGGAUGUAUAAAGUUCAUUAAAAAAGGAAAACAUUGUUUAGUUAGCUAAGAGAAUUGAAAUUGGAUUUGAAGUGCAUCGAAAAAGAAAAUUUUUUGCUUACUAUACAAUUUAAAUUCUAAUUCAAAUCCAAUUCUUAUGAGGAACCAAAGACUGCUGAUGUUUCUGUUUUUAGUACUAGCAAAUAAGUUUAAUAACAUCUAGCCUUUGUGGUUUCAAUAAUUUUGAUUAAAUACAUAUCGAAAUGCCAAAAUUGAUACGCAAAGAGACCAUAAAGCGAAUUUUAUCCUUCAGUGGACAUGAAAAGAGCAUAUUGAUAAGGUUACGAACUGAUUUACAUAGAAUGAAAUCCAACAAUGAUGAGAUUUUUUGCUUUAAAUGGACAUGAAGAGCUAAAUAGGAAACACAAAAGGUUUUCAAUAGCAUAAUUUCCACCAUACCAAAAAAUAUUUAAGCUCAAUAUUUUUUUGGUAAAUGUUCCUAUCUUCAUUCUAAUAACUAGAGUAGAACUAACACAAAUUGAUCAAAAAAAAAAAAAACGCGCGUACAUGACGUGAGACUAGCUAAAUUCUUCUUGGCUCGCAAAAUAUUUUUUUUAACAUGAAUUAUACACUGAAGAAACUAUGCUAAUCCAAAAACAUAUUUAUCAUUUGCAAUAUAAUUAACCAAAAAAAGAAGUUUGGAAGUUAAAACCACUUACCCUUAGGCACCUCCCACAUGCAGCCUGCCCUCGAGGUCCAGCAGGUCCACAAAAGGCAGUCCAACCAUAUUGCCUCCGCCACGAAAGGGGCUUGUUAGCAUCCCAUGUUGCACAAAAAACCCUAGCAGCGUUGAGGUCCCAAUUGAUAUUUUGGGGAUUGUACAAAUUGUAAGUGGCCCUAACAUUAGAAGCACUCUGGGAGUCAGCCACAGCAACAAAGAGGGUAAACGAAACGAUGCAAAGAAUUAGGGGAACCCUUUCCAUUUUGCUAUUUUUUGUCACAAGUUCUUCUUCUUGUAAAUUUUGAUGUAUGUGGCUUGCAUUUAUAGAGAAAUAGGUAGAGAUAGCAAAGUCGAAGAAGGAAACUCCAGCCCAUUUUCACUGAUGUGCUGUCAAAUUAAGAAGAGGAAACACUGGCAUAUGGAAUCUAGUUCAUUGUCAUCCUCUAGAAAGUCUUCGUGGAAUAUAACAAUAAAGACAAGAAAAUUGAAAUUAACAUGGUACGUAAUGUCGGUCAGUGAUUAUCCGAGCUUGACUCAACUUAUCGUUUUGACCCCCAAAAAAAAAAUUAUCCGAACUUGGCUGCUUUUCAUGACUAGGUCAGUCAAGUCAAGAUGUUAAUUAUUUGCGCAUUAUUUGAAAUAUUAUUUUAAAUAAUUACUAUAGCACUUUUUGUGAUAUGUGAGAUAAAAUACUAAUUAGAAAUAUAAAAAUGUGGAUUGAGAAAUGUGUUUAUGAUACAAGCAAAAUACUAUGUAAAAAAAAAAAAAAAAUUUAGCUAUCCAAACACUCUCAUAUAAAUUUGUUUAUAAUUCAAUUGACUAACAAAUAACGGAAAUAUUUGGCUUCUCUAUUUAGUUAUAAGAUUGACUAACCGAAUCUUAAGUUAAUUUGAAAAAGUCUUUAAAUAUAAGAAUACAAUAAAUAUAAAUAUGUAUAUUCAUAUGAAAUUUAGAUAUGCGAACGAGUACCAACUGAUCCCUUUCAAAAUAUUGAUUACUUUUCAAGUGUUUCAAACGGAACUAAUCGAAAACAAAAUCUAGUUGCGAUUUAAUCCUAGCAAUUAAGAAAAUCCUAGAUCGUGUGCUAGGCGGCGAGUUUGGCAAGGGCGGCUACGUUACGAAAAUGUGCGAAGACUGCCAAGUACAUUGCCACCCAAAGAUUUCUUCACACGGCAACCAAUGGAGAUGGCUCUUUCUAUAUUGGAGCUCUUCUUGGCUGCUCUAGCAUAUAUUUUAGAGGCUGGUCCAUAUUCCUUUUUUUUUGGUUUAAUCAAUAAGGAUUAUCAGGUUUUCUUUUCUUGUGGGUAAGGAAAUAAGGCUGCAAAGUUUGAAUAUUAUAGCCUAAUAGGCUAGUCUAUGUUGGACAUAUUUACCAAAGAAAAGUUGGGAUUACUACUCACUAGCCUCUGUUACUUGUUUGGUUAUCUAGUCAAUUUGUAGUUCUUUUUUUUUUUUUUUGUUAUUUAAGCUUCUUGUCCAACUUUUUAUAUUACUGUGUUUAUAGAUCACAAAAUCAAAUGUUGACUUAAGCUCCCAUGAUUCUUAUGAAAAAUGUGGAACUUUUUCUUUUCAAGAAUUAAAAAUUGUAUAUUACAUAAUAUGUAUGUAAAUAUAAAUUUCAUUAUCAAAUGAUAAUAUUAUACUACCUUAGCACACGUUUGUUAACAUAACAUCAAAGUAAAAUCAAUUACGAAAUGAGAGCAUUUAUUUUUUGAGGAAUGUAAAUCUAUCAUGAAGUGAGGGUGAAAGGGACUUUUCAUGCUAUUUUCCCCAUAUCCUCAUAUUUGACAGCAUGCCUUGUUCACUCCCAUUUCUUUUUAUCAUCUGUAUGGUAAAGUUAAGUUGCUUAUAUUCAGAGAUCAGCCUUCAUCGUAUAUAAGGUCGUAGCUUAUAUACAUAUUAUUAUGGCUUUUUUGCAAUCUACAAUAGCUUUAUUAUUGACUAUUGUUAAAGGCACACCCGAUGUGCUUGUAAUUUAGAAAUAACGAUUAUUUUUUUUAUGAAUUUGUAAAUCUUAUUUUUACACAAAUAAAUUUAUAAGAACUUUUCAUUAACAAACUUCAAUUUAUCAAUAAUUUUUUUUCUUUAAUUGAAAAAUAGAUAAUUUUGUAGUUGCAAUAUUCAAGGUAGUUAUGAGCGGUUAUGUUAGCAAAUGUGUAUCAGAUGAUUAGGGUAAAAAUAUUAGUUUUUCUAAGGAUAAAAUGAAAAGUGAAAAAAGGAUAGAAAAUGUUUACACCAAGUACUGUCACCGCUUUCCUUUUAUAUAUUGUAUAGAUAAUCAAUACACAACCAGCCAACCGGCAUAAACCCAACCUGGUACGUAUAUAUUAUUCAAAUUUAUUGAUUACAGGAAAUUUCAGUUUUCCCAUCACAUAAGACUGAGAGUAGUAGACGGCCUUAACAGUUAACAAAUUCAUAGUUGACUGUUAGGAAACCGUUGGCAAUGCCCUGGCCAUUAGUGUCAAUCUGCCGAAAGGGGCCAACGUCCAAAUCUAGCCCACCAUUGCUACAUUGAUCAACAAUCCUUACAACAACUUGAUCUCCAGUUGCGGUGUUAGUCACCUGCAUUAAAGAUUUAUAUGAGAUGUUUAAGAUUUAUAUAGCUUUUUCAGCUUUACUAGUUCUUGAAAACAUGCACAUAACUCUUAGUGUAAACCUACUACUCACUUUAGCUCUGGAUGUAUAAAGUGCUUUAAAAAGGAAAUCACUCUUCAGUUAGUUGAAAUGCCAAGAUUGACAGGCAAAGAGACCAAAAAGUGAAUUUUUUUUCUUUAAUGGACAUGAAAAGAGCAGAUUGAUAUGGUUGUGGAAGUGGAAAAAUAACAAUUGAUUUACAUAGAAUGAAUCCAACAAUGAUGGAAUUUUGUGCUUUAAAUGGACAUGAAGCGCUAAAUAGGAAACACAAAAGGUUUUCAAUAAUCUAAUUUCCCCCACACCAUAAAAUAUUUAAACACAGUAUUUUUUUUUUUUUUUUGGCCAAUGUUGUAUUAAAAUCCAACUAUUGCUGUUCUCAUUCUACUAACUAGAGUAGAACUAACACAAAUUAUUCUUGAAGCCAAAAAAAAAAAAAAAACACAUACACACACACAAACAAACAAAAAAAAGGUGAGACUAGCUAAAUUCCUCUUUACUAGUGAACAUUUUUCUCUGCACGACUUACACACUGAAGAAACUAUGGGAAUCCAGUAACAUAUUUAUCAUUGACAAACUAAUUAACCCAAAAAAAAAAAAAAAAGAAGUUGUCAAAGUUAAAACCACUUACCCUAAGGCACCUCCCGCAGGAAGCCUGACCAGUAGGUCCAGCAGGUCCACAAAAGGCAGUCCAACCAUAUUGGCUCCGCCACUGAAGGGACAUGUUAGCAUCCCAUGUUGCACAGUAGACCCCGGCACGGUUUAGGUCCCAACCGAUGUCUUGGGGAUUGUACAAAUUGUAAGUGGCCCUAACGUUUGAAGCACUCUGGGAGUUGGCCACAGCAACGAAAAGCGUGAAGAAUGCAAUGCAAAGAAUUUGGGGAACCCUUUCCAUUUUUCUAGUUUUUGUCACAAGUUGUUCUUGUAAAUUUCGAUGUUUGAGGCUUGCAUUUAUAGAGAAAUAGGUAGAGAUAGUAAAGUAGAAGAAGGAAACUCCAGAUCAUUUUCAUUGAUGUACAGUCAAAAGAAAAACACAUGCUGAAGUAUGGAAUAAUCUAGGUUUAUCAGCUAGUAAUUAUCUGAGGUUAACUACUACUCAUGGCUAUGUCAGUCAAGUCAAGAUGUUGAUUAUUGGCAAGCAACCUAUAUAAAUUCCUUUAUAAUUCCAUCAAAUAACAAAUAACGGAAAUAUUUAGAUUAUCUACUUAGUUAUAAGAUUAUAAGAUUGGCUAAUCGAAUUUUAAGUUAAUUUAAAAAGGUGUCUAAAUAUAUAUUCACAUGAAAUUUGGAUGUACUACCGAAUACCAACGGUUACCCUUUCAGAAAAAACCUAAGUUUAAUAUAUUGACAACAUUUCUUGUGUUUCAAACUGAACUAACCUGAGCUAUCUAAGCUCCUUAAAUUGGGGAAAAAAUAACUAGCACCGUUUUAAUCCUAGCAAUCAAGAAAAAGCUAGAUCGGGUGCUAGGUGGCUAGUUUGCAUGUUUGGGAAAUGGGAAGGCGGCUAGCUAGCUACGUGCUAAGUUAAAAUAACGUGCGAAGACCGCUAACUGCCAUGUACUUUUCCAUCCUGGGAUUUCUUCACACAACCACAAUAGAGGUGGCUCUUUCUAUAUUAGCGCUCUUCUUAGUCGCUCUGGCAUAUUUUCAGAGGCUGUUCCAUUGUUUGGUCAAUAAGGAUUGUUAUUGUUUGCUCAAUAAGGAUUGUUAGGUUUCCUUGUUUGGUCAAUAAGGAUUGUAGCAAAGUUUGAAUGUUAUGGCCUAAUAAGCUAUUAUAUGUUGGACACAUCUACCAAGAAAGAGUUGGGAUUGCUACGCUCUAGCCUCUAUUAAUUGUUUAAUUAUCUAGUCAGUUUUUGUAGUUUUUUUUUUAAAAAAAAUUAAACUUCUUGUCCAACUUCUUGUUUUAGUGUCUAUGGAUGACAAAAUCAAAUAAGACACCUCCUAAUUUGACUUAAAGCUCCCAUGAUUCUUUUGAAAACUGUGGAACAUUUUCUUUUUAAGAACUAAAAAUUGUAUAUUACAUAAUAUGCAUGUAAAUAUAAAUUUCAUUAUCAGAUGAUAAUAGUGUAGUACCUAAGCACAUGUUUGGUAACAUAACAUCAAAAAUAAAAUCAAUAAUACAAUUUACGAUUCUUAUUAAAACACUAUGCCAAAGAACUUAAAAGGUGCACUAAAAAUAAUUAAGACUUUUCACUUUGCACCCUCGAACUUGUACUACUUUUUCACUUUGUACCCUAAACUUCAAUUUUAGACAUUUUGUAUCCUAAACUCUCAUUUUUGGUUACUUUGCUAUACAAAAUCUCAAGUUUGUCCAAUUUAAGUCCAAUUAUUGACAACAUUAGCCAUAUUAACAAGAUAAAGGACUAAGCAAAUUAAUAACAAUGCAUCAUUUUGUUCUAUUUGUGAUCUCAUGACUCCUUCUGAGCAGUUUCAGUACAUUAUCAUUGAUUCGUAUGGUCGCAAUCACUAAUGUUGUUAGUAACAUUAUCAAGAUAGAAGAUUGUGUAAAAUAAUGACAAUGUAUCAUUUUGUUCUGGUUGUGUUACCUUGACUCAUUUUGACCACUUUUAGGACAUUGUCAUUGAUUUAUUCUCUAUGCCCUUAAUUUUACUAACAUUAUCAUUGAUUGAUUUAAAUGGAAAAACCUUGAGAGUUUAGGGUGUAAAGAGUCCAAAAUUAAGAGUUUGGGGUGUAAAGCAUCCAAAAUAAAAGUUUAGGGUAUAAAGUGAAAAGGUGAAUAAGUUUGGGGGCACAAAGUGGAAUUAGUCCAAAUAAUUAUCUGCCAAUCAGUAUGAAAAUCACUCAUUUAAACUUGCAAAAUCCCUGAAACAUAACCAGAUGCUAACAUAUUAAGUAACUUGUAACAGAAAACUAGCGACCUUUCGAAUUUUCCUAGGUCAAAGUUUGGAAGGGCUUUGCUUUAGUUUUGAAUGAGAAAUGAUGUCGAGGACUAAGUCAAAAUGGACUUUUUCAAAGAAAGGUUUUUUUAGUAAGAGCUACAUAUUAGAAAUAAGAAUGGGAACAAUAAAUUGAAAAGAUCCAUUCCAUGAUUCUCCCUCCAACCAAACAUGGAGUAAAUGAUUUUUUGCUGAUGACGAUAAAAAUUCUACAACCUUAGCUCAUUAAUGACCGCCAUUAUCAUAAAUUUGUGUAAUCGAUUUUAAAUGGAUGUAUUGCGAGUAUACUUUAUGCACCAUAAUUUAUUUCCUGAUUAAAUUGUGCUCUCUAUAUCGAGUAGCUAACUCUAAUAUCUGAGAAUCAUGUGAUAAUUUUAGAAAUCUCCGUGGGGUUUUUAACAAUUUCAUUCGCCUCCCUUGAGUUUUGCAAAAUAACACUAACCUCCCUUGACAGUGUUAUGGAUCCAAUUGCUUACAUCACAUAGGGAAAAAUUACUCAUAUACCCUAAAAUAUUAUGUUUUGUUGAAAAUUAAUAACUGACAAUUAAGUAAUUAGGGCACCAAUUAACUAUUAAUAACUAAUUAAUGAAGACAACUGCUGGAAAUUUUUUUAAUGAUGAACAGUAACUUACAAUUACAAAAUGGUGCUAAUUGAUGUACCAAAUAUAUGUUCACUCUUAAAAAUUGAUACACCAAACAGUAAUUUGUUUAGAUUUUUUAACUCUAAAAAAUCUUCACAGUUGCUUUGUGAUUAUACUUGUAAUAUUUGUUCUUGGUGCUAAAUGAUGUGGAUGAAUUUCAUGAUUUUCCUUGUAGCUUGACAAGGCCAUAGUUUCUGCACCUAUAGUUCACUUUCAACUUAUGAAAUCCACACAAAUUCACUAUUUUUUCACCUCAAAUUUUGCUACUUCAAGUGAAAAUGAGAUUUAUCUUAAUGUUUCUUGUUGCCUUUAUAUGCAAAAUGUCAAAGACCUGAAAAAUAGUAGUUGUAAUCUAAUGCACUAGCUAUUGGUCCCACUUUGUAGAGAAAGUCAGUCGAUACUUAUUUUUUGUUCUUUGCUAUUUAUACUUACCUUCCCUCACUUUUAUUAAUAUGUUUUUCAUUCCUUACAAUACAACUUAUACACAAGCAUAAAGGGUAUUUGUGAAAUACAAGUUUUAUCCGAUUAAAGUCGCUUGGAACUCUAUACGCCAACACCGGGACCUAUCUCAAGUAGAUCGUUUGGUUUGGAAUGGACUUGUCCUAUUGAAAAUAUCAUUCUCUGCUUGGCGAUUAGUUCGCAAUCUGAUUCCCCUAGAGGUGACUCUCAAGAAAUUUGGAAUACCUAUUGUAUCGCGUUGUCUUUGCUGUCGGCUGCAGGAAGAAUCGUGGAGACAUCUGUUCAUUACAGGUCCAAUAGCUCUCCAGGUGUGGACUCAUUUUCGGAAGAGAUUCGGUAUUAUUGAGUCUACAUUCUCGUCUGUCUUGUCUCUGUUACUCUCCUGGUUUUCCUCUAGCUCGGUGAGGGAGGUGAAACACAUUAGGGUGGUGGUUCCGGUGGUAGUGCUUUUGUGACAGCCCCACCUUCCCCUAGGGCGUACCCCAAGGGUUAGCAAACUACCUGCCCAACUCUCACCAGAACUACUAAGCCAAAACACACGUAAACCCUACAAAUCGUGCAAAAGAACUUCGAGAAAACGAACGGUCGGAAACUGAAUUAGUUAACUAAAUGAUGCCAUAGAACUUCGAUUAAUGCUCCAACGAAAAACGAAAUGGACAAAUGUCACAUCAGAAUCCAACCAAAACUUGGCCGGAUUGCCGGCCGGAUUCAAGGCAGUGAGCAAAACUAAAUUUUUCCAAUCUCCGCUGCCAAUCCGACCAAGUAUCCGGCAGGAUUGUCUGCAGUUGUUUCCUGCCAGAUUGCUUUUCUUUCCUUGCUCAAGUUCCGCACUCAUCCCAUCAUCCCAACGAAUGCAAGAAAAGUUCACAUAAACCCAGAGAACGUACAUUCUCAAACAAAUACACGGGAGAGACAUGAUUAAGUACUUAUAUACAUACAUUGGAAACUUUACAAAUCAAAGUGUGAUACUUGAUCAAAAUACAAUUAGGGUUUACCAGUACAGAGGAGCUUAAUCAAAAGAUUUUAUAUAACUAGCUCUACUCUUUUCUCUAAAAAUCACGGUUUCAAAGUUUUUCCCCUGUAAGGAAAACAAAGGUAACGGGAAUGAGCUUUCGCCCAAUAAGGUACCAACAGGUCAAGCAGUCAGAUAUCACGAAAGUACGCAUGUAAUCAAUCAGAUAUAGAUAUCAAAUAAAGAGGAAGGAAUACCACAGUUAACCAGAAGUAAAAUGAUACAGAUGGCUCUCAAGUGCCAAUUUCCUCUUUUGCAUCACCAGAGCUUGAUCAAGUAGUAAUUGACACUCCGUCCACUUUCAAGGAAGUAACCAGUCCAGUAGAGCACCACUUUACACCAAAUUUCGUCCACCAAACAUACCCCUUAUCGGGUCCGAACGCCUCAACAGGAACAGAGAUGGUAAUAUUCGAGUAUACCAAGAAUCCAGAAUCUCCAAUACUCAAAGAUUCCAAAGAAACAGGCCCCUAAAGCUCGUUAAUUUUCCUCGACCAAGCCCCUUGCUGGCUCGAUUCAAUUAACUACCAAUGGGGUUGAGUUCAGAUUUAACAGGAAGGUCGUUGGAUACAAGCCUCCAAACGACAUCAUAUCAGGCACAAGUAACAGAUUCAGAUUGAUACAGGAACUAGCAAAUAGGCAAGAGAAAUGAGUGUGAUAAAGUACACCCUCGUUUCGUCCAGAAUAAACAGAUGGUACAGUCAUUCAAGUCACAAAUUGCAGGUACAAGUAAAUCAAUUAAGCAACAAGUCAUGCGAGUGGUAUACUCACCGGUUCAAGCAAAGAUAACUUCAAAAGUUUCCUCCGAAAGUAUGCCUUUGAUCAUCGGCACGUCCUAAGAACAACCAAGGUAAAACAAUUAUGGUUUCCACAAUCGAAACCUAGUAAACAGAAUUCAAAAGUGUGACUCGACUACGUGUCGAACGCCUAUCCAUGUUAACUACUAGAACAAGGACGCAAGAUGUGAUUUUUGGGCAAAAAGGAGACACGUGAACCUAGGGACACGAGCAACCCAAAAGCCUUUCAUUUCUACCAAAAUCAACUCAAACGUAAAGGAACCAAACGACUUCAAACUUUGGACAGCAUUUCCCCUAGAUUACUUUACUUUUUCCAUCCUACAAUCAAUCACUAAUCUCAUCUCAAUUACCCUCAAUUGCACAUACAAAUCAUAAGCUAUAGGACACACUUAAUUAGGGCCACAAUACCCUUCAAAUACAACCAAUUGGUAGCUCCAAAACUAACCCUAAUCAUGCUCAAAUUAGAAACCCUAAAGCUGAAAUUUAGGCACAUAAGCUGGAAAUUCCUUUAGACAAGUUAAACUACCACAUAAAACCUCAAUAUUACACAAGGCAAAGUUAUCAAACCAUGGCCAAUCAUAAAGCAUCAUAUAAAGGCAGAAAAUUCCCCAUAAAAACUGAAAAUUUUCAUAUCAUCACCUCAAACCACAAUAUUUCUCAUAAACCACAAAUAUUGCCACCCUAAACCACAAGUAUGCUAGUAUUAGAAGUAAAGAAAAAUUUCUUGUCUUACAUACCUUAGAACCUCAAGAAAGAUGGAAACUUAGGGCUUCCUCCUCCAAAAUCACUCCACCAAAACCUCUAAACCUUCUUAAUGAGCAACUUUUAUGGAGAAAUUUGUAAAUUUAUUGGUUGGAACUCAAGAUUGAAGCAAGGAAUUGAAGUGCAAGAUGAAGUCUUCUCUCUCUUUUCUCCUCUCCAAGGUUUGGCCAAGCAAGGUGAAGAAAUGAAGAAAUUUUGGUCAAAAUUUGAUUUUAGAAAAAUUAAGAAACCUUAGUCAAAGUCCAACACUUAAGGGUUUCUUGACACUUGGCCUUUUCUAGAGUUUUCUCCCAUUUCUUUGUCUUCCAAAGCUAAUCUACCUGGCUAAUUCCUAAUUAUCCCUUAGCACCUUAUAACAUAAUAUCCCUUUAUGCAAAACUUCACCUAGUGGUCAAAAUUUUAUCGCACUUACCGCACUAUCGAGUCUCACGUCUACAAUACACUUCAAAAUUAACAUGAACUAAACUUAUAGCAGAAAAAUAAUUUAAAAACACUAUAUUCACUUAUAAAAAUCUCUGAAAAUUAAUUUAAUAUAGUAUAGUGAAGAAAAUGCAUGCAAAGAAAUAAAAUAAAAUAAUAUAAAAUAAGGGAAUUUUGCAGGUCCUCACAGCUUUGGUGUCUGUGGAAAGCAAGAAAUAAUGCUCGGUUUGAGGGCACAAGAUUCGAGGUGGGUAACGUCAUUAUGAUGGUUGAAUAGGUGGUCGGGCAGUUAGGCAAAGUAGGAGUGCUCUCGGCCACACACUUUAGGGGUGAUGCUGAAGAUCCAUGGGCGGAGUUAGCACACCGCCUCAUUCGGAGAAGGCAUUGUGUUGCGGUUUCGUGGAAAUGUCCUCCAUCCCCUUUCUUUAAAUUGAAUAUAGAUGCCAUUGCAGUCCAGAGGUGAGCAUCCGGGGGUGGCAUUCUUAGAGAUUCAAGUGGUCGAUUGGUAUUCACUUUUUACAAGGAAUUCAGCAAAAAAGAGGUCCUGAUUGCAGAGAGUUUGGCACUACUUCAUGGUCUUCAAUUGUGUCAUGAAUGGCAAAUCCAGAGGCUUCUAGUGGAAGUUGAUUCACAAGUGUUGGGUCAGUUGAUCCAUUCAGGAAGGGUGUCGAAGUGGCCUUUAUGUAACAUCCUGCGACAGAUACGGCACUUAUUAGUCUCAUUGUCAUCUUCAGUGUCACACACCUUUCGGGAGGCUAACUCUUCCUCUGAUAGGCUGGCAAAUUUGCAGUUGGCGUCUGACUUGUUCUGCACGUCUCCUCAGCAACUGCCUAGUAUGGUAAGGGCAUCUGUACUGUUUGACUUUAGGGAACUCUCGUCGGUGCGUCGGCACUAUGUUAUAAAAUAGCCUUAGUAGUUGUGCUCUAGAUAGCGGUGCGGUUGGAAGACUCUCUGUGUAACCUUUACAUUCGGGCUAUGAAUAAAAUAUAAAGUUUAAAAAAAAAGUUUUAUCUCUUUUCUCAAGGUACUUUUUUAAUGGUACUUUUUCUGAAUUAGAUUGAUAGUGUUACCGAAACCUUAACUUUAGGGGAGAUUAGUAUAAUUUUACAAAUCUCAAGGGAGGUUAGUGAAAUUGUUGAAAAUAUCAAGGAAGGUUUCUGAAAUUAUCUCUAGAAUCAUAUAGUGUGUUCCCUCUAUUUCCAUUUUAAGAUUAUAUUUCAUAUUUUAGCUUACAAAUUAUUCCUAAAAAAAUGUUUUUGUUGGGAGAAAAAGGGGUUAAUGUGUUAUAACAUUGAGCUAUUCCUUAUACUGAACAUUUUACUCCCUAUUGUACAGUAUAAUUGUAUGUAUCCAUGGAGUAGUACAGUUUAUAAAAAUAAAAAACAAUUCAUAUGAACUUACUUUGUUACAAAAGUAUCGUCCAGCAUGAUGAUUUUUCUGACAUAAUUUACGUUCCGAAGUUGUAAGACGAAAAAUAUGAAAAUGAGGGUUGUUUAUAUAUCAAGAUUUCUUCAGAGGUUUUAUCAAUAGAAAUUGAGUAGAAUGAUUUGCUCAAAUUUGUAGUGAUCAACUCAAAAUAAUAGCCAUGUGGGGCGGUGCUAUUGAUUGAGUUUCGUAAUACUUUCGAAAUAGCCUUAUUUCCUGGAUGCACUAUUUUUUUGGUGGAUUUUAUUCUUAAGACCCGCCAAUAGACAAUUGAUAGUCAUUAUUAUUGUGAACCAACAUGUAACACAAUGGGGACUUAGUUCUAUCAAUAUUACUUAUACUAGGAUGUAAAUUCAACAAAAAUGAAUGCCGCUUAUGGUAUCGGAGGCGAUUGAAGUACUACCUUGUGCCGCGCAUGCGACCCAUCAACCUACUAGCAAUGGGGGAGAAAACAUAGCAUGUCGCAAUAAAAGUUUGAUUCGAGGCGUCAGCAAAACACUGCCGUCUGUUCCACAAAAAGCCCCUUAGCACCCCGGGACGGGAGUAGGAGACGGCCCUACGCGCAGGCAACAGCAGCGCCGGCUCUGCCUUUUACUCUAUUAACUUCCAAUAAAAAGACACUAGGUCCCAAAAUCCAGUUCAUCUAGUGGGAAUAUUAGUUAGACAACCCCAAGAUUUCUAGUUUGAUUUUGGAGUAGUCCCUUUUCUCUUUCCCCUUACAAAUUUUGGACUCCUUUGACUGGAAAUACAAAUUAUUAUAGGACCUCAAAUAGAAGCAUAAACGCAAUAUUCACCAAGCGGCACAACAAAAAAAAAAAAAAGGUUAAAAACACAAUCCAAGAAACUGAUGCAUGUACCUUGCAUACCAUCAACCCAAGUAAGCCCUUCGAUGAAAGAUAAAAGCGAGUUCUCGAAUUAAAAGUUUCUAACAUGAACGGCGGGAUAGAAAGGAAAACUUCAAUCUAGUAGUAAAUAUAUAAAUUUUUUAGUUUCCAACAUGAACUGAAAAUUAAAAGUUUUUUUUUAUUAUAGAGGCACAAGGAGAUUGCAUAACUUUGAUAAUUCUUUUAUAAUUAUUUAAAAUAAUUCUAUCGCUAUGAACCUUGCUAUUAUUGGUCUUUGCAUAUUAUUUGGAAAUGGAUCAAACCUAUUGCACAUAUUUGUUUCAAAAAAUAAAUUUGAAAAAAUCAUACAGGUAAUAAGUUUUAAAAUUAGGUACUUUAGAUAUAUGUUUUGGAAAGAGAGUUAUUUUGGCAAAAAGAACUCCAACUUAAAUUUGAAGCGAAUUUAUUUUCAUAACAUAACGGUAAUUUAGGAUAUUCAUUUGGAUUGACGUUACUUUCCUAUGGUAUUAAAAUUGAGAAAAUAAAGUAAGGUAACUGUACUUUUUCAAACUUAAAGGAAACUUCUUAAGAUUGAUAAUCUUAGGGAGGAAUGUGUUUUUUUGCCCUAGUAAUUUUUCCUUUCGUCGCAUCAUUAUAUGUUGAGACCAUCACUUUGGAUUUUGAACGGAGAACUAAAGGGCCGUUUGGUAAUGUUCUGUUUUCCUAUUUCUGUUCUUUGCUAUGAACAAAACACUUGUUUAAUUAUACAUAAACAUGUUUGAUUCAUAAUAUUUUUUUUGAAACAAAAGAAUACAAAUAUAUUUGAUUAGACAUUAUCAUUGUUGUGUGAGAGAAAAUGAUUAAUGAGGCUUAAAUUUAGUAUAAUAUUAAAGUUAGUGCAUAUUUAUGGAUUAGGCUUGACCAAUUAAUUUCAACUCAAACUGCGUCUGACCUAAUAAUAUCAAAUUAAAUAGUUCAUAUAUUUAAUACUUAUACAUGUUCAAAAUGAGUAAGAAAGUAUAAAUUAAUUGUGUAUUUGUUAAAAUGCAUUAUCUUUAAGCAUUAUUCUUGUAAUUAAGUAAUACAUAAUUAAUAAAUAUAUGCUGUAAAUAUAUAAAUCUAGUAUUUUUUUCCCUAUAAUAUAUAAGUAAAUCAUUUUGAAUUUUUAAACAUGUAUGAUUUUUCAAUAAAUUUGAAGCUAACCCAAUUUCAGCCUAAGACCCAUGUUAGAAAAAUGAGUUGAGAUGAAAUCUUACAUGUAUUGAAUUCAGGAUUAAAAAAAAUGUUAUUUUUUUUCUUGUAUUGGGUUUAGGCUUGAUGAAACCCAAUUAAGAACAAAGCAUAAGCUUUAACGGCGAGAUGAUUCGAGCCGGGCUAAACCGAAAUGGGCCGAAUUAGAUGGCAUCGAGUAGAGCAGGUUGAGGUAUCUAGGUGGAAUAUAUAAUGGUGGUUGAGUGAAGAUGAAAUGAAACAAUUUAAAACAUUUAUUUAUUAACUUUCUAUUUUAAGUGUUUUUAAACAGCUAAGAAAAAUAAUUUUGGUGUUUUAAAGACAAGGCACAUAUUCAUGAAUGUUUCUCAUUUUUGUAAGACACAAACAAUUUUAACAAACACUAUUUUUUGUCUUUGUUUGUCAAAAUCUACAAACAAAAACAUAAACAUAGCAAACAUAAAUGUUACCAAACGACCAAGUUUCACAAUUUUUCGGGCUAGAGUUUUCAAAAGCAAAAUAUGAUUUCUGGUGCAUAUUAUUGAUCUACAUCAAUAAUUGGCUCAUUGAUGUAAUAUUUAAGGUUUGAGAAGUUUUCAUUCCUAUUUGUAAGUAAUGUUUUUAAAUCUGGAACAUAAAGGGCAGCGGAUGAGCUUCAGUUCAUGACUCAAUCGAUUCAAUCUCGAGGUCAAAAAUUUAAGCUCUGUUUGGAUUCAAGAGUUUUUCAACUAUUAUUAAAAUUUUUAAAAAGUAGAUAAAAUUUUUUUUAAUGUUUAAAAAAUAUUUCAAAAUAUAUUCUAAAAACUCUUCUACUCUUAAAUAUCCCAAAAUAUUUUCUAAAAUAUACUAUAAAAACUCUGCUACAGUAAAUUUUUCAAAAACACCCCCAAAAAUAGAUAAUCCAAAUGAAAUUUUUUAAUUUAUUUAGGAUCUAAUAAGUUGGAUAUCUUUGUUAGUUUACCGAAUUUCGUCACUUGAGAGGCAAAUUGGGUUCCUAGGAAUCUAAAUGUGCCUGCUCUUUUAUUAGCUAGUUAUGCUAGUUCUAUUUCAAAUAUUUGUAGUUGGAGAUCUUCUCCACCAUAUUUUCUUUCUUCCGUAAUUACUGCAGAUCUAUCUUCACCUUAAUCAAAUUUUUCAGUUUUUCUAUUUUAAAAAAAAAGUAACUUGGAUAGCAUUGAAAUAUAUAUAUAUAUAUAUAUAUAUAUAUAUAUAUAUAUAUAUAUAUAUAAGGAAAAAUAUUAGUUCAAAUUGGUUCAAAAAUACGAUUUUUACUGAUUUUGAACACUUCAAUUGAUUCCUCACCGAGGUUGAAUGGUGCAAUUAAAUUUUGGAUUUAAUAGAAAACUGGUGCCAUAAUGAAUUAUAUUCAACUUUCUAACCAGUUGGUCCGAUCUAAUUUUCAAAACACCGAUUGUAACAUAUUUAAGACUAAUCUUUUUAAGUGUCUCAUAUCUUGAAAUGAUGUAUUUUAACAAUAUAUAUAAAAUGCAACAUCUACGUCUCAAACUUCACUUCGAGUCAUUUUUUUUUUCUGGAUAGGAAUGUCAUGCAUAUAUUACGUACUAAUUCACUGAGUGGUAGUUAUAGUAAGGUUACACUUAGGUAGACUCGAUUUUCAAAGAUUCAAUGGUCCAAAUUGUGUCAUAUCAUCUCACCAAAUGAUGUGGCACAAUUUGGAUCAUUGAAUUUAUAAAAAUCAUAUCUAUCCAAAAUUUGGCUGUUAUGGUAUUACAUAAAAAUUGCUCCAAAAAAGGCAAGUACAUACGUCACAUGUUCAUUUUAGAGAAUCAGAACAUUAGUUCUGGUGACCGCAUUACUUUUUGUUAAUUUUCAAAAGACAGUUUUUCUCUUUGUUUUCGUCUCAAUUGGUUAGCAUGUAACGUGGUGGUUACAAAUCGUGUAUCCGUCAUGCGUGUGACUUGCAAAAUGACUUGAUAUGAACUGUUGAAGACCUUGGCUGCAAUCUUCUAUGAUCUUUUUAUUGUUUGGAUCGGUCCAUAAUACGUUGGCAUAUUCUUUAACGGCAAAAUGGUGAUCCAAGUUGGAAUAUAGUACAAGGGUAAAUUACACAUAACUCUCAUAUAGUUUCAACUAUUAUCCAAUGAUUCCUCUAACGUUUUCAAAUGUCCAUUUUACCCCUUUAUGAUUUUAUUGAAAGUCAAAACUUGAUAGAAAAGUAACAUAUAUAACGUCUGCACUGUUUGGAUUUACCAUUUUUUGAAAAACAAGUUUUUCAUAUACAAUGUUACAGUAAUAUAUAAACAAAAAUAAUUUAAAAAAUACUAUAUCAAUACAAUAUAUUAAAAACAACUCCAAAUAUACAAAAAAUUUAAAAAUAAAAUAUACACUAUUUUUUUCUUCCAUCUAUCACCACUACCAUCAUCACCCCUACCCACCAUCCUCCUCCUCCCUCUCUUUCCUCCUCAUUUCUCUGCCUCUCUCUUCCUUCUCCCUCACUUUCCUCCUCCCCUCUUCCUUUUCCCUUCCCUGCCACACCCCACCUCCUCCCCUCUAGCCUCAACUAGAUCUAGGCCUUUGGUCACAGCCAAAGGCCGCGAUCUGGUCUCGACAAUGCCAAAUUGAGGAGGGGAAGGAAGAGGAUGUGCGGGGUCUAGCAAGAAAGUGGAGGGAAAGGGAAGGGUGGGAGAAGGAGGGAAGGAGAAGGAAGAGAGACAAGGAGAAGAGAAGAGGAGGGAGAGAGGGGAUGGUGGCGAUGGUGGGUAGUGGUGGUGGGUGGAGUGUUAAUUUUCAAAAUUAUCCUAAAAAUUUUUAAACUUUAAAAAUAUGUUAAAUAUAUCCCAAAAACACCACUAAAAACAUUUAUAGUAACAGUUUUUCAUAUGCAUUGUUAUAGUAAAAUAUUUUAAAAAUAUCCCAAAAAAUAGCUAAUCCAAACGGAACCGUUAUUAGUUGGAAUACCAAUAGUAUCCUCAUUUAAAUAUUAAAUCAAAUAACGGUCUAACUACUUUGUAUAGUACCAUUUGAGUAUUAUUUGGAUAAAUACAAAAAUUAUUAGGGAGUAAAAUAGAUAUUUAGGUAAACUAUAGGGUUGUUAACUAGAUAUUAUAAUUCCAUCACACGUACUUUUGAAAUGCAUCUAAUUCAUUCACCAUAACUUAUAGCAUAUUCCAUCUUCUUUUUUUUUUCUUUACAUUAAACUAUAAACUAUAGGGAGAUUACAUGAUUAUUUUGAAACCUUAGGAAAAUUAUCUAACAUCCUGCAAAACUAUAGGCAAGUUAUAUGUAAUCUACCCCAAUUGUUGCAUCCUGACAUGUCAGUUACAUAGCAAAAAGCGUUCGUUUAUGGGAAAGAAAAGGAAAAAAAAGAAGGUAUUAUGAUAAACCUUUAUGCACACAUUAGAGACUAUUUGUACUGUUUUUCGAUUUUUCCCAUUGUACUUUCUGCACCAUCUAACCUUUGAUUCCAAGAUAAGUUCGAAGGAGACACCAAAUCUCAACCUCAUAUGUCUUUGUCGGCCUUAUGGGACCAGAAUCGAUAUUAAUGCUUUAUUAUUGAAGCACAAAAACUUUCAUGCCACUCAAAUUAUUAAAUUUGUCGAUUGUGUCAAAUAUUUCCAGCAGAUACACAUGGUUGCCCCCAUAAGGCCUCUCCUCUGCCCCCAACCCCCCGCCCCGGCCGCCCCUCCCCUUCCCCAAAAAAAAAAAAAAAAAAAACAAAAGGAAAAAAUUGUAAAACAAAUUUCUUAUCUAUGUUUUAAUAAAUAAAAUUUCUUAGCUUGCUUUCAUGAAAUAAAAGAUUUUUUGAGAUAAUUUUUUUAAAAAAUAUUAUAGCACUUUUUUGAUGUGAUAUAAUGUAUAUGAAAUAAAAAAUGAUUCAAAAAUAUAUUAAUGAUAUAAACAAAUAAAAAUUGUGUAAAUAAAUACUAUCCAAACAAACCUUAACAGUUCAAAAAGAUGUCGUGUAAAUAACAUAUUAUAGUUUUCCUCACUAUAUUAAUAUGUCUUUUCAUCUUUUUGAAUUCGGCCGUGCAUUUUUUUGACCAUUGCCACUAUAAACACUAAAUCAAUUUCCCUAUUUUCUUUCAAAUCCUUUACUUCGGGUAAGCAUUUUCAGGUCUAAAUGAAACGUUUUACAUGCAAACUUAAUCAAAUGCCUUGAAGAAAAAAAAAAAGACUAGAGAUGAUAUUUGUAAUUAAAUUUACUUAUAAUUUAUAAGGAUUCAAAAGAAAACAUGAUCACAUGCAAUUCUGAGAUACAGACAAGACAUGGAUAAUAAAGACACCUAAUAUGGAGAAUCUUUAAAUAAAUAAAAACCCAUGACUGCCACUCAAAAUGCGGUAGAGAAUCUUAAGCAAAUUGCUUCUUUACAGGUACAACAACGAGGCUGUCACCUACUAACAGACAAGCCAAUUAAGUUUUACAGAUAAGACUUGAAACAAAAAAACUUUAUGAACAAUUCUCAAAUUGUCUUCAUUCAUUUUCUCUUUCCCUAGGAAAAUUUAAAAAAGAAAAAAAAAAGACUGUGCAAUACUUUUCUACAUAGAAACCCUCUUGAGCCAGUCUGUUAUAAGCAUAUAUUAUAUAAUAUUGACAAUAGCAGACAGACCAAAAAACAAAAAAAAAAAAAAAGUAAGAAAACUGGGAUAAGAAAAAUAUAUAAUUCUUCCCAGAGAACCAUUUCAGCUUCUGUUCUUGCAUUUU
Molecule: long non-coding RNA, 145352 nt
Filed under: Coffea arabica (coffee)
Lineage: Eukaryota; Viridiplantae; Streptophyta; Magnoliopsida; Gentianales; Rubiaceae
Description: long non-coding RNA (CARA_LNC001923)
Source: RNAcentral